This 92638-nucleotide long non-coding RNA is filed under the name Triticum aestivum (bread wheat). RNAcentral describes it as "long non-coding RNA (TAES_LNC008044)". The stretch from base 54151 to 54237 matches the Rfam family "MIR1120/MIR1122 microRNA precursor family". The record is from RNAcentral. Lineage: Eukaryota; Viridiplantae; Streptophyta; Magnoliopsida; Poales; Poaceae.
CCUCGAGAAAUCCCCCGCGAGCUCCGGAUCAGGUACAGCGACGGCUCCCGCUGCGUCGUCCCCAUUGAGAUCCUCAGGGUUUGGGACCGCUCCGAGUCCCUCGACGCCAAUGGGGAACACGUGCCUUUCUUCCAGCCUCCGGCUGCGGCGGCUUGAUUUUGGUAUCAUCAGUUGGCUGCUGUUGUUGCUGCUGCAAGUGGUGCCCGAUGGGAUUGGCAGCAAGCUAGCAGUAUUCACCGAGUCCUUAAUAAGAGCAAUAGUCGGCUUUAGUCUCGUUCAUGUUUGUUAAUUAGUAUGCAUAGCUACUAUGUCAGUGCGUGAUUUCUGAGAACUGCAUCACUGUAUGAUGAUGUAGAUGGUUACAUUGCAAAGUUGAUCUUACUUAUUAUUACUCCCUUCGUUCGAUCGAAAAUAAGUGUCGUUGGUUUAGUAUAACUUUAUGACACUUAUUUUGAAACUGUUGAGUACUUGCUUUAGUCGCUAGGUGCCUUCCAGGUCGCUCCCAAGCGACUCCGGAGGCACCGCCGCCGCCCAACAAGUCGAUCCUAGCCACCGAAUCCCCCUGCCACUCCUGGAGGAGGCAGACUCUCGGCGAACUGUGACGGCGGGGCCGUCCUCGCUACUUCCUCUCUCCCCGGAUCUAGCCUCUUCUCCAACCCCCAACCCUCCUCGCCCAUCAGCUACCAGCAGGUCCCAGCGUUGGGAUGCUCCAGCGCCUCCGCACCGGUGUUUGGAGGCAUUCCUCGACCGUGGCGUCAGAUUCAGUGGUUGGCUGUCUGAUCUGCAUGCAUGUCGACCUGAGGCUUGGAUGUGGCACAACAGGAGACAACUUCUCCGCUUUCUUGUGUGCAUCUUCAGAUGCAGCGGUGGAUGUUUGGGUGAUGUGCCGGGCCUCCCUGUGGGGGCCGGUCUCUAGCCAGAUUCUAUUGGAUUUGGCGUCGGGACCUUGGUGUGCGUAGGGCUUCCCGCUGGAUGUGGACCAUGGCGGCAAGGUGUUGGCCUUCCGUGCAGGCGGUGGCCGGCUAGCCGCGCUAUGGUGAUGACUACAAAGUAUUGCGGCGACUUCCGACCGCUCCACGACGAGGAUGGUCAUCGAAAGGUUGGGAGGGGUUAUCUCUCCUGAUUUGGUGGUUGACUUCAAUGGUGCUUGAUGCAGAGGGAUGGUUGUGCAGUGGUGACGGUCACAUCACAUAUAGCUACUGGAAUUGCAGAAAAAUGGUGACGACAACACAUGAGUGACUUUGAUAAUGGUGCUACUCAAGCACCCGGUCUUGAGCUUCGGGGCGAAACCCUAGGUCAGACCCGAGUGGUUAUACCUCGCAAUGGCGACGUUUUUCUUACGUCGUUACCUUCUUGAAGGCAUUGCUUGGAUCGGCUCGGACUGGCGCGGACUGAUCUUCAGGGUGAAAAUCUAGAUUUCGGACUUGUGGUUGGAUCCGAUGAGGCGGCGUCUGAGUGUCGCUCCCUUCCAAAAGGCGUUGCUGUUGAAGAACCUCGUUAUCCAUGUGAUGUCAUGAGAUGGUUUGUGCGGAUAUGGUCAUUAUUAUAGUUUGUCGAUCGCAAAUUUGAUCGCCUUGAUUUUUUUUCUUUUUUCCUCACUUUCGUAUAGCUUUGGUUUUAAAUGACUUUACAUGUUGUUGUAGUUUUUUCGCGUCUGUGUGGGUUGGUGUAGACUGCUGUGUGCAUCUUAAUUAUGUAAAGGCCGGGUGUGUGCUCGUUAUGCUAUGUAUCUUCUUGAUGCUUCAUUUUUUUUUGAGAUCCAAUGAGUAACAAGCUACUCAAUGGGUAGGAUUACACUCAGCUAGAAACAUAUCCUUAAGAUUCUCUGGGACUGACCCAGCUAGAGCUUGGUUUCCUGCUGUUCUUGCUAGGAAAGCUAGCUCAUGAGCCAGUUUGUUGAGCUUCCUCCCAACCACACUAAUCUGAUAAUCAGCAAAAAGUUCCAAAGUUUGCCUGAUGUCCGUCAGUAUGUGGUAGCAUUUUGAAAUUCCAACUGUGGUACUUCUCAGCUCUCUACCAACUGAAGCGUUGUCAGUUUCCAAUAUGAUUCUUCCAUUGUAUCUCUUUGCAAAUUCCUUCAGACCACAAAGGAUCGCUCCUGCCUCAGCCUCCUCUAUUGAGCUGCAUUUUCCAGGCGUUGGCAAACUGAGAGAAGGACCAGACCUUGGGGGUCUCGGGCCACAGCACCGCACCAGCUGUCACCUGUGUCUGCUAAAAAGGCUGCAUCCGAAUUUAGCUUUGCCCACCCAGGGGCCGGCGGAGACCAGUGCUUGGGGGAGGCACCAAAGCUGUGUCCAGCCCGGUCUUCCUCUGCUUUCCCCCUGCUUUAGUUUCAGUGACUGUCUGGGCCUCCAAAAAUUCAGUUUCAUAUCUGACUACAAGACGCACCGAUCCAGUCACAGUCGCCUUCCCAGAAUCAUGAAUCACAUCGUUACGCAGAUUCCAUGCCUGCCAACAUAUAAGUAGGAUCCUCCGUUUGGUUGCCUCGCUUUGCGUGCCCAGCAUCAUUUGAAACCAAAGAUCUCCAGUACUUCAUUUUGAGCUAAUAAAAUCCACCAUUUGUCGAAAAAACUUGCUUAGUGUCGCUUCUUUGGAGGCUUGAUUUGUGUUAGAAGCUAAAUAAGAUCACAAUGCUAAAGCAGCAUGUUAUGUUAUGUGAUGGAGGCCGUGUGAUGAAGUCAUGAAACUGCUGCCCUUUUAUCUUUUCUGUUUUCUGCAGUACUUCGCAAUGUAAGAGCAUCUUCACCUGAUGUCUCCACGCGUUAUGCUGCCGAAUUUUUCUGUGAAGGUUUGCCGUCAAAAUUCUGGCCUCGUUUGUAAUGAAGCAAAAACUUUAGGGUGUUUUGUGUAAAAUGUUAGGGUCUUGGCUGCGAGGUUUUCUUAUUUUGUGAGGAUGGAAAAAGAAUAAUUAAUUAAUUUGCUUUAAAGAAGAAAGAAAGUGAAAAAAACAAUUAAUUCACUUUGAAGAAAGAGAGAACGAUCAGGGGGAAAAGGGUUGGACAACAAGUGCGUGCAUGCUUGAGAAUUCGUAUAUACGUUUGUUGGCAAAAAACUUGGUUCAUUGAUCUGAGCGCGUGAGCAAAGAAAACGACAUCUUCUCGUAAACGCAGAAAUGAAUUCCAUCUUAAGUUGGCUCACGCGCGCUCGGCUCAGCUGAAAAAUGGAGUAAUUUUUUCGCCUUGGCCAUGGAAAUGGAGAAAUGGAGCCUCAAAGUUUCUAUUCCGAUUGGAACUGCAUCUGCACGUCGAUAGAAAACAUUAACCGGAAUGCAUCCCCACUCAGACGCAGUUCAUCAAAGUACAAAAGUCAAGGUAGGGGCAGUGCGGCCAUUACUCCAGAAGGGUGAUAGACCUCCAGGAUGCAGCGAGCGGCCCAACCUUGGCGCUUCCGUGCUGCAUAGUGACAGCCUUGCUCAUGUCAAGGGAUAGUGAAUAGUGAUUCAGCCAGUACUCGAGUAGACACGGACUGGAACAGUAGCAACCAUAGAAGGAGGCUGAAGUCAAAUGCAUGCGGCAUGCCCUGCCCUAUCGCAGAACAAAGCUGCCACUGCCAUGCCAUCACUCCAAACCACACAGAAGAGAGCUGCCUGCGCUGCAGUAACGGCGAGCUACCAAGCACCACUCCUCGGGGUCAUCAUGGGUGUGUUUGGUUUCAGUUUGGAAGAGUAGUCACAUUGCAUACCCUUCCCAACCCAGCCUGAUUGAGAAAAAACAAGCCCUAAUACGCCAUAUGCAAUUUGUUUGGUUGCCUGCAUCCCUAGUCCCUGCAUUAGGUAAUACCCAAGUACACUUUGUUUGGUUGACUGCAUUGGCCCUAGCGGCACAUGAACACGGUGUUUGAUUGCAUACGCGAAAAUGUUGUGCUUAUCUUGUACCCUAGUUGGUGAGCUUACCCACAGCUAGCACACCAACGCCACAACACAGCAAUGGUGAUGAACUGGGCGAAGAUGAUGAAGUUCUUCAGCUUCAGGCCGAACUGACGAUCCACCUUAGCAGCUUCCACUUUGACAACUCCAACCUUGGCACUAUCGACACUGCUGCCUCUGUGCUUUCGCACCCAGGCGGAGUAAGCUUGUUCUGCUGCCUGCCUAGUCUUGAACCCUCUAUAGUUGCUGUUGCUAUACGAUGCCACUUGUGCAUUGGCUUCUUUCCAUGAACUAUAAACCCCUGGAACCUCACCGAUGAACACGGCAUACCACUUGCCCUAGCAAUGUACAAGAGCAAGAGUUGAAGCAGCAAAUCAAUGGAGCACAAGGAGCAAGCAAAGUAGCACACAAACAACAAUAAAGCAGAAGAGAAGUAAAGCAUGCAUGAUCAUACGGCAUAGCAAGUUCAACCUAGAACUACCUUGGUGUUAACCUACCACCAUAUCCAAAAGAGGGUGUCGUCCUACCACCCCAAGUUCACCAUCAACGUGAGGGGUUAGUAUAUACCACCUCACCAAAAUAUACAGACCAUCAAAUAGUUUUUGAGCCCUAGCUACACAAAAUGUACAUCAUCAUCGUCGUCGUCGUCGCCGCCGCCAUCGCCGUCGGGGAUCAUGCAUGCUCACGGGCAGCACUACUCUAGUAGUAGUGCUUGCCCAGCCAGCUCCUGAGCCACAACACCCUGUGAUCGUCAGUCAUGGCAACGAACCCAACACCCUGGGCCUUGUUGUCAAGCAGGUGACUGAGAGCUGCCAUGAGAGCCUCGUCGCUGAAUCCACCCUGGGUCAUGACAACGCCAUACAGGUCAGGGUGGACGUCGAGGGGCUUGCACUCCCUGAUGGCUGUUGCCACCUCCUUCACCGCCUCAGUCAUGCUGCAAAAGACAUUGAUCUCCUCUCCAUCAGGCCUCCUCUCUUCCUCUUCUUAUCAUGGUUGGGGUCAAAUGGCUUGUCGAAGGGCUUCGCAGCAGGCUUGUCAGGGCCAUCAAGGACCUCGACGUCUGGUGUUCCAGGGAAGUCUGGCAUGGGAGAACCAAGAGACUCACCCGAGCCCAUGUCAUGCUUCCCAGUUGCCAGCCCGAAAGAGAAGAUGUGCUGCAUCUGGUUGUAGUUCUGGAUGGGUGUGUUGAGGAACUCAGCGUCCCUUGGGUGGUCCUAAGAAUGAAACACAUGUGUUGUUAGUUGCGAUUAGGAGUAGGCAAUGGUGGGCAGUAUGAAAAGGAAGAAGGCUGUGAGCUAACCGCGACAUGGCCGGCGUAGUGCUCUGCGUCCAGAACUAUGGAGCAAGUGUUCUCAUCCCAUGAGGCGCCGCUAAGGUCUCUCAGCUUGGACACUUGGAUCCAUCGACUUCUCCACUUCCUCAGGUGGUUGUACACCUAGGUGGCAGACACCUCUUGCCCACAGAACUCGAACACCUGCUUCGCAACGGUGUUCAAGUGCACCUCCUUGAAGCCCUUGUCAGUCCUAACUCCACUAGAGAUGAGCUCACACAUCUUGUUCAGCACCAACGUGGACAUGAACCACUGCCACUUCAUGUUGUUCGACCUACCAUCCUUCUUUGCCUUUGCUGCUGCUAGCUCGAUUGCAGCGGCAGCAGCAGCAACAGGAGGAGUUGGCUCAACAAGCACUACUGGCACAUAGAGGGAAUCAAACUCGAACACCUCUGAAUCAGGUGCCAUCUCGGACAUAGGCUGCGAGUCCUCGACAAACGAUGGAGCAAACUGGCUGUCGGACAUGACAAUGGCCUGACUAAGAUCUUGCGUCUGUGUGGUCAUGUCCUACAAUCGUAGCAUGCAUUGACAGUGAGCAUAGCACACAACAUACCGGACAAUCCAUGAAAGCAGGAGCAUACAUGUACAUGGUUCAUCAUUAUCAUAGCAAGCGCAUGCUUCAUCACUAUCAUACUAAGCAUACCAGAGAAUCUAUGAGCAGAAACAUACAUCUACAACAAACAACAUGCUACAAAUGGACCACCAAUAGCUACAAAUAACAGAUCUAAGCAUGAUUCAACACAAGCACAAGGUUCAACUUCAAACUCUACUACCAAUCUAGCCUACCACAUGCUUGAACAUCUAGCCCUACCACAAAUUGCAACCGCAACAUAGCAACCAACCAUAUUAGCUCACAAAUCAGACCACUAAUCAACCAUGCAUCUAGAUCAAACCCUAGANNNNNNNNNNNNNNNNNNNNNNNNNNNNNNNNNNNNNNNNNNNNNNNNNNNNNNNNNNNNNNNNNNNNNNNNNNNNNNNNNNNNNNNNNNNNNNNNNNNNNNNNNNNNNNNNNNNNNNNNNNNNNNNNNNNNNNNNNNNNNNNNNNNNNNNNNNNNNNNNNNNNNNNNNNNNNNNNNNNNNNNNGGUGGUGGAAGAUGAACGCCGGCCGGUGAAGGAGCUCCGGCGCCGUGGACCGCCGGCCGAUGAAGAUGUGCCACUUACCUGCAAGUAGGUGCCGAUGCGCGUAGGCGGGAAGGUGCGAACGGAGGAAGAAUGGUGGCGGGAGUUGGGGCGGUGAAGGAUGGGCUAAAUAGUGGGUGGAGCGGCGGAAGGUGAGCCGAAAUCCUCCCGCCAAUUUUUCGGCGAUGCGGGCGAGCUCGCGCCAUCUCCCCUGCUCACACAAGGGGAGAAGCGCGUCGCCCUCCCUUGCCUCGCCCGAGCCAGGCUCGCGAGCUACUACCGAAUCGUGCAUUUCCCGUGUGCCUGGCCUGCAGGUGCUUUAAGUUUCAUGUGAUGCGGGCCGCACAAUGAAUGCAGGAAACCAAACAGGCUAAAUUCUUCCCGCUCGGGCCAGGCUGGGCCUCAUGCGGGCAACCAAACACGCCCUAGAGUAAUUGCAAGGAGAUACCACAUUUCAGCACCAUGUAACAAGUCAGUACCACACUUUGUGCAUGUCGCAAUUCAGUACCAUUAUUCGGCCUAAUCGUUACAAAAAGGACUGAUAGUCGUAUAACCCCAUAUUGACCAUGUAUCUGACCGUGCAACCCCACCUGUUGGGCGAGACGCUGGCAAAUCGGCGCGUGCCGGUGUUGGGGAACGUAGUAAUUUCAAAAAAAUUCCUACGUACACGCAAGAUCAUGGUGAUGGCAUAGCAACGAGAGGGAAGAGUGUUGUCCACGUACCCUCGUAGACCGUAAGCGGAAGCGUUAUGACAACGUGGUUGAUGUAGUCGUACGUCUUCACGAUUCGACUGAUCCAAGUACCGAACGUACGGCACCUCCGAGUUCAGCACACGUUCAGCUCGAUGACGAUCCCCGGACUCCGAUCCAGCAAAGUGUCGGGGAUGAGUUCCGUCAGCACGACGGCGUGGUGACGAUGAUGAUGUUCUACCGGCGCAGGGCUUCGCCUAAACUCCGCGACAAUAUGACCGAGGUGGAAUAUGGUGGAGGGGGGCACCGCACACGGCUAAGGAACGAUCCGUAGAUCAACUUGUGUUGUUAUGGGGUGCCCCUGCCCCCGUAUAUAAAGGAGCAAGGGGGGAGGGGGCGGCCGGCCUAGGAGGGGCGCGCCAAGGGGAGUCCUACUCACACCGGGAGUAGGACUCCCUCCUUCCUUGUUGGAGUAGGAGAAGGGGGAAAGAGGGGGAGAGGAGGAAGGAAAAGGGGGCCGCACCCCUUGUCCAAUUCGGACCAGAGGGGGGCUGCGCGCCUCCUUCCUUUUGGCCUCUCUCCUCUAUUCCCGUAUGGCCCAAUAAGGCCCAUAUACUCCCCGGCGAAUUCCCGUAACUCUCCGGUACUCCGAAAAAUACCCGAAUCACUCGGAACCUUUCCGAACUCCGAAUAUAGUCAUCCAAUAUAUCGAUCUUUACGUCUCGACCAUUUCGAGACUCCUCGUCAUGUCCCCGAUCUCAUCCGGGACUCCGAACUCCUUCGGUACAUCAAAACUCAUAAACUCAUAAUAUAACUGUCAUCGAAACCUUAAGCGUGCGGACCCUACGGGUUCGAGAACUAUGUAGACAUGACCUAGAACUAUUCUUGGUCAAUAACCAAUAGCGGAACCUGGAUGCCCAUAUUGGCUCCUACAUAUUCUACGAAGAUCUUUAUCGGUCAAACCGCAUAACAACAUACGUUGUUCCCUUUGUCAUCGGUAUGUUACUUGCCCGAGAUUUGAUCGUCGGUAUCCAAUACCUAGUUCAAUAUCGUUACUGGCAAGUCUCUUUACUCAUUCCGUAAUGCAUCAUUCCGUAACCAACUCAUUUGGUCACAUUGCUUGCAAGGCUUAUAAAGAUGUGCAUUACCAAGAGGGCCCAGAGAUACCUCUCCGACAAUCGGAGUGACAAAACCUAAUCUCGAAAUAUGCCAACUCAACAUGUACCUUCGGAGACACCUGUAGUACUCCUUUAUAAUCACCCAGUUACGGUAUAACGUUUGGUAGUACCCAAAGUGUUCCUCCGGUAAACGGGAGUUGCAUAUUUCUCAUAGUUACAGGAACAUGUAUAAGUCAUGAAGAAAGCAAUAGCAACAUACUUAACGAUCAAGUGCUAAGCUAAUGGAAUGGGUCAAGUCAAUCACAUCAUUCUCCUAAUGAUGUGAUCCCAUUAAUCAAAUGACAACUCAUGUCUAUGGCUAGGAAACUUAACCAUCUUUGAUUCAACGAGCUAGUCAAGUAGAGGCAUACUAGUGACACUAUGUUUGUCUAUGUAUUCACACAUGUAUUAUGUUUCCGGUUAAUACAAUUCUAGCAUGAAUAAUAAACAUUUAUCAUGAAAUAAGGAAAUAAAUGAUAACUUUAUUAUUGCCUCUAGGGCAUAUUUCCUUCAGUCUCCCACUUGCACUAGAGUCAAUAAUCUAGUUCACAUCGCCAUGUGAUUUAACACCAAUAUUCAUAUCUAUAUAUGAUUAACACCCAUAGUUCACAUCAUCAUGUGACCAACACCCAAAAGGUUUACUAGAGUCAAUAAUCUAGUUCACAUCGCUUAUGUGAUUAACACCCAAAGAGUACUAAGGUGUGAUCAUGUUUUGCUUGUGAGAGAAGCUUAGUCAACGGGUCUGUCAUAUUCAGAGCCAUAUGUAUUUUGCAAAUGUUCUAUGUCUACAAUGCUUUGCACGAAGCUACACUAGCUAAUUGCUCCCACUUUCAACAUGUAUCCAGAUUGAGACUUAGAGUCAUCUGGAUCGGUGUAAAAGCUUGCACCAAUGUAACUCUUUACGACGGGCUCUUUUAUCACCUCCAUAAUCGAGAAAUAUUUCCUUAGUUCUCACUAAGGAUAUUCUUGACCAAUGUCCAGUGAUCUACUCCUAGAUCACUAUUGUACUCCCUUGUCAAAUUCAGAGCAAGGUAUACAAUAGGUCUGGUACAUAGCAUACUUUAUAGAACCUAUGACUGAGGCAUAGGGAAUGAUUUUCAUUCUCUUUUCUAUUUUCUGUCGUGGUCGGGAUUUGAGUCUUACUCAAUUUUACACCUUUGCAAACAUAGGCAAGAACUCUUUCUUUGACCGUUCCAUUUUGAACUACUUCAAAAUCUUGACAAGGUAUGUACUUAUUGAAAAACUUAUCAAGCGUCUUGAUCUAUCUCAAUAGAUCUUGAUGCUCAAUAUGUAAGUAGCUUUACUGAGGUCUUUCUUCUAAAAAAACUCCUUUCAGACACUCCUUUAUGCUUUGCAGAAUAAUUCUACAUUAUUUUCGAUCAAUAAUAUGUCGUUCACAUAUACUAAUCAGAAAUGUUGUAGUGCUCCCACUCACUUUCUUGUAAAUACACGCUUCUCCAAAAGUCUGUAUAAAACCAUAUGCUUUGAUCAACUCAUCAAAGUGUAUAUUCCAACUCCGAGAUGCUUGCACCAGUCCAUAGAUGGAUCGCUGGAGCAUGCACACUUUGUUAGCACCUUUAGGAUUGACAAAACCUUCUGGUUGCAUCAUAUACAACUCUUCUUUAAUAAAUCCAUUAAGGAAUGCAAUUUUGACAUCCAUUUGCCAGAUUUCAUAAAAUGUGGCAAUUGCUAACAUGAUUCGGAUAGACUUAAGCAUCGCUACAGUUGAGAAAAUCUCAUUGUAGUCAACACCUUGAACUUGUCAAAAACCUUUUUGCGACAAGUCAAGCUUUGUAGAUAGUAACACUACUAUCAACGUCCGUCUUCCUUUUGAAGAUCCAUUUAUUUAACAUGGCUUGCUGAUCAUCGAGCAAGUCAAUCAAAGUCUAUACUUUGUUAUCAUACAUGGAUCCUAUCUCAGAUUUCAUGGCCUCAAGCCAUUUCAGGGAAUCUGGGCUCAUCAUCGCUUCCUCAUAGUUCGCAGGUUCAUCAUGGUCUAGUAACAUGACUUCCAAAACAUGAUUACUGCACCACUCUGGUGCGGAUCUUACUCUGGAAGACCUAUGAGGUUCUGUAGUAACUCAAUCUGAAGUUUCAUGAUCAUCAUCAUUAACUUCCUCACUAAUUGGUGUAGUAGUCACAGGAACAGAUUUCUGUGAUGAACUACUUUCAAAUAAGGGAGCAGGUACAAUUACCUCAUCAAGUUCUACUUUCCUCCCACUCACUUCUUUCGAGAGAAACUCCUUCUCUAGAAAGGAUCCAUUCUUAGCAACGAAUGUUUUGCCUUUGGAUUUGUGAUAGAAGGAGUACCCAACCGUUUCCUUUGGGUAUUCUAUGAAGACGCACUACUCCGAUUUGGGUUCGAGCUUAUCAGGUUGAAACUUUUUCAUAUAAGCAUCGCAACUCCAAACUUUAAGAAACGACAGCUUAGGUUUACUGCUAAACCAUAGUUCAUACGGUGUCGUCUCAACGGAUUUAGAUGGUGCCCUUUUAAACGUGAAUGCAGCUAUCUCUAAUGCACAACCCCAAAACGAUAGUGGUAAAACCGAUAAGAGACAUCAUAGAUCGCACCAUAUCCUAUAAAGUGCAGUUACGACGUUCGGACACACCAUAACGUUGUGGUGUUCCAGGUGGCGUGAGCUGUGAAACUAUUCCACAUUGUUUUAAUUGAAGACCAAACUCAUAACUCAAAUAUUCGUCUCCGCGAUCAGAUCGUAGAAACUUUAUUUUUCUUGUUAUGAUGAUUUUUCCACUUCACUCUGAAAUUCUUUGAACUUUUCAACUAUUUCAGACUUAUGUUUCAUUAAGUAGAUAUACCCAUAUCUGCACAAAUCAUCUGUGAAGGUUAGAAAAUAACGAUACUUGCCACGAGCAUCAAUACUCAUUGGACCGCAUACAUCAGUAUGUAUUAUUUCCAAUAAGUCACUAGCUCGUUCCAUUGUUCCGGAGAAUGGAGUUUUAGUCAUCUUGCCCAAAUGGCACGGUUCGCAAGUAUCAAAUGAUUCAUAACCAAGUGAUUCCAAAAAUCCAUCUUUAUGGAGUUUCUUCAUGCGCUUUACACCGAUAUGACCCAAACGGCAGUGCCACAAAUAAGUUGCACUAUCAUUAACUUUGCAUCAUUUUGGCAUCAAUAUUAUGAAUAUGUGUAUUACUACGAUCGAGAUCCAACAAACUAUUUUCAUUGGGUGUAAUGACCAUCGAAGGUUUUAUUCAUGUAAAUAGAACAACAAUUAUUCUUUGACUUUAAAUGAAUAACUGUAUUGCAAUAAACAUGAUCAAAUCAUAUUCAUGCUCAAUGCAAGCGCCAAAUAACAUUUAUUUAGGUUCAACACUAAUCCCGAAAGUAUAGGGAGUGUGCGAUGAUGAUCAUAUCAAUCUUGGAACCACUUCCAACACUCAUCGUCACUUCCCCUUCAACUAGUCUCUGUUUAUUCUGUAACUCCUGUUUUGAGUUACUAACCUUACCAACCGAACAAGUAUCAAAUACUCAGGGGCUACUAUAAACACUAGUAAGGCACACAUCAAUAACCUGUAUAUCAAAUAUACCCUUGUUCACUUUGCCAUCCUUCUUAUCCACCCAAUAUUCAGGGUAUUUCCGUUUCCAGUGACCAUUUCCUUUGCAGUGUAAGCACUCAGUUUCAGGCUUAGGUCCAGCUUUGGGCUUCUUCACGGGAGUGACAACUUGUUUGCCAUUCUACUUGAAGUUUCCCUUUCUUUCCCUUUGCUUGAAACUAGUGGUCUUGUCAAUCAUCAACACUUGAUGCUCUUUCUUGAUUUCUACCUUCGUUAAUUUCAACAUCACGAAGAGCUCGGGAAUUGUCUUCGUCAUCCCUUGCAUACUGUAGUUCAUCACAAAGUUCUACUAACUUGGUGAUGGUGACUAGAGAACUCUAUCAAUCACUAUCUUAUCUGGAAGAUUAACUCCCACUUCAUUCAAGCCAUUGUAGUACCCAGACAAUCUGAGCACAUGCUCACUAGUUGAGUGAUUCUCCUCUAUCUUUUAGCCAUAGAACUUGUUGGAGACUUCAUAUCUCUCAACUCGGGUAUUUGCUUGAAAUAUUAACUUCAACUCCUGGAACAUCUCAUAUGGUCCAUGACGUUCAAAACAUCUUUGAAGUCCCGGUUCUAAGCCGUUAAGCAUGGUGCACUAAACUAUCAAGUAGUCAUCAUAUUGGGCUAGCCAAACGUUCAUAACAUCUGCAUCUGCUCCUGCAGUAGGUCUGUCACCUAGCGGUGCAUUAAGGACAUAAUUCUUCUGUGCAGCAAUGAGGAUAAACCUCAGAUCACGGAUCCAAUCCGCAUCAUUGCUACUAACAUCUUUCAACACAAUUUUCUCUAGGAACAUAUCAAAAUAAACAUAUGAAAGCAACAACGCGAGCUAGUGAUCUACAACAUAAUUUGCAAAAUACUACCAGGACUAAGUUCAUGAUAAAUUUAAGUUCAAUUAAUCAUAUUACUUAAGAACUCCCACUUAGAUAGACAUCCCUCUAAUCCUCUAAGUGAUUACGUGAUCCAUAUCAACUACACCAUGUCCGAUCAUCACGUGAGAUGGAGUAGUUUCAAUGGUGAACAUCAAUAUGUUGAUCAUAUCUACUAUAUAAUUCACGCUCGACCUUUCGGUCUCCGUGUUCCGAGGCCAUAUCUGUAUAUGCUAGGCUCGUCAAGUAUGACCUGAGUAUUCCGCGUGUGCAACUGUUUUGCACCCGUUGUAUUUGAACGUAGAGCCUAUCACACCCGAUCAUCACGUGGUGUCUCAGCACGAAGAACUUUCGCAACGGUGCAUACUCAGGGAGAACACUUCUUGAUAAUUAGUGAGAGAUCAUCUUAUAAUGCUACCGUCAAACAAAACAGAAUAAGAUGUAUAACAGAUAAACAUCAUAUGCAAUCAAAAUAUGUGACAUGAUAUGGCCAUGAUCAUCUUGCACCUUUGAUCUCCAUCUCCAAAGUACUGUCAUGAUCUCUAUCGUUACCGGCACGACACCAUGAUCUUCAUCAUCUUGAUCUAUAUCAAUGUGUCGUCACAUGGUCGUCUCGCCAACUAUUGCUCUUGCAACUAUUGCUAUCGCAUAGCGAUAAAGUAAAGCAAUUAUUUAGUACUUGCAUCUUAUGCAACAAAGAGACAACCAUAGGGCUUCUGCCAGUUGCCGAUAACUUCAACAAAACAUGAACAUCUCAUGCAACAACUUAUAUCUCAUCACGUCAUGACCAUAUCACAUCACAACAUGCCCUGCAAAAACAAGUUAGACGUCCUCUACUUUGUUGUUGCAAAUUUUAUGUGGCUGCUACGGGCUGAGCAACAACCGUUCUUACCUACGCAUAAAAACCACAACGAUAGUUUGUCAAGUUGGUGCUGUUUUAACCUUCGCAAGGACCGGGCGUAGCCACACUCGAUUCAGCUAAAGUGAGAGAGACAGACACCCGCCAGCCACCUUUAAGCACGAGUGCUCGUAACGGCGAAACCAUUCUCGCGUAAGCGUACGCGUAAUGUCGGUCCGGGCCGCUUCAUCUCACAAUACCGCCGAACCAAAGUAUGACAUGCUGGUAAGCAGUAUGACUUGUAUCGCCCACAACUCACUUGUGUUCUACUCGUGCAUAUAACCUCAAUGCAUAAAACCUAGGCUCGGAUGCCACUGUUGGGGAACGUAGUAAUUUCAAAAAAAUUCCUACGUACACGCAAGAUCAUGGUGAUGACAUAGCAACGAGAGGGAAGAGUGUUGUCCACGUACCCUCGUAGACCGUAAGCGGAAGCGUCAUGACAACGCGGUUGAUGUAGUCGUACGUCUUCACAAUCUGACCGAUCCAAGUACCGAACGUACCGCACCUCCGAGUUCAGCACACGUUCAGCUCGAUGACGAUCCCCGGACUCCGAUCCAGCAAAGUGUCGGGGAUGAGUUCCGUCAGCACGACGGCGUGGUGACGAUGAUGAUGUUCUACCGGCGCAGGGCUUCGCCUAAACUCCGUGACGAUAUGACCGAGGUGGAAUAUGGUGGAGGGGGGCACUGCACACGGCUAAGGAACGAUCUGUAGAUCAACUUGUGUUGUUAUGGGCUGCCCCCUGCCCCCGUAUAUAAAGGAGCAAGGGGGGAGGGGGCGGCCGGCCUAGGAGGGGCGCGCCAAGGGGAGUCCUACUGCCACCGGGAGUAGGACUCCCUCCUUCCUUGUUGGAGUAGGAGAAGGGGGAAAGAGGGGGAGAGGAGGAAGGAAAAGGGGGCCGCACCCCUUGUCCAAUUCGGACCAGAGGGGGGCUGCGCGCCUCCUUCCUUUUGGCCUCUCUCCUCUAUUCCCGUAUGGCCCAAUAAGGUCCAUAUACUCCCCGGCGAAUUCCCGUAACUCUCCGGUACUCCGAAAAAUACCCGAAUCACUCGGAACCUUUCCGAACUCCGAAUAUAGUCGUCCAAUAUAUCGAUCUUUACGUCUCGACCAUUUUGAGACUCCUCGUCAUGUCCCCGAUCUCAUCUGGGACUCCGAACUCCUUCGGUACAUCAAAACUCAUAAACUCAUAAUAUAACUGUCAUCGAAACCUUAAGCGUGCGGACCCUACGGGUUCGAGAACUAUGUAGACAUGACCUAAGACUAUUCUUGGACAAUAACCAAUAGCGGAACCUGGAUGCCCAUAUUGGCUCCUACAUAUUCUACGAAGAUCUUUAUCGGUCAAACCGCAUAACAACAUACGUUGUUCCCUUUGUCAUUGGUAUGUUACUUGCCCGAGAUUUGAUCGUCGGUAUCCAAUACCUAGUUCAAUCUCGUUACCGGCAAGUCUCUUUACUCGUUCCGUAAUGCAUCAUUCCAUAACCAACUCAUUUGGUCACAUUGCUUGCAAGGCUUAUAAAGAUGUGCAUUACCGAGAGGGCCCAGAGAUACCUCUCCGACAAUCGGAGUGACAAAACCUAAUCUUGAAAUAGGCCAACUCAACAUGUAGCUUCGGAGACACCUGUAGUACUCCUUUAUAAUCACCCAGUUACGUUGUGACGUUUGGUAGUACCCAAAGUGUUCCUCCGGUAAACGGGAGUUGCAUAUUUCUCAUAGUUACAGGAACAUGUAUAAGUCACGAAGAAAGCAAUAGCAACAUACUUAACGAUCAAGUGCUAAGCUAAUGGAAUGGGUCAAGUCAAUCACAUCAUUCUCCUAAUGAUGUGAUCCCGUUAAUCAAAUGACAACUCAUGUUUAUGGCUAGGAAACUUAACCAUCUUUGAUUCAACGAGCUAGUCAAGUAGAGGCAUACUAGUGACACUAUGUUUGUCUAUGUAUUCACACAUGUAUUAUGUUUCCGGUUAAUACAAUUCUAGCAUGAAUAAUAAACAUUUAUCAUGAAAUAAGGAAAUAAAUAAUAACUUUAUUAUUGCCUCUAGGGCAUAUUUCCUUCAGCCGGUGCGCUGACUAGGACGAGGCCGGCGCGGUCGAUAUUAGUGGUCUCGGUCGCACCCAGCCAGAUCCCCCGACCCCCAAAAACCCUAGCUUUCGUUGUCCCCUCUUCUCUCACCGCGGAUUUGAGGCGAUGGCUGUGACGACUCCUAGCAGCGGCGGUGUCAUGGGCGGGUAUAGCGACCUUCCUGGCCUCGGGAACGAUGACCACGUGGGUCUGGACGGCUCUAGUUCGCCCAACUCUAGUGGCGAUGAGAAAGAGGAGGAGGAGGUGCCCCUGAACUGGGAACAACGAGUCUGGCUCGCUGAGAUGUGGUUGGCCAACCCAACCACAAGCCAUCACUGGACCAGUGGAGCGGGUGGAGUGUUCUAAGUCCCUCCAUUUUUCCUUAUGUUUGUUCAAAUCAUAGGGCUAGGGUUAGUGUUCUUAAAGCACUGGAAAAAAAAUUUAAUUUUGCCGUGGCUUGUAGGUUAGAUGAUGUUAUAUGGGAUGUUAGGAUUCACUUUGAUGCUGGGCACAAUUUGGAUAGUAAGAUUUGCAGCUCAGAUGUCACAUUUCUGAAUAUAUAUACACUGAUGCAAAUAGUAGGAUUUGCAUUCAGUGAUGAACUGUAUCACAUGAAAAAUGUAGCUGCAGGAGUUGAGAGAGAGCAUGGACUAGAACUGAUUGAGACAAACAUCAAGUUGCAAGAACUAAAGAAGCAGUAUGAGGAUUCAUUAGUUCUGAAUUUGUUAGUGAGGGUAAUAGGACCUAUCAGUUCUGUAUUUGUUAGUCAGGGCAACAUCAAUCACAUAGUUGAUGAAUUAGCUAUAGUCUUAUAUGAACCACCUGUUGUGUAUGAUCUCAGUGAUCCUGGUGUUUUUGUUGUUGAUGAUCAUGGUAUAUUUUUUCAAAGUCAGUGCAUCAGCAGCACUAUGCAACCUACUCAACAUACUGCUAUGUGCACACAAGAGAGUAGAAAUGUCAGUAAGGGGAAGAUGAAAGCUGUGCUGGAGGAAGAGGAGCUGGAGGGAUAUAAGAGUAGUGAUGAGGAGAUUGCAUAUGAUAGUGAUAACAACCCUUUUAGCCUGGGGAAGUACAUCAUUCCUGAUGCAGAAGAUGAAGAUUCAGAUGAAGAAUCAGAAGAGGAACACUUACAUUAUGAGGGUGACACCGAGGUUGAUGAUUUGUUUGAGGAGGAGGAGGAGGAGGAGGUUAAUGUUGUUGCAGCAGAAGAACAACCCAUGCAACGACCUGCAAGAAAGAGAUAGAAGCUACAUGUUAGAAGAGGUCCCACCACUAGGUCACAUUCUAGUGUUCUAUAGGAGGUGAAACCUGAUUUCAUUCCUUCAUCAGAAGAAGAAGAUCAUGGGCUGCUAUUUGACAGUGAGGAUGAUGGACACGAGGAACCAACUUUUGUCUUAAAGAAAUGCAAGAAAAGUAGGGCCAAGAAAAAUAAAACCUAGGAUAUGGUACAAUGACAAACUAGGGAAACCACAUCAGCAGUUGUGUCUACACAUGUGCUUCAAGAAUCAACAAUAAUUUAGAGAAGCAUUGUUGAGCUUGCACAUUAGACAGGCAAGAAAUUUCAGGUACCACAGAAACUCAGACAAAAGGAUAAUAGCAUGUUGUAAACAUGAUAAGUGCAAGUUCUGCAUAGUUCCUGCAGUUAUCGAAGGGGAAAAGACAUUUUCUAUUUAGAAGAUGAGGCUGCAACACACUUGUCCUUCCAGUACAGAGUCCUCUAGGGUUAGUGCAAAGUGGCUUGCAAAGACCUAUGAGUCAUUGUUCAUAUAUGAUCCAAGCACUAGCAUAGCCACUAUGAUUGACAAUUGCCAGGAGAAGUAUGGUGUUGAUGUGCCCAGGCACAUGGCCUAUAGGGCCAAGAACCUUGCUGUGAAAGCUAUAUCAGGAGAGCACAAGCAGCAGUAUCCCAGGUUGAGGGAUUAUGCUCAAACCAUCAUGGAUACAAACCCUGGAAGUAGAGUUGUUGUGGCAAUAGUAACUCCAAGACCUACAACUAAAAUACCACAUCCUGGACCAAGGUUUCAUGCUAUGUUCUUCUACAUAAAUGGAGCAAGAGAGGGAUUUCUCAAUGGAUGCAGGCCAUUCGUUGGUUAGUAACAUGUUUAUUUCCUUUCUAUAGAAUGCUUGUAGAUCACACCUUCUGAAUCAUAUAUGCUUACUUUAAAUGUUGCUUUCUUGUUAAAUUAGGUGUUGAUGGGUGCUUUAUUAAACUGAAUAUGAUGCUCAAAUCCUGGCUGUCACUCGGAGAGAUGGAAAUAACAACAUAUUUCCACUAGCAUUUGCUAUAGUUGGACAAGAGGACACAGCAAACUGGUGUUGGUUUCUACACCAGCUCAAGAUAUGUAUAGGAGGUGAAUACGGGAAAUUUGGCCCUUACACAAUCAUGUCUGAUAGACAGAAGGUAUGCAUGCAUCUCCAUUUAUGUUGUACUCCAUUAGCUUAGUAGAGUCAAUACUCCAGUAGCUUAGUAUGUUAUAUUAUGUGAUCAGGGCCUACUAAAUGCCGUAAAUCAGGUAUUUCCAAACUGCCAUCAAAGAUUUUGCCUUAGACACCUAUAUGCAAAUUUCCAGAAUGCUGGGUUUAGGGGGGGGGAGACCUUAAGAAAUGUAUGGAUAAUGCUAGCUAUGCUUAUAACCAACACAAGUAUAACAUUGCAAUGAAUAAUCUGGAAAAUGAGAGUGAGGAAUCUUGGAAGUGGCUGAGUGGAAUAUCAAAACACACAUAGGCCAGACAUGCUUUUGACACUAACUGCAAGACAGAUUUGGUUGUUAACAACCUGCGAGAGGUGUUCAACAAGUAUAUCUUAGGUUUUAGGAAAAAACCUAUUAGGACUAUGGUUGAUGGUAUUAAGGACAAGCAGAUGGUGAGGUGGCAUAGGAAUAGAGAGAGAGGCAAAGCAGCUAUGUGGGAGAUCACACCUCAUUAUGCUGAAAAGCUGGAGGUGGAAAAGGAAAGGGCCAGAUUUUGCAAACCAAUUCAAGCUGGUGUUAAUAUAUGGCAAGUGACAAGUGGGCAGCAAACUCAUGCAGUUAACCUGGAAUAGUUCACAUGUGGUUUCUGAAAGUGGGACCUGUUUGGCAUACCAUGCAACCAUGCUAUAUCAGCAAUUAAUAAGGUAAAAAGGUUUCCAGAGGACUAUGUUUCCAAAUUCUUCAAAAAACCUAUGUACCUGGCAUCAUAUGAACCUAUGAUAUAUCCUGUUCCUGGUGAACAUGAUUGGACAAAGACUCCUGGACCAGACAUAGAGCCACCUGACUUCCAUGUGAAGAGAGGAAGGAAGAAAGAAAAGAGGAUAAAAGGCAAGUUUGAAGUUCCAAAGUCAAAGGACACUUCUAGAAUGGCAACUAUAGCAUGCAGUAAUUUUGGGCUCCAAGGCCAUCGGUACACCAACUGCAAGAAAGCUUUGAAACCAGAGUUGGCUAUGAGGAAGAAUAAGCAUGUGGUAAUCCACUUGCCACUCUAGUUUAAUUUUUUGUAUUUUUGAAUUUUUUAGUAAAUACUAUUAUUUCUUUUGUUUGCAAGGCACCUGCAAGAUCACAGCCCUCAGCAGGAAGAUCACCUCCAGCAGCAAGAUCACAGCCUCCACCAGCAAGAUCACAGCCUCCAGCUGCAAGAUCACAUCCCCCACCUGCAAGAUCACAACCCCACCUGCAAGAACUUCUAGGGGUGGAAGUUCUGCUGGUGCAAGCUAUCAAAUACCAUUCUCUGCCCCAAGAGCUUCAACUUCUGGUGCUCCUACUGCUGGUGGUCCAAGAAACCAUUCUGAAUGGAUGUCUUUUUUACUACCAGUCAAAACAAACGAGUGGAAUGAGUUAUGUAAACAUCUGGGUGAUGUUUGUUGUUAGUUCUUGUUAGUAUGUGAACAUCUUCAACUAUGUAUGCUUUUGAACCCUGGUACUAUGUAUGUUGUUGGCUACUGAGUUAUUUGAGACUGAACAUCUAUAUUAAGUGAUGUUUGUACUAAGGUUCAAUUUGAUGUGAUGAGAAGUAAGUUGUGUGUGUACCAAUUUAUAGAAAAUCUAUAUCAAAUGAAAUCACUUGUUGCUAUCAAAUGCCAGCAUAAUUCUCACAAAUGGUUUCAUAGCAUAGCUCAUUACCAUAGAAUUCAUACAAAAUAGAUACUGGUGGCACAUUACAAACCCUAGGACUGCACCUAGCACAUUACAAACCAAGUUCCAGAUUACUUUAAUGAUCAAUUACAACCCAGUUUCUAGCACUCAGACUGACACAAGUAAAUGAACUUCAGUAUACUAGCAUUUUCCCUAAGACUACACCAAGCACAAAGACAACGAAAACCAUCACCAAAUUCAUGUACUUGCCCUUCAUUGCUUCCAGUUCUGCAUUCUUCUCCCUUAACUGCACCUGCAAAGACAUAACCCUUGACCCUUCUAAAGCUGCUUCAUUUCCAGAGACUGGCAGAUCUGGAUCUUCCGUACGAGCCACAAAUCAUUGACCCUUCAGCCUCCACACCUCAUCUCUUAGAUCUCCAAUCAUGUCAGUUAAAAACUAAGGCAAAGGAACAUCAUGCCAUUCAUGAAAGCCACAUCCACCAUGCUAUUCAACACAAAUGUGGAAAGAAAUAAAUCAAUGAGUAUGAGCAAAAAUGGCCAUAAGAAAAUGAUAUGAGCACAAGAAAUGGGGCUCACCAUUGCAUCCACACAGGCGUAGUACCUCCGGCUGGGGUUUUGACGGCUCCAGGAGAUCCAUCGCGGUGCCUUCCACGGCGGAUCGCAGUGGCACAUGUUCGGCGGCUCGUACGACAUUGGGCUCUGCCUGUAAGCAACAGGAAACCUCGAUUCCAUGUCCCUUCUUCCACUGGAGCGGCGGAAGCCGGGAGCGGAAGAGCCCGAAGACCAUAGUCUAGAGUUAUUACUUGUAAACAAUAGCAUACAUCAUAAAAGGUCAGCUAAGCAUGCUUCUCAUGUCAUGUUCAUCUGGAUCUUGCUCUUACAUCUUCUUCAUUCUGCCAAGAUGUCCUGGACCCCUUUAACUUCUUCAUGUUCUUCUCCUCUGACCCAAGCAAAUCAGCAAUGUGAAGCUUCAGUUCAGCCCUGCCUCCAGUGAGCUUCUCAUGUCCUUUCUUCAGGUCACCCAUGUGAAGCUUCAACUUUAAGUUCUCCUGUGUGAGCUUUUCCACUGACUUGUUGAGUUCAUCAACCUGCAACUGCAAGUUCCUACUAGCUUCACUAAGUUGCUCCUUAUCUUUCAAAUGGUUGAUCUUCAGGUUUUGGAUGACAGUGCCUUGAGCUUGUGUCAGAUUCAUCGGGAAUUUAUACUUCUCCUGCAGCUUGUAUAUCUCUGCAUCUUUCUUAUCCAUCUCUACAUUCAUAUCAGACACAACUGACUUGGUAACCUCAGCACCCCUCAUCUUAGCAUUCAAAUAGCUGAAAUCCAUCAUUCUGUCCUCUUGUGCACUGGAUAGUUCAUGCACAUCUUCAACCAAUUUGUCAUAGUUGGCCUCCAGUUUGUUUUUCUGCUCUGUCAAAUGGUGAAUAGUGAGUGAAUUCUCAAGCUUAUCCUUCCUCCUACCACUCCUGUUGUCUGAGUACAUCUCCCAUAGCUUCAACAAAGCAUUCUAUAGUGUGGGAGGUCUCUCUGGGUCAACCCAUUGAACAAAACCACAGUUAUCAGCUUCCUGCAACGUAAACAUCACAAUCAGAUUUAUUGUAAACAACCCAUUCAAACAGCUGAACCCUAGCAUGUGCAAUGUAAACAACAAGUUUAAUGUAAGCAACACUUGUAUUGUAAACAACUAAACUAUGAGCAUCCCACAUAAUAAAUUAUCUGAUCUAUGAGCAACUAACAAUUAACAAGUAACCCAAAGCGAGCUGCCCAACUACCUAUGAAAGUGAUUUGAAACUCAAACAGAACAUUUAUGAGGGACCCACACUGUAAGAUAAAUCUACUUUUGCCAACUAACAAUUAAAAAACAACUCAAACUUGAAGCAUCUGACACAAUCAGUGAGAUGCCUAAUUAAAGAAUGAGCAUCUACACUGCAAACUAAGUUGUUGACAAGUUAUAAAGUAGACAUCUACUUCCCAAAUUAAAUAUACAUGGAAAGCAUCAGCAACUGGCUAAACAGGUACACAAUCAGAUGCUGCCUACUUAAACAAUCACAGAAUCUGCAUCAGCGCAUGGGUAAACUAAGAAAUGACCAACAUAUCCACCAACAUAAAACUAUGGACUGGACCAUGUGCUCACUCACAUUCUUAAUACAAAAAAUAAAGCUAAUGUGUAGCAUCUGACCUUAUUAGCACACACUAAGAACCUCCUGCCCAUGUCAAAUCCUUCAAAGGCCACACGCCUCUCACCUACCAGAACAUGGUGCUCGCAAGGAACCAACAGUGUUGUCUCAACGCCCAUGUAGUCCUGGUCGUCAAUGCUAGCAGGGACCUAAAGGACCAAAAUGAACCAAGAAAUCCCCCAAAUCAAAUCACCAAUCCCCUAGGAACGAACAAAAACCCUAACCCUAACCCUAGUUUUGCAACUCACCUGGUACUGCAUGCUGUCGUCCGAUGAGCUGAUGUACAGGAGGCUCGAGUAUUCGUUGCUGCUCUCAUCCUCGUACACCAUGGCGUGACGGACGGUGGCGGCGGCGGGGGCGGUCGAUGGCGGAGGGGGCAAGGAGAGAGCUCAACGAGGAGGAGGGAGACUGGACUGGUCGGGGGAUACGGCUGGGUGCGACCGAGCCUGCAAAGACCGACCGCAUCGGCCUCAUCCUAGUCAGCGCACCGGCACACACCGAUUCGCCAGCGUGUCGCCCGACAGGUGGGGCCGCGCGGUCAAAUACAUGGUCAAUACGGGGUUAUACGACUGUCAUUCCUUUUUGUAACGAUUAGGCCGAAUAAUGGUACUGAAUUGCAACAUGCACGAAGUGUGGUACUGACUUGUUACAUGGUGCUGAAAUGUUGUAUCUCCUUGCAAUUAACUCCGGGUCAUCCAUACCUGGUGUGGGUGCCCAUGAAACCCAGCCACUCUUCGGCUCUUCCUCCUCCCAAGUCCCAACAUCAGACUCCAUUCCACAUUUCCAAUUCACUUCUCGCGUUGUCCAAAUGUUGCCUGCUGACGCCCUGCUGCCAGAGGGUGCGACGGCGCUGGAGAUUCCCUCCGAUCGUCCGGUCACCUUGUGCCAUUUCAAGGGCCCUGAGGUCCCUGCCGGCGCGACCGCGGUCCACGGCCUCACCGAUGUAUCCCUCCCGGACUCCAUCAUCAAUCUGUACUGCACUGGCAGUCACAAUGGUUCGAGGGCGCUCUACGCGGGGUGCAUCGCCUAUGUGUCCAUCAUCCCGAAGAGGACCCUGGGCCACACGGGCCCGGAGCCCUUCAUCCGCCGCGUCUUCUGCACCCUCGCGCUCGACCUCCCGCAGACCUUCUAGUUCCUCCGUCCCGCCUUGGGCUCCGAUGACAUUCUUACGUUAUUCCGCAGGCUGUGUGACAGAGAGGAGGCCAUGCGCAGGCAGCCGUUCCAGCUCGACAACGUCGCGGUGAAGCUCGUGCCCGUUGAAAUGAUCACUGAUGUCUCCCGCGACGGAGGCUACAUGGUCCAUGCAGUGAUGCACGACUACCCUAUCGAGCAGCAGACCAGGAUACACACCGCAGAUAACUGACGCAGCUUUGGGCUCGUGCGCGAGAUCGACCACGCCUGCUUCGCGGCGCCUGACCUCUCCACCGUCCGCGUCAUCCUUCAAGUCGAGCACCCUCGAGAAAUCUCCCGUGAGCUCCGGAUCUACUACGAUGAUUGUUCCGCCAACAUUGUCCCCAUCGAGAUCAUUAGGGUUUGGGAGUCGUCACACUCCAGCAACGCUAAUGGGAAGUACUUGCCUCUCUUCAAGCCCCCAAUUGGGAGGCCAAAUAAUGAAGACUAGGGACUAGAGCCUAUUAGACGCUCAUGCGCAGACCUAUUUCGUGUGUAGUAGAAAUGGACGUGUAUUUUCUCCAAUAGUAAAAAUGUUGGGACAUUCACAUUUGUGCCCCUAACUUGAACCCACUACUCAAAUUUACCCCUAACUUUUUGAUGUGCUCAAAUUUUCCCCUAAAAAGCAUUUUAAGUCAUAGGAAUGCCCUUCCAGCUGGUCAAAGUUGUUUGACCAAAACUUUGAAAAUUCAUAACAAAUUCAUAUGAACUUAGAAGAAUGCAAAAUAAGAUAUCAAAAUGCUCAUAAAAACAAAACCUAUAUGCACAUGUCAUUUAUGUUCAUGACAAAAGCACUCUUUAAAGCUUUUUAGGGUUUAUAACAUUAAAAAACAAUUUAGGGCCAAUUCAAAUAAAUGCACAUGUAGGUGAGGAACGUAAAUGACAUGUGCGUAUAGGUGAUGUUUUUAUGAACAUUUUGAUAUCUUAUUGCAUUUUUCUAACUUUGUAUGAAUUUGUUAUGAAUUUUCAAAGUUUUGGUCAAACAACUUUGACCAGAUGGAAGGGCAUUCCCGCGACUUAAAAUGCUUUUUAGGGGCAAAUUUUAGCACAUCAAAAAUUUAGGGGUAAAUCUGAGAGUGGGCACAAAUUAGGGGCAUAUAAAUGUCCCAAAAAUGUUUGCCUUUUGUGUCUUUUGUUCAUAUACUGUACCAACUAGUAGAAUGCUCGUGCGUUGCAGGCUUUUGAAACUAAAUUAAGAUGUUAAUAACGGAUUUUAUGCCCGUGCGUUACUAUGGGCUUUUGAAAAGAAGUUGAGAUGCUAAUGGCGGAGCUAGCUAAAAAAUCCGAGAACAAUGUCAUCUCAGCUAACACGACAAUCAACUAACACACUUCAUACUCUCAAAUCCUCCACGAACGUGCCCCAUCAGUGACCGAACAGGAGAGAGAAGGAAAAAGGUGACCAAACAACACCCCACAUAUCAUCCCUAUACAUACGAGUUGUCCGCAAAACCUUUAUUGACACCAAAUAUGGAUAGAGACCCGCCCCGUCAGUGACCGAACAGGAGAGAGAAGGAAAAAAUGUGACUCAACCACACCCCUCAUAUCAUCCCUAUACAUCCAAGUUGUCCGCAAACCCUCUAUUAACACCACAUAUGGAUAGGAUAUGUGGGCACGGGGACAUUGUCCACCUUUCUUUCUUUUCUUUCUUGCUCUUCAUCUCCAUAAAUCACAUGAAGUGAGGGAGAAAAUGAGAAACAUGACUGCAUGCCCAGACAAAAAGGGGCUCAAAACAGACACGGUCAGACACUGACCGGGCGCAUCCGCAGAUGUUUAGGGGGGGCAGAUCUGCUUAAUCUAGCAAUAGAUGCUCUCUUAUUGACAACUAAAGAAAAUUUGUUUUUUAUUCUAUAGCAUCAUGAAUACAAUUUGAUGGAUACCUAAUCCAAGUUCUAUAUAUAACUUAUUCGCACAACCCUUUUCCGCUAGCCAAUGAGUGGAUCCAUUAGCCAAGCAUCUCACCCAUACUAACAUGUACUCCUCCCUUGAUCCCAUGCACUUCUUUACCUCCUCAGUGAUAGGGCUAUAGAUAGAUCUAUCGAUUUCUGAGCUUUUUUUUACUUAGAAGUCACUUUUUUUGAGUCCGUCUCCAGGAUAAGCUUCGCCACGUCUAGUUCACGUGUAAGCUGAGCAGCCCAUCAACACGCCUGGAGUUCAGCAAAUUCAGAGUCCAUGGUGAAGGAGAAAAAAUGGCAUGUGCCUCCGCCUAGAAAAAAUGUUAUAAAAACCAACUAAUAGUUAAAUGGUUAGGAUAGUGGUGGUACCGACCAUGUGUGAGUGCAUGUGUGUAUUUUAUGGUGUGCAUACUGUUAUCCAUAUUUCUUUAAACUUCUGUCAAGACACAUAAAUUCAAAUACAGACAUAUCAAAAAAAUCUGGAGUUCGUGGGCUAUUCUCAUUCCCUGCCGGUCCGUUUUUCACGGGGAGUAUUAAUGCACACUUCCUAAUAUCUCAACAUUCCAACCCUGUAGUGAAAGUGCGUUAUAUCGACUAGAGGGGGGGGGGGGUGAAUAGGCGAUUUUUAUGAAUUCUUCACUGAGGAAUUUGCAGGUGAGGAAAUUCCUAAAUGAAGAAGUACUUGCAGCGGAAUAAGUACUCAGAAAGGAACAUAACAGAACACAAGCACAAUCAUCAUGAUGAAAUGAAGACAAGCACAGAGUACAGAAAGCGUAAACACAGGAUAACACAAGAUGAAGACAGACAGACUAAAGAAAUUGAACUGAGGAAAUUGAGAAAGUCUUCAGUCAAAAGUCUUCAAACAGAUAUGAACAGGCACACAACAACAUACAUGAGGAAAUGAAAGAGUUGAGGAAAUAGAACCAGUUAUCUUGGUGAAGACAAUGAUUUGGUAGACCAGUUCCAACUGCUAUCUCAGUUGUACAUCUGGUUGGAGCGGCUGACUAUUUAAACUCGAGGACACCCAGUCCCGGACACACAGUCCUCACCGUAUUCUCCUUGAGCUAAGGUCACACAGACCUCGCCCAAUCACUCAUGGUAAGUCUUCAGGUGACUUCCGAACCUUCACAAACUUGGUCACUCGGCGAUCCACAAUUCCUCUUGGAUGCUCUAGACCUUGACGCCUAACCGUCUGGUAGAAGCACAGUCUUCAAAGGAAACAAGCAUCGGAUCCAUGCAGGAUCAAUCUCUUCAGUGAUGCUCAAUCACUUGGAGUUUUGUAGGUUUGGGUUUGGGAUUUCCCCACUUGAUGAUUUUCGCUCAAAGUCCUCGGAGGAUGGGUUGCUCUUAAAUGACAAGUGUCAAAUUCUCUCGGAGCAGCCAACCAGCUAGUGGUUGUAGGGGGCGGCUAUUUAUAGCCUAGCGAGCAGCCCGACAUGAUAAGACAUAAAUGCCCUUGUCUGAUAUGACCGUUAGGUGGAUAGAUAUUUUGGGACAGUUGGCGCGUAGCACAGCAACGGUCAGAAUAUUUGACUCUCAAAUACUUCAGGGCAAUCAUGUUCCUCACUUUGCAGGCAAUUCACACUGGUGAAUUUCUAACUCCUUAGUCAGAACAAAUUCCUCAUAGAUCAAAAGAACUCUGUCUCUGUCACUAAAGAAUAUGACUAAACUAUAUGAGAUUUCCAAUGGCUUCACUCGAAGGGAUUGGUAGGUGUAGGAUUUUGAGUUGAGCAUCACAUGGAAAUUUUUCCUUAGUAUUUCCUCGACCCCUUUAACAGUACGGUGUUUCCUAUGACUCAAGAAAGAGAAAAUGAAACUAUAAAAACAAAAGUCUUCACGCUUCAUGUUCCUCGAAUGAAUACCAAGUCUUCAAGGUCACACCAAUUUCUUCACUUUCAAAGUCCUCAAAAAGUCUUCAGAAAUCCAAAGUCUUCAGUUGAAGAACUUCAUUUUUAAGGGUCGACUUUCUCUGUAAAUAUCAAACUCCUUGUAGACUUAUAUACCUGUGUACACUCACAAACGCAUCAGUCCCUUAACCUAUAAGUCUUCAAUACACCAAAAUCACUAAGGGGCACUAGAUGCACUUACAUGUAGACAUGAGACAGCUUUUACCAUUAUCAGUACCUGGAAGAAGAUGCCAUCUUUUUUAUAUAGAAUUAUGAAAUGAUUUUUCAAACACUUAUCAAAGAGAUGUCAUGCUUGUUUUGACAUAAGCUCACUGGUUGUUUGGCCCACAUAAACUGGCAACAUUCAAAUACACCAGACGACCUUCCAUUACGGAAAUCUGGUAGUAGAGGUGAACAUCUACAAGGCUAUAAAGCAAAAACGAACAAAUCGACUAUGAUACAGACAAAAAUCAAAGAAGCUGGCAACAUUCCAACCUUGUAGACAUGAGACAUUUUUUACCAUUAUCAGUACCUGGAAGAAGAUGCCAUAUUUUUUAUAUAGAAUUAUGAAAUGAUUUUUCAAACACUUAUCAAAGAGAUGUCAUGCUUGUUUUGACAUAAGCUCACUGGUUGUUUGGCCCACAUAAACUGGCAACAUUCAAAUACACCAGACGACCUUCCAUUAUGGAAAUCUGGUAGUAGAGGUGAACAUCUACAAGGCUAUAAAGCAAAAACGAACAAAUCGACUAUGAUACAGACAAAAAUCUAAGAAGCUGGCAACAUUCGCUGCUAGGAAACUAUACAGUGCUACCCAUCUUGAAGGCCGUGUUUGGUUACAUUGCCAAUCGAGCCUGGCCCGGCGAGCCUGGCUCUAGUGAGCCGGUUUGAGGGGAUGCAGGCAAAAAAAAAACAGAUGCACAUAGUUUGGUUGCCUGUAUGUACCUAGUUGCGUGAGACAACCAUUUUUGACCCGGCGUUUGGUUGCCCGCAUUGCAUUAGGCGCACAUAUGCAUGGUGUUUGGUUGCUACCUGCAUAAGGUGUUGUCACCACUUCUAACUAGUGGUGACCUUACCACACACAAUCUAAACAUAGUGCCCAGGGGCGGAGCCAGGAUUUGAACAUGAGGGGGGCGAUGGGUAUAAUGAUAGAGGAUAUUAAGGCCUCUUUUUUUCUUUGCAAGGGGAUAUAGUCUCAAAAGUAGUCAAAAGUAUCACUGAUAUGAAUGGUAUAUAGCAACAAUUGUUUGGUAAUAAAAAAUACAUUUUUAUUUGUUUAAAUGUAGCUCAACGAGUAACAUCAACGGAUAUGUGGAUAAUCUCGUCAGAUAUGAAAUAAAACUAUUGGAAGCGGCGAUGGUUUUGCUGUUAUUCCAUUGUAUGGAUAAUCUCUCAAAUAUCACUAAUAGUAAAUUUGAUUUCCAGAUUAUAAUCUUAUUGAUCUAACUAAUAAAGUAAACCAUUCCUCGCAAAAAACCAUUACCUUACAUGCAAUUCUACUAAUUCACCAAGAAUUAUAAUAUAUAUUUUGUGUUCUAUCAGACAAAUCUAGUACUAGUUUUCUUUUGGAUUGUGGCGUACCUUGAGGUUGAGGUAUGAAUGCAUGGUGCCAAGAUCAAUAUGCGAAGCAGCUGACCAGCCAUGGAUUCGAUUGAUGAUAAUUUUCGCAAAAAGUGGGCGGUGAGACCCUUAAGGCGGCGGCGCACGAACGCACCAAGCCAAUGAAAAGGAAACUGAUUACUCGAUCUCUACGGCUGCAUGUUGUCUGUUCCUAUUUUCCUGAUGUGUAAAACCUAACGAUUCUUCUAUGUCGGGCCUUUGGGCUGAAACGUUGGGCCAUAUAGCACCAAACUAGCACAUUAGGCUGCAAUUAUACGUAUAUAUUAACCUAACAAGAUUUCACAGGGGGGGCGAGAUGAUGGGGGGUGUCUGACCCCUGCUCGCACCCCCUGUCUCCUCCCCUGAUAGUGCCAACUAGUUAAACAAAUGAUAGUUCAUCCUAACUACUAUCAAAUGACAUUUCCAAUUAAUAAGUGCCAUUGGCUAAAUAGGGGAUAGUUCAUCGGUGUUGCUGCUACCAGAUCUUCCUCUUCCUCUUCUGCUUCUGCUGCUGCUUCUUCUUCUUCUUCUUCCUCCUCUUCUUUAAAUCCUGCACCGACCUCUGUUAAGCCACAUUGCCUCUGCCCACUCCAACCUUUUGUUCUUCCAAGCGUCAUUGUCAAAUGCCUCCACACCAUGGCCGGGGCUAACAACAUCAUCAAGCUCGACCUCUUCCUCCUUAGGCACUUGUUCAUCAAAGCCCCACUGGAGGAUCCAGUUAUGCAGAAUGCAACAAGCAAGAACAAGCUUAACCUGAGUGGGGUAUGGGUGGAAUGGCUUAUGAUCCAGGAUCUUAAACCUAUUCUUCAGAGCUCCAAAUGCCCUCUCAACAGUUACUCUAAGGCUGGAGUGUCUGAGAUUAUACAGCUCCUGUGCAGUCCUAGGAUAGUUCCUACCAGAGAACUCAUUGAGAUGGUACCUGGUUUUCCUGAAGGGUGAAAGAAUACCCGGCCGACAUGCAUAGCCAGCAUCUCCAAGGUAGAACUUGCCGUCGGGGAUGUUGAUCCCAUCAGGUCGAAUCAUGCUGUCACUGAGAAUGUUAGCAUCAUGCGCUGACCCCUCCCAGCUAGCCAGCACAUAUGUGAACUUCAGAUCAAAGUCAACAGCAGCAAGCACAUUCUGGCUUGUGUAGUGCUUCCUCCCCCUGUAUGCUGCAGACUGUGACCUAGGAACUCUAGUAGUGACAUGAGUACCAUCUAUUGCCCCAAUGCAAUCCUGAAAAUGGCAUCACAAGCCUGUGUUAGUGCUCAACUUGAACAAUACAAGCAUAUCAAGGCAUGAAAAGUGUAUGUUGCCAAUGCUCACCUUGAAGUAUGGAUACCAUCUUGGGCUUCUGCGAAUCUUGGGUGGAGUCUAGCCAGAUGGUCUCCUGAUCAUCUCUCCUCUAAGAUCCCCAAUAGCAAAAAGCACCUGCUUGAAGUACCUAGAUAUGGUCUCCAUUGAUCUCCUGAACGUGUUCUGAAUGACCUUGAACCUCUGGUUAUGGCCAACAACAUGGAGGAACAUGGCCACUUGCUCUUCCACACUAGUGUUGAUGUUAUCUUGUAGCAGCCCCUUGAUCCUGAAGGACUCGACAAGCCUAGCAAAUGGUGCUCUUUUCAUUCGAAGCAUCCAUAGAGCCUCAACGUCAUUGCAGUUGUAGAUGUAGUUCAGAUUUUGGAUCCUCUCCUGUUCUCGGAUAAACAAUGGACCAUAGCGGAUCAAAGGUCUCCCAGCAUGAUGAACAACUCUCUGGUGCAUGAACAUGACCCAUGCCUGAAUCACACUAAUUAGUGUUGCUGCCUGAAUUAUCAGCCUCAUCCAUGCGUCCAUAACCUAGUAGACAUUGAUGGUUCAUUCAGUGGGUAAUCGAUCCUACACCUAGCCUAACGGCCUAACCACCGACCUAACAAAGGGGGGAGGGGGUGUUGCUUACCGGCAUUGGAGACGAGGACGGCUUAGGGGGAGCCAUGGCACAGACAAGGUCGACCAGAUGGUGGCCAACAGCAAGGAAAGCACCAGAUCCGCCGCAAACACCGCCGCCUCUUCCGCUUCCGCAACCGCCCCCUCUAGCGCAGAUCUGAAAUCAUAGCCGCCGCCGAUGGUGAGGCAGUAGGGAAGAAAGGGGGGUAGUGGCUAUUGUGGGUGAGCGAGUGAAAGGGGGUGAGGCUAGAUUUGGCGCUGGGACGGCGCGCCAGAUUUCCAUCUCCCGCCAUCCCCCCUCGCCCUUGCCUCGCACGCGCCCGUGCGACCUCGCGCCGCACUCAGCAUGGCUCGCGAGAAACUGCCGAUCCGAGCGUUUCCAGCGAGCCAGGCUGUGGGCUGCUUUGAGAAGCGUGCGAUACAGGCCCAACAAUGAAACCAAGCAACCAAACAGGCCUCUUCCUUCCUGCGCGGGCCUAGUUGGGCUCGAUGCGGGAAACCAAACACACCCCAAGUUUUCCCCCCUACCUACAUCCGCACACCACCUCCUUUUGUUCAUGUUAAUUACGGCCCAAGGUGGAUGGAUGGAUGCAAGUGUUCACAUACAUCAGCAUAACGUCAUGCAUCAAGUGGAGAUCGGGAACAAAAUGGAAUAUAACAAACUAAAGACCGUGAGAGAAACUAAUUAGAUGGGUUUUAUGUUUCAUGAAUGUGCCAUGUCCAACUAACAUGUUUAUUCCAUUUUCCCCAUCAUUUCAUUUUUAUAUGGCAACCAAGAUGUUUUUGCUUAUCCGUGCCACAUAAUGUUUACAUUCCCACCCUCGAGCAAAAAAUUAUCUCUUCUUUUGUCAUUUAUCUUCUUUUGCCGCUUUGUUUUUCAUUAUGCUUGUCAAACAAGAAUUGCCUUGGCAUAUACCCUUGCAUAUUCUUGCAAGUGGAAUAUUUAUGAUGCCAUAUCAUUAACACAAGUUAAACAUUCCCAAUUCUAAACACCCGUGGAAGAAUUUUCGCCUACAGGAAAUGCCAAACUAAUUAAGGAAAAAAUAUAACAUACCAUAUUCAAAUGCAUAUUAACGAGGUGCAAGACCCUCCUUCACUAAGUAGAAAAUUACUUGUUAGGCUAAAAUUACCGAGAGCAUAACUUCUCUCCCUUGAUUCCAAGAUAAUUGAAAUCCAAAGCUUCUGCAAUUCCCAAUUCUAAGAUGAGAUUUUUUUGAUAAACUUGACUUUCUUUUGCACUAGUAUAUCAAUUUUAAUGAAGGAGAUGAAGGAAAUAUGCCCUAGACAAAGGGAACAACGUAUGUAUUGAGAUACCGACGAUCGAAUCUCGGGCAAGUAACAUACCGAUGACAAAGGGAACAACGUAUGUUGUUAUGCCAUUUGACCGAUAAAGAUCUUGAUACGUCUUCGUUGUAUCUAUAAUUUUUGAUUGUUCCAUGCCAAUAUUCUACAACUCUUACAUACUUUUGGCAACUUUUUAUACUAUUUUUGGGACUAACAUAUUGAUCCAGUGCCCAGUGCCAGUUCAUGUUUGUUGCAUGUUUUUUGUUUCGCAGAAAAUCCAUAUCAAACAGAGUCCAAACGAGAUAAAAACUGACGGAGAUUAUUUUUGGAAUAUUUAUGAAUUUUGGGAAGUGGAAUCAAUGCGAGAUGAUGCUCGAGGGGCCCAUGAGGCAGGGGUGCAACCCAGGGGGGUGGGCGCGCCCCCAACCCUCAUGGACACCCCGUAAGGCGGUUGUUGCCCUUCUUUCGCCACAAGAAAACUAAUAUCCGGAGAAAGUUCAUGUUCAAAGUUUCAAUCCAAUCGGAGUUACGGAUCUCCGAGAAUAUAAGAAACGGUGAAAGGGCAGAAUCAGAAACACAGAAACAGAGAGAGACAGAGAAACAUAUCCAAUUCUAGGAGGGGCUCUCGCCCCUCCCACGACAUGGAGGCCAUCGACCAGAGGAGAAACCCUUCUACCAUCUAGGGAGAAGGUCAAGGAAGAAGAAGAAGAAGAAGAAGGGGGGCUCUCCCCCCUCGUUUCCAGUGGCGCCGGAACGCCGCCGGGGCCAUCAUCGUCACCGCAAUCUACACCAACACCUCCGUCAUCUUCACCAACAUUGUCAUAACCUUCCCCAAUCUAUAUUCACCGGUCCACUCUCCCACAACCCGAUGUACCCUCUACUUGAACAUGGUGCUUUAUGCUUCAUAUUAUUAUCCAAUGAUGUGUUGCCAUCCUGUGAUGUCGAGUAGAUUUUCGUUGUCCUAUCUGUAAUUGGUGAAGUGCUAUGAUUAGUUUAAUUUGCUUGUGGUUAUGUUGCUGUCCUUUGGUGCCCAUCACAUCAGCGUGCGCGUGGAUCACACCAUAGGGUUAGUUGUAUGUUGAUAGGACUAUGUAUUGGAGGGCAAGAGUGACAGAAGCUGCAACCUAGCAUAGAAUUUGAUGCAUACGGGAUUGAAGGGGGACCAAUAUAUCUUAAUGCUAUGGUUGGGUUUUACCUUAAUGAACGUUAGUAGUUGCUGAUACGUGCUAAUAGCUCCAAUCAUAAGUGAAUAGAAUUCCAAGUCAGGGAUGACAUGCUAGCAGUGGCCUCUCCCACAUAAAACUUGCUAUCGGUUCAGUAAAGUACUCAAUUGCUUAAGGACAAUUUCACAACUCCUACCACCACUUUUCCACACUCGCUACACUAACUUUAUUGCUUCUUUAUUUAAACAGCCCAUAGUUUUUAUUUACGUGCUCUUUAUAUUUUGCAAACCUAUCCAACAACACCUACAUAGUCCUUCUAGUUUCAUACUUGUUUUAGGUAAAGCGAACGUUAAGCGUGCGUAGAGUUGUAUCAGUGGUCGACAGAACUUGAGGGAAUAUUUGUUCUACCUUUAGCUCCUCGUUGGGUUCGACACUCUUACUUAUCGAAAGAGGCUACAAUUGAUCCCCUAUACUUGUGGGUUAUCAAGACCUUUUUAUGGCGCCGUUGCCGGGGAGUUAUAGCAUGGGGUGAAUAUUCUCGUGUGUGCUUGUUUGAUUUAUCACAAAGUAGUUUUUAUUUUGUGCUCCUGUUUUCUAUCUUUAGUUAUGGGUAGGAAACGCAAAAUACCAAAAAAAUUAGUUGUACCUACUACACCAAUGGUUGAAGAACCACUCAAAAUAUAUCAAACUCCUGAAGCUUUUUACUUGGAUCAUCUUCGAUCCCUUUGUGCUCGUGCUGAAACCCCAACUAGCUUAGUUGAGGGCAAAUCUUUAGAUGAGCAUGAUUGUUAUGUGCGACACCGCAUAUCUGAAAAAGGGAAACUUUUACUGGAUCAAAUUCAUCGUUUGCAAUGGUGUGUUUGGGAUUUAUGUGAAAUAUAUGAUGUUACUUGUUGUUCUGAAAACCCUAAAAACACCUUCCCUACCAAUGUGAGUUUAGUGAUAAUGGAAUCGUAUCUUCGUAUGCUAAGGGUGUUUAUAAUUACUAUGAUGUUUAACAAAUUGAAGAAUUUGUUGCUUUUAAGGGUGCUUAUGAGAUUGCUUGUUUGAUUGAAAAGUAUGAUGCUACUCUUUACAAAUCUGAAAAAUUGGCCAUACUUAAAUAUUGCUAUGAUAAUUAUGCUUCUAAUGCCUAUGUUAAACCAUAUAUUGAGGACUCCUCCGCUAUCCAAGAAGAGACUAAUAUUUUGCAGGAGUCUAUAGAAGAAGAAAUUGAUGAAACUGUGAGCUCAUUGGAUGAAAAAGAUGAUGAGGAGAGCGAAGAACAAAAGGAGGAAGAGCAGAUUAGCUACCCGUUCCCACCUUCUAAUGAGAGUAACUCUCAAACUCAUACAUUAUUUAAUGUCCCUUCAUUCUUACAGAAGGAUGAUUGCUAUAAUGAUUGUUAUGAUCCCGUUGAUUCUUUUGAAAUGUCUCUUUUUGAUGAUGCUUGCUAUGCUUGUGGCCAAGAUGCCAAUAUGAAUUAUUCUUAUGGAGAUGAACUUGCUAUAGUUCCUUAUGUUAAACAUGAAGUUGUUGCUAUUGCACCCACGCAUGAUAGUCCUAUUAUCUUUUUGAAUUCUCCAAACUACACUAUAUCAGAGAAGUUUGUGCUUAUUAAGGAUUAUAUUGAUGGGUUGCCUUUUACUACUACACAUAAUGAUUUUGAUGAAUAUAAUAUGCAUGUGCUUGCUGCUCCUACUUGCCAUUAUUAUGAGAGAGUAACUACAUCUCCACCUCUCCAUGUUUCCAAUAUGAUAAAAUUGCAAGAAACUGUUUAUACUAUGCAUUGGCCUUUACUUUGUGUGCAUGAAUUGUUCUUUUAUGACAUGCCGAUGCAUAGGAAGAGAGUUAGACUUUGUCACUACAUGAUAUACGUUACUUUGUGCUCGCUACUAAAUUACAAAUCAUUGUUAAUUAAAAUUGGCUUUGAUAUACCUUGGGAUCCAGGUGGAUCCAUUACUUGAGCACCUUAUGCCUAGCUUAAUGGCUUUAAAGAAAGCGCUGCCAGGGAGACAACCUAGAAGUUUUAGAGUCAUUUAUUUCUGUUAUGUGCUUUUAUAAAGUUUAAAAAUAAAAAUAAUGUGCCAAGAUUUGCCUUUAGGAUGUUUACAUUGCUUGUUGGUUUGUGCGGUGCAAGACAGGAACUUUGUCUGUAGUGCACGACUUUACAUUUUUUACUGGAACGUCAAAUGGUUCUGAAAUUUUUUGCACUAUAUUUCUGUACAAAUUGUUUAUUUUUACUAAUUUUGUCAGAAUUGUUGGAUUACCAGAAGUAUGCUGAAUGUUCAUAUUACUACAGACUGUCCUGUUUAAGACAGAUUCUAUUUUUGAUGCAUACUUUGGUUGUUUUGAUAAAACUAUCGAUUUCUAUCAGUGGAUUAAGCCAUGGAAAAGUUAUAUUACAGUAGCUACAAUGCAAAAACAAAAUAUGAAUUGGUUUGCAACAGUACUUAGAGUAGUGAUUUGCUUUAUUAUACUAAUGGAUCUUACCAAGCUUUUUGUUGAGUUUUGUGUGGAUGAAGUGUUCGAAGAUCGAGGAGGUCUCGAUAUGAGGAGAAGGAGGAGAGGCAAGAGCUCAAGCUUGGGGAUGCCCAUGGAACACCAAGUAAAUAUUCAAGGAGACUCAAGCGUCUAAGCUUGGGGAUGCCCCGGAAGGCAUCCUAUCUUUCUUCAACAAGUAUCGGUAUGUUUUCAGAUUCGUUUCGUUCAUGCGAUAUGUGCAAAUCUUGGAGUGUCUUUUGCAUUUAGUUUUCACAUUUCUUUUAUGCACCAUGCGGGUAUGAGAUAGUCCAUGGUUGAUUUAUAGAAUGCUCAUUGCACCUCACUUAAAUCUUUUAAGUAUGGCUUUAUAGAAUGCUUCAUGUGCUUCACUUAUAUCAUUUGAAGUUUGUAUUGCCUGUUUCUCUUCACAUAGAAAACCGCCAUUUGUAGAAUGCUCUUUUGCUUCACUUAUAUUUGUUAGAGCAUGGGCAUAUCUUGUGUAGAAAGAAUUAAACUCUCUUGCUUCACUUAUAUCUAUUUAGAGAGAUGACAGGAAUUGGUCAUUCACAUGGUUAGUCAUAAAAUCCUACAUAAAACUUGUUGAUCACUGAAUAUGAUAUGUUUGAUUCGUCACAAUAGUUUUGCGAUAUAAAGGUGGUGAUAUUAGAGUCGUGCUAGUUGAGUAAUUGUUAAAUUGAGAAAUACUUGUGUUGAGGUUUGCAAGUGUCAUAGCAUGCACGUAUGGUAACCGUUGUGUGACAAAUUUGAAGCAUGGGGUGUUUAUUUGAUUGUCUUCCUUAUGAGUGGCGGUCGGGGACGAGCGAUGGUUUUUUCGUACCAAUAUAUCCCCCUAGGGGCAUGCAUAGUAGUACUUUGCUUCGAGGGCUAAUAAACUUUUGCAAUAACUAUAUGAGUUCUUGAUGACUAAUGUGAGUCCAUGGAUUAUACCACUCUUUCCUUUUUGCAAUUUGCUAGCCUCUACGGUACCGUGCAUUGCCCUUUAUCACCUCGAGAGUUGGUGCAAACUUCGCCGGUGCAUCCAAACCCCGUGAUACGAUACGCUCUAUCACAAAUAAGCCUCCUUAUAUCUUCCUCAAAACAGCCACCAUACCUACCUAUCAUGGCAUUUCCAUAGCCAUUCCGAGAUAUAUUGCCAUGCAACUUCCAUCAUCAUCAUAUACAUGACUUGAGCAUUCAUUGUCAUAUUGCUUUGCAUGAUCGUAAGAUAGCUAGCAUGAUGUUUUCAUGGCUUGUACAUUUUUUGAUGUCAUUGCUAUGCUAGAUCGUUGCACAUCCUGGUACACUGCCAGAGGCAUUCAUAUAGAGUCAUACUUUGUUCUAGACAUCGAGUUGUAAUAUUGAGUUGUAAGUAAAUAAAAGUGUGAUGAUCAUCAUUAUUAGAACAUUGCCCCAUGUGAGGUUAUCAAAAUAAAAGAGGCCAAAGAAGCCCAAAUAAAAAAAGAGGCCAAAGAAGCCUACCAAAAAACAAAAAAAAGAGAGAAAACAAAAAAAUGAGAGAAAAGGAGAGAAUGGGCAAUGUUACUAUCCUUUUACCACACUUGUGCUUCAGAUUAGCACCAUGUUCUUCAUAUAGAGAGUCUCUUGAGUUAUCACUUUCAUAUACUAGUGGGAAUUUUCAUUAUAGAACUUGGCUUGUAUAUUUCGAUGAUGGGCUUCCUCAAAUGCCCAAGGUCUUCAUGAGCAAGAAAGUUGGAUGCACACACACUUAGUUUCAUUUUGAGCUUUCAUACACUUAUAGCUCUAGUGCAUCCGUUGCAUGGCAAUCCCUACUCCUCACAUUGACAUCAAUUGAUGGGCAUCUCCAUAGCCCGUUGAUUAGUCGCGUCGAUGUGAAACUUUCUCCUUUUUGUCUUCUCCACACAACCUCCAUCACCAUAUUCUAUUCCACCCAUAGUGCUAUGUCCAUUGCUUGCGCUCAUGUAUUGCGUGAGGGUUGAAAAGGCUGAAGCGCGUUAAAAGGUAUGAAUCAAUUGCUCGGCUUGUCAUCGGGGUUGUGCAUGAUGGGAGCAUUUUGUGUGACGAAAAUGAAGCAUGGCCAAACUAUAUGAUUUUGUAGGGAUAAGCUUUCUUUGGCUAUGUUAUUUUGAUAAGACAUAAUUGCUUGGUUAGUAUGCUUGAAGUAUUAUUGUCUUAAUGUCAAAUGACAGACUAUUGCUUUGAAUCACUCAUGUCUUAAUAUUCAUGCCAUGGUUAGAUUAUGUGAUCAAGAUUAUGCUAGGUAGCAUUCCACAUCAAAAAUUAUCUUUUUAUCAUUUACAUACUCGAGGAUGAGCAGGAAUUAAGCUUGGGGAUGCUGAUACUACUAUUUUUGGGACUAACAUAUUGAUCCAGAGCCAAGUGCCAGUUCCUGUUUGUUGCAUGUUUUUUGUUUUGCAGAAAAUCCAUAUCAAACGGAGUCCAAACGGGAUAAAAACUGACGGAGAUUAUUUUCAAAAUAUUUAUGAAUUUUGGGAACUGGAAUCAACGCGAGACGAUGCUCGAGAAGCCCAUGAGGCAGGGGCACGCCCCAGGGGGUGGGCGCGCCCCUGACCCUCGUGGACACCCCGUAAGGCAGUUGUUUCCCUUCUUUCGCCGCAAGAAAGCUAAUAUCUAGAGAAAAAUCAUGUUCAAAGUUUCAAUCCAAUCGGAGUUACGGAUCUCUGGGAAUAUAAGAAACGGUGAAAGGGCAGAAUUAGAAAUGUAGAAACAGAGAGAGACAGAGAGACAGAUCCAAUCUCGGAGGGGCUCUCGCCCCUCCCACGCCAUGGAGGCCAUGGACCAGAGGGGAAACCCUUCUCCCAUCUAGGGAUAAGGUCAAGUAAGAAGAAGAAGAAGAAGAAGAAGAAGGCGGGCUCUCUCCCCUCGCUUCCGGUGGCACCGGAACGCCGCCAGGGCCAUCAUCCUCACCGCAAUAUACACCAACACCUCCAUCAUCUUCACCAACAUCGUCAUCACCUUCCCCCAUCUAUAUUCAAUGGUCCACUCUCCCACAACCCGCUGUACCAUCUACUUGAACAUGGUGCUUUAUGCUUCAUAUUAUUAUCCAAUGUUGUGUUGCUAUCCUAUGAUGUCUGAGUAGAUUUUCAUUGUCCUAUCGGUAAUUGGUGAAUUGCUAUGAUUGGUUUAAUUUGCUUGAGGUUAUGGUUCCGUCCUUUGGUACCCAUCAUAUGAGCGCGCGCGUGGAUCACACCAUAGGGUCAGUUGUAUGUUGAUAGGACUAUGUAUUGGAGGGCAAGAGUGACAAAAGCUUCAACCAAGCAUAGAAUUUGAUGCAUACGGGAUUGAAGGGGGACCAAUAUAUCUUAAUGCUAUGGUUGGGUUUUACCUUAAUAAAUGUUAGUAGUUGCGGAUGCUUGCUAAUAGUUCCAAUCAUAAGUGCAUAGAAUUCCAAGUCAGGGAUGACAUGCUAGCAGUGGCCUCUCCCACAUAAAACUUGCGCGGUCUAGUAAAGUAGUCAAUUGUUUAGGGACAAUUUCACAACUCCUACCACCACUUUUCCACACUUGUUAUACUAACUUUAUUGCUUCUUUAUCUAAACAGCCCCUAAUUUUUAUUUACAUGCUCUUUAUAUUCUUGCAAACCUAUCCAACAACACCUACGAAGUCCUUCUAAUUUCAUACUUGUUUUAGGUAAAACGAAUGUUAAGCGUGCGUAGAGUUGUAUCAGUGGUCGAUAGAACUUGAGUGAAUAUUUGUUCUACCUUUAGCUCCUCGUUGGGUUCGACACUCUUACUUAUCGAAAGAGGCUAAAAUUGACCGCCUAUAAUUGUGGUUAUCAGAUCUUUGUAGAAUAUGUAGGAACCAAUAUGAGCAUUCAGGUUCCGCUAUUGGUUAUUGACCGGAGACGUGUCUCGGUCAUGUCUACAUAGUUCUCGAACCCAUAGGGUUCGCACGCUUAACGUUCGAUGAUGAUUUAUAUUAUGAGUUAUGUGAUUUUAUGUACCGAAGGUAGUUUGGACUCCCGAUUGAGAUCAUGGACAGGACGAAGAGUCUCAAAAUGGUCGAGACGUAAAGAUCGAUAUAUUUUAAGGCUAUAUUUGGACAUCGGAAAGGUUCCAAGUGAUUCAGGUAUUUUUCGGAGUACCAGAGAGUUACGAGAAUUCGUAUUGGGCCUUAAUGGGCCAUACGGGAAAGGAGAGAAAGGCCUCAAGGGGGGCUGCACCCCUUCCCCAUGGACUGGUCCGAAUUGGACUAGGGAAGGGGGCCGGCCCCUUCCUUCCUUCUCCUUCUCCCUUCCACUUAUCCUAUUCCAUGUGGGAUGUGGAAUCCUACUAGGAUUAGGGAGUCCUAGUAGGAAUCCACACUUUGGGCACGCCCUAUGAGGGCCGGCCUCCUCCUCCCCCCAUCCUUUAUGUACGUGGCCAGGCGGCACCCCAUAGACACACAAGUUGAUCAUUGAUCUCUUAGCCGUGUGCGGUGUCCCCCUCCACCAUAAUCCACCUUGGUCAUAUUGUUGUAGUGCUUAGGCAAAGCCUUGCGCCGGUAGCUCCGUCAUCACGCCGUCGUGCUGACGAAGCUCUCCCUUGACACUUUGCUGGAUUGUGAGUUCGUGAGACGUCAUUGAGCUGAACGUGUGCAGAACGCGGAGGUGCCGUACGUUCGGUACUGGGAUCGGUCGACCGUGAAGACGUACGACUACAUCAACCGCGUUGUCAUAACGCUUCCUCUUACGGUCUAUGAGGGUACGUGGACAACACUCUCCCCUCUCGUUGCCAUGCAUCACCAAGAUCUUGCGUGUGCGCAGGAAAAUUUUGAAAUUACUCCGUUCCCCAACACUGGCAUCCGAGCCAGGUCUAUGCAUAGAUGUUAUAUGCAUGAGUAGAACACAAAGAGUUGUGGGCGAUAAUAGUCAUACUGCUUACCAGCAUGUCAUACUUUGAUUCGGCGGUAUUGUUGGAUGAAGCGGCCCGGACCGACAUUACGCGUACGCUUAUGCGAGACUGGUUCUACCGACGUGCUUCGCACACAGAUGGCUGGCGGGCGUCAGUUUCUCCAACUUUAGUUGAAUCGAGUGUGGCUAUGCCCGGUCCUUGUUGAAGGUUAAAACAACACAUACUUGAUGAAAAAUCGUUGUGGUUUUGAUGCAUAGGUAAGAACGGUUCUUGCUCAGCCCGUAGCAGCCACGUAAAACUUGCAACAACAAAGUAGAGGACGUCUAACUUGUUUUUGCAGGGCAGGUUGUGAUGUGAUAUAGUCAAGACAUGAUGCUAAAUUUUAUUGUAUGAGAUAAUCAUGUUUCGUAACAGAGUUAUCGACAACUGGAAGGAGCCAUAUGGUUGUCACUUUAUUGUAUGAAAUGCAAUCGCCCUGUAAUUGUUUUUACUUUAUCACUAAGUGGUAGCGAUAAUCGUAGAAACAAAAGUUGGCGAGACGACAGCGAUGCUACGAUGGAGAUCAAGGUGUCGCGCCGGUGACGAUGGUGAUCAUGACGGUGCUUUCGAGAUGGAGAUCAAAGGCACAAGAUGAUGAUGGCCAUAUCAUAUCACUUAUAUUGGUUGCAUGUGAUGUUUAUCCUUUAUGCAUCUUGUUUUGCUUAGUUCGACGGUAGCAUUAUAAGAUGAUCUCUCACUAAAUUUCAAGGUAAAAGUGUUCUCCCUGAGUAUGCACCGUUGCGAAAGUUCAUCGUGCCGAGACACCACGUGAUGAUUGGGUGUGAUAAGCUCUACGUUCACAUACAACAGGUGCAAGCUAGUUUUGCACACGCAAAAUACUCGUGUUAAACUUGACGAGCCUAGCAUAAGCAGAUAUGGCCUCGAAACACUGAGACCGAAAGGUCGAGCGUGAAUCAUAUAGUAGAUAUGAUCAACAUAGUGAUGUUCACCAUUGAAAACUACUCCAUCUCAUGUGAUGAUCGAACAUGGUUUAGUUGAUUUGGAUCACGUGAUCACUUAGAUUAUUAGAGGGAUGUCUAUCUAAGUGGGAGUUCUUAAGUAAUAUGAUUGAUUGAACUUUAAUUUAUCAUGAACUUAGUCCUGAUAGUAUUUUGCAAAUUAUGUUGUAGAUCAAUAGCUCACGUUAUAGCUUCCCUAUGUUUUUUAUAUGUUCCUAGAGAAAAAUAAGUUGAAAGAUGAUAGUAGCAAUGAUGCGGAUUGGGUCCGUGAUCUGAGGUUUAUCCUCAUUGCUGCACAGAAGAAUUAUGUCCUUGAUGCACCGCUAGGUGACAGACCUAUUGCAGGAGCAGAUGCAGACGUUACGAACGUUUGGCUAGCUCAAUAUGAUGACUACUUGAUAGUUUAGUGCACCAUGCUCAACGGCUUAGAAUCGGGACUUCAAAGACGUUUUGAACGUCAUGGACCAUAUGAGAUGUUCCAGGAGUUGAAGUUAAUAUUUCAAGCAAAUACCCGAGUUGAGAGAUAUGAAGUCUCCAACAAGUUCUAUAGCUAAAAGAUGGAUGAGAAUAGCUCAAGCAGUGAGCAUGUGCUCAGAUUGUCUGGGUACUACAAUCACUUGAAUCAAGUGGGAGUUAAUCUUCUAGAUAAGAUAGUGAUUGACAGAGUUCUCUAGUCACCAUCACCAAGUUACUAGAACUUCAUGAUGAACUAUAGUAUGCGAGGGAUGACGAAAACGAUUCCCGAGCUCUUCGUGAUGCUGAAAUCGACGAAGGUAGAAAUCAAGAAAGAGCAUUAAGUGUUGAUGAUUGACAAACCACUAGUUUCAAGAAAAGGGCAAAGGGAAAGAAAGGGAACUUCAAGUAGAAUGGCAAGCAAGUUGUCACUCCCAUGAAGAAGCCCAAAGCUGGACCAAAGCCUAAAACUGAGUGCUUCUACUGCAAAGGAAAUGGUCACUGGAAGUGGAAAUGCCCUAAAUAUUUGGUGGAUAAGAAGGAUGACAAAGUGAACAAGGGUAUAUUUGAUAUAUAGGUUAUUGAUGUGUACCUUACUAGUGUUUAUAGUAGCCCCUGGGUAUUUGAUACUUGUUCGGUUGCAAAGAUUAGUAACUCGAAUCAAGAGUUACAGAAUAAAUAGAGACUAGUUGAGGGUGAAGUGACGAUGUGUGUUGGAAGUGGUUCCAAGAUUGAUAUGAUCAUCAUCUCACACUCCCUAUACUUUUGAGAUUAGUGUUGAACCUAAAUAAAUGUUGUUUGGUGUUUGUGUUGAGCGUAAAUAUGAUUAGAUCAUGUUUAUUGCGAUACGAUUAUUCAUCUAAGACAGAGAAUAAAUUGUUAUUUUGUUUAUAUGAAUAAAACCUUAUAUGGUCAUACACCCAAUGUUGAUGGUUUAUUGAAUCUUGAUUGUAGUGAUACACAUAUUCAUAAUAUUGAUGCUAAAAGAUGCAAAGUUGAUAAUGAUAAUGCAACAUAUUUGUGGCACUGUCGUUUGGGUCAUAUCAGUGUAAAGCACAUGUAGAAACUCCAUAAAGAUGGACUUUUGGAAUCAUUUGAUUAUGAAUCAUUUGAUGCUUGCGAACCGUGCCUUAUGGGCAAGAUGACUAAAACUCCGUUCACCGGAACAAUGGAACGAGCUAAUAAAUUAUUGGAAAUAAUACAUACCGAUGUAUGCGGUCCGAUGAGUGUUGAUGCUCGUGGCGGGUAUCGUUAUUUUCUGACUUUCACAAAUGAUUUGAGCAGAUAUGGGUAUAUCUACUUAAUGAAACUCAAGUCUGAAACAUUUGAAAAAUUCAAAGAAUUUCAUAGUGAAGUGGAGAAUCAUCGUAACAAGAAAAUAAAGUUUCUAUGGUCUGAUCAUGGAGAAGAAUAUUUGAGUUAAGAGUUUGGCCUUCAUAUAAAACUAUGUGGAAUAGUUUCACAACUCACGCCACCUGGAACACCACAGCGUUAUGGUGUGUCCGAACGUCGUAACCACACUUUAUUGGAUAUGGUGCAAUCUAUGAUGUCUCUUGCCGAUUUACCACUAUUGUUUUGGGGUUAUGCAUUAGAGACAGUUGCAUUCACUUUAAAUAGGGCACCAUCAAAAUCCGUUGAGACGUCGCCUUAUGAACUAUGGUUUGGUAAGAAACCAAAGUUGUCGUUUCUUAAAGUUUGGGGUUGCGAUGCUUAUGUGAAAUAGUUUCAACCUGAUGAACUCGAACCCAAAUCGGAGAAGUGCGUCUUCAUAGGAUACCCAAAAGGAAACUAUUGGGUACACCUUCUAUUACAGAUUCGGAGGCAAGAUAUUCGUUGCUAAGAAUGGAUCGUUUCUAGAGAAGGAGUUUCUCUUGAAAGAAGUGAGUGGGAUGAAAAUAGAACUUGAGGAGGUAACUGUACCUUCUCCCUUAUUGGAAAGUAGUUCAUCACAAAAAUCAGUUCUCGUGAUUUCUACACCAAUUAGUGAGGAAGCUAAUGAUGAUGAUCAUAAAGCUUCGGAUCAAGUUACUACCGAACCUCAUAGGUCUUCCAGAGUAAGAUAUGCACCAGAGUGGUACGAUAAUCCUGUUCUGGAAGUCAUGUUACUAAACCAUGAUGAACCUAUGAACUAUGAGGAAGCGAUGAUGAACCCAGAUUCCGCGAAAUGGCUUGAUGCCAUGAAAUCUGAGAUGGGAUCCAUGUAUGAGAACAAAGUAUGGACUUUGGUGGACUUGCUCGAUGAUCGGCAAGCCAUAGAAAAUAAAUGGAUCUUCAAGAGGAAGAUGGACGUUGAUAGUAGUGUUACUAUCUACAAAGCUCGACUUGCUGGAAAAAGGUUUUUGACAAAGUUCAAGAUGUUGACUACUAUGAGAUUUUCUCACCCAUAGCGAUGCUUAAGUCUGUCCGAAUCAUGUUAGUAGUUGCUGCAUUUCAUGAUUAUGAAAUUUGGUAGAUGGAUGUCAAAACUGCAUUCCUGAAUGGAUUUCUUGAAGAAGAGUUGUAUAUGAUGUAACAAGAAUGUUUUGUCGAUCCAAAGGGUGCUAACAAAGUGUGCAAGCUCAAGUGAUCCAUUUAUGGACUGGUGCAAGCCUCUCGGAGUUGGAAUAAACGCUUUGAUAGUGUGAUCAAAGCAUAUGGUUUUAUAUAGACUUUUGGAGAAACUUGUAUUUACAAGAAAGUGAGUGGGAGCUCUGUAGCAUUUCUAAUAUUAUAUGUGGAUGACAUAUUGUCUAUUGGAAAUGUAUAGAAUUUCUGGAUAGCAUGAAGGGAAACUUGAAUAAGAUUUUUUUUAAUGUAAGACAUCAGUGAAGCUGCUUACAUAUUGGGCAUCAAGAUCUAUAAAGAUAAAUCAAGACACUUGAUAAGAUUUUUUUAAUGAGCAAAUACAUUGACAAGUUUUUUUUGAAAGAGUUCAAAAUGGAUCAGUCAAAGAAGAAGUUCUUGUCUGUAUUACAAGGUGUAAAGUUGAGUAAGACUCAAAGCCCGACCACGACAGAAGAUAGAAAGAGAAUGAAAGUCAUUCCCUAUGCCACAGUCAUAGGUUCUAUAAAGUAUGCUAUGUUGUGUACCAGAUCUAUUGUGUACCUUGUAAUGAGUUUGGCAAAGGGGUACAAUAGUGAUCUAGGAGUAGAUCACUAGACAACGGUCAAAAUUAUCCUUAGUAAGGACUAAGGAAAUAUUUCUUGAUUAUGGAGGUGAUAAAAGAGCUCAUCGUAAAGAGUUACAUUGAUGCAAGCUUUUUCACAAAUCCAUAUGACUCUAAAUCUCAAUCUGGAUACAUAUUGAAAGUGGGAGCAAUUAGCUAGAGUAGCUCCAUGCAGAGCAUUGUAGACAUAGAAUAUUUUCAAAAUACAUACGACUCUGAAUUUAACAGACUCGUUGACUAAACAUCUCUCAUGAGCAAAACAUGAUCACACCUUAGUAAACCCUUUGGGUGUUGGUCACAUGAUGAUGUGAGCUAUGGGUGUUAUUCACAUACAGAUGUGAAUAUUUGUGUUAAAUCACAUGGUGAUGUGAACUAGAUUAUUGACUCUAGUGCAAGGGGGAGACUGAAGGAAAUAUGCCCUAGAGGCAAUAAUAAAGUUAUUAUUUAUUUCCUUAUUUCAUGAUAAAUGUUUAUUAUUCAUGCUAGAAUUGUAUUAACCGAAAACUUAGUACAUGUGUGAAUACAUAGACAAAACAUAUUGUCCCUAGUAUGCCUCUACUUGACUAGCUCAUUUAUCAAAGAUGGUUAUGUUUCCUAACCAUAGACAUGUGUUGUCAUUUGAUGAACGGGAUCACAUCAUUAGGAAAAUGAUGUGAUGGACAUGACCCAUUCGUUAGCUUAGCAUUAUGAUCGUUUCAGUUUCAUAUCUACUGCUCUCUUCAUGACUUGUACAUGUUCCUCAGACUAUGAGAUUAUGCAACUCCCGAAUACCGGAGGAACACUUUGUGUGCUACCAAACAUCACAACAUAAAAGGGUCAUUAUAAAGGUGCUCUACAGGUGUCUCCGAAGGUGUUUGUUGAGUUGGCAUAGAUCGAGAUUAGGAUUUGUCACUUUGUGUUUCACAGAGGUAUCUCUGGGCCCUCUCGGUAAUACUCAUCACUAUAAGCCUUGCAAGCAUUGUAACAAAUGAGUUAGCUGCAGGAUGAAGUAUUACGAAACAAGUAAAGAGACUUGCCGGUAACGAGAUUGAACUAGGUAUUGAGAUACUGACGAUCGAAUCUCGGGCAAGUAACAUACCGAUGACAAAGGGAACAACAUAUGUUGUCAUUACAAAAAAAAAUACACUUCCGUGAUGAUACGUGUUUGUCACAGUAGGUCGCGUUUUUUGUCAUGCAUGUACAUCCAUGACAAAUUUAUGACAGAAUCAAGAUAGUCAUACUUGUGCUGUCGUAGAAGUGUUCCAUGACAUUACCAAAAUUAUCAUCACGGAAGUGUCCACUUCCAGGACGAUAAAUCGCGUGUCACAGAAGUGCUUUCGUCAAGGGUGACCGACACGUGGCAUCCACCGUAACGGAACGCCGUUAAGCUGUCGGGUCGGAUUUUGGAUCCGAUAACCCGUUAAUAGCCCCGACCAAUGGGAAAUUUCCACUUGUAAAUUCUGAUUGGCCGAAGGGAACACCUGUCAGCUCGUCAGUGGGCCAGAUGUCGCCCGUCAAUUGGAGGAGACAUGCCUAUGGUACGUCAACACGUGGCUGGGCCCAACAAAGGCCCAUAUAGGUUAAAAAGACCGGCCCAGUCAAAGGCUCGUAGAUCUUAAUCAGGUACUAGUGGGCCAGCCCAAUAACGGCCUCCUUAAUAAAGGCCCAUUUACGACCCAAAACCAGAUCUGGCCCGUUAAUUGUUCGCCCAAUAUUUGGGCCCAUUUACGGCCCGAAGCCAAAUCUGGCCCGUUAAUUGUUCGGCCAAUAUUUGGGCCCAUUUGCGGCCCGAAGCCAGAUCUGGCCCGUUAAUUGUUCGUCGAAUAUUCGGGCCCAACUAUAGCCCAGUGACUUUCGACCCGUUAGAGGCCUGAUGUAGACAUGGGCCCAUUUCAGCCCGGUCUGACUUUCAGCCUGGGAAUGGCCCGUGCUGUCCAUGGGCCAUAUAUGGUCUGACCGGACAUCGGGCCCACUAACGGCCCGUGCUAAAGGUGGCAACAGUUAAGCCCAACGUGACUUUGGGCCUGUUAAAGUCUUGUCGCGUAAUUCGGCCUAUUGAUGCAUGUACUAAGCUUUUGGCCUCUUAAAGGCCCAUGAUAUCAGUGGGCCAACUAAGGCCCGAGAUAUGUUUCAGCCUGGUAAUGGCCCGUGAGCUAACUGGGCCCAUAACGGCCCGGUCUACAUUUCGGCCUGCUGAAGGCCCGUCGACGACUAGUGAAAAUUGAGGCCCAACAUGCAUUUUGGCCUGCUAAAGGCCCGUGGUUUCAUCUCGGCCGUAACAGGCUAGUACAAUAUUUAGCCUGUUAAUGGCCAAACGCUACCUGGGCCAAACUAAGCGCUGGGUCGACAAAAGGCCCAACUAAAAUAUAGGCCGGUGUAAGUUUGGGCCUGGCGCAAUGUGUGAAGACCCCAAUCAUUCGGGCCCAAGAAAGACGCAGGCCGGACCAAUUGUGGCCCGCUAAAAACCUGGCCCAUUAGAGUCGAAUGUUUUGGCCCGGUCGACUACAUCUGAUUUUUUUCAGAUAGCGAAUGAUGGCAGUAACUAGUAGGAAUUAAGAACAAACCUACUCUAUACAAUAAAGAAAUUACGACAUAGUAACUAAGAAUAAACCUACACUAUACAAUAAAGGAUUUAAGGUAUAUUACAUCCACUAGGCAUCGAAGUUCGCCACCAGUGAUCAUAAAGCGCACGAAGAAGCGGAUUACAAAAACUGGGCACCAUUGCAGCGUAACAAAAUAAUACUGAACCGAGACCACUUCCAAGACAGUUCAAGAAAGGUUAGCCUUGCGGGGGAACUGCUGCACAAGCUGCUGAGCAAGGCUGUGAGACCGGCCUAGCAUGUCGGUCAUAGCUUCCAGGUGUAGCUGUUUAGCGAUGAGGUUCUCAUUGGUGUUCUCCGCAAUCUUUCUUAGAGAUAGGACUUCAAGUCGAAGUUGAGUUGCAGAAUGCCUUUCUGCUCGAACCUGGGACUGAAGAAGUUGAACUGAUUCAGACAACGAAUUCUGUGAGCUUGUCUGACUGUUAGUCUCAAGUAACUUGAACACUGCUUCAAGACAAGACUUUGGGGUUGUCUCGCUAUCUUCAAGAUGUUUUUCCUUCUUUGUUGCAAUAUAUGUUGGGUUUAUCUCACAGCCUUCAGCAGACUUGUGCAUGCCAUCAGGCAUAUCACCCUGAAACAAAGCAGAGAGAUGACAGGUUUUGCACGUGUAUAAACAAAGAUGAUAACUAUUCUGUCAAUUCUAUCCAAUUUCAAAUUAGAAAAUAAAGAGUAAGUUCAAAAUAUCAAUAGCAUAAUUUGGCAUUGUUCAUAAUGCGGGGAGCUUCACCACACUGCUGGAUUACCAUGUCAACAUAACAAGCAUAGAUGAAGGGCAAAGAAAAUCAUUGUAUCUAUUUUGGAUAAUCUGCAUGACAUGUUGUUCAUAUCAUCAGCCAGAUCAGUAAGAUAAAACAGGAGAUGACAAGGUGCAAACGUGGGCUGCUUCACCACACACUGGAUUAUAGAUCCACAAAACCAAGCAUACAUAUAGGGAGUAUUAAGUAAUGUGCAUGGUAUGAAUAAGAAAUUUGGUUUUACAAGUAAAACUUAGAACUUACGGUUCUUACAAACAUGCAUUUUGGUAGAAACAGCAAACUAAACAGCAGUAAACGAUAGGGAGUAUGAGCAAAUUAAACAGCAGUUGAGGAUAAAGGCUUUAGAAGGACUGACUUACAUCAACAGUUAACACCCGCUUUAUAAUGCCCUUCUCCAUGUCAAGGGAAGGAUAACUCAAGAAUUUCAGCACAGAAUCUUCUUCAUAAGCAUUGCUUGUACUCUACAUUUUGUAGAGAGUAAAUAUAGAUAUGAUAAUACUGGAAGGGAGAGAGGAUAAUGAAGGUAAGAUGCAGAUUGAUGCUACAUAAUCAACUACCAAUCCCUGGAAGUACAAGUGUUACAGGACAAAAUGUACUGACAAGGGCAAUGGGCUACACUUCUGCACUGGCAUUGUCUGUGUAUUCUACUUGUUGGUAAGAUUAAAUAUAGAUCUGAUCUUUUUUAGUAAAUGGUGGGUGAGGGAGAUAAGAUGCAGAAUGCUACAAAAUGAACCAAUCCCUCUUCCCAUAAUACAAGAGUGUUUUGAACACUGGUGUACUAUACAAAACGUUCUUAUAUUAUGGGACAGAGGGAGUAGUUAUUAAUGUAUGUAUAGUUAUAGACCACGUUCAGUCCUUACAAGAGGACUGCAGAGCUAAACCUCUUCAAAAGUAUUGGGUUGAUUCUAAAUUUGUGUAAGAGUCCAUACGGAUCUUAUAAUGUCCACCAAAUGGACGAUUACGAGGCUAACACGUGCAGUGAUGCUACAUAAUCAAACAGCUAUGAAAGUAAGUAUGGUUAUACAGGGCAAGAGGUACUCACAAGAGCAAUGCAGUAUGCAGUAUAGUUGCAUGAUUUUGUGGUCCCUUGAGAACGAAUGUUCUUCUGCUAACAGUUUUCGUACAAGUGAGACAUUAAGGCAAAUGCAGAAAUGUAGUUCAAAUUGUGAUGUGAUAUCAUAGAUAGUACCUUACGCUACAGCCGAGACCAAUGUGUAACAAGAUUAUUCCAGUCACCGUCAGAUAAAUGUAGCACCGGAGACUACAGAAAUUUCAUUCAGAGGCUUGCCAUCGAAGUGCGCUUGCCUCAGGUAGGAACGAUACUUCAUCAACGAGUGCUUGAAAAGCGCAACCAACUCUUGCUCGUCAUCACAAUCCAGUUUGCUCCUCGCCUAUUUAAAAGAAUGAAAUCUUGUGUCUUCUGUCAGCAGAAAUAUAUGCAGUAAUGACCAUGAAUAACAUUAGUACAUUACUUACGCGUAAGUUGCGGAGGAAGACUGGAAAUUGUUCUGUGUCUGCGGUAUAAUCUUUACAUGAAGGAAAGAUGCGCACAAAGUUCCUGACAACAACAUAAGCUUCAUCUUCUAAACUGGGAAGAAAUGGAACAGGGGUCCUAUUUGCUGCAAUUGGGGUUCUCUCUGGUUCAAAAAGGAAUUUGGCAACUGGAUUUGGUGUACUCUUUGCUGGAAUGGGGGUUUUGCGUCGUACAGCUGGUGCUAUGUCAACUAGCAUAAUCAUACUGUUUGCUGCAGUUGGGGUCUGCUGAGUUGGGGCAUCAGAAAUGACCAGUGUAGUAGGGCUAGAGUCUGCUAGAGUUGGGGUAUUUUGUGGGUCAGGUGAUAUUGCAACUACACCUAAUGGGCUAUUUGAUUUAUCAUGUGCCACUACCUUUUCCAAAUACUUUGCUUGUGCUCCUCCACGAUCAGCAAUCGCCCUCUUCCUUUUGAACGUCUGAUACACAAGAACAACAUUUGAAUGGAUAAAUAUGGUAUGAUGACAGAUGGAAUAUGUACUGAAAAUGGAUAGGCGGGGCGUAUUCACAUACACGAUGUGUAAACUAAGCUAAUGGCAGUUCAACAAAGUAGAAGCAAUGCAAAGCAUCAGUUGCAAGAUAUGUGCGAGCAAUGUAACCUUGGAAAGUUAGAGCAAGUACCUUGAUGGGUGAAUAAGAUAGGGCAUCUUCCUCUGACUCCUCCACUAGGGAGCUACAUUGACUUAGGUCUCCCUCUAGCUCAGAAUCACUGUUAGGAUCAUAUUCUGAGCAUGAAUCUGUAGGUGGAGAGCGUUUGCAUUGCAUUGCAUCCAGACUUGAUUUCGGUCCCUUAAUGCCAAGUUUGACAGCCAUGGCAUUGUUCUGCUUUAUUCUUUUCAUGCACGCAAGCUCAUAAUCAUUAUGAUGCUGUUCAGAAUCUGAGAUUCAUGAAAACAUAAAAAGUAGUCAUAUUAUCUAUGGAAUGCAUUGCGGAUUCAACUCGGAGAGUGUCUCCCUAUAAACCCCUGCAUAUGCAGAGUUCACCUCCCCAACCGUGCUGACCAGACCACACACAGAAAUACAAACCCCUUAUGUCUCUAUAACAGGCAGGCACACAUUUCAAAACUGAAGUAGGAACAUUAGAAUCAUAUGAAAUUCGUAUUUGAACAAAUAAACUAAGCAAUUAUGAGUGGCAUAAUGUUUAGCUUCAAGGGUGGAGUGUUGGUAGUGCGACACAAAGCAAGUAGGCAGAUUGUAUUCCAUGUAAAAGAUCGAAACCUAUGUAAAAGCUGGAAAUGGCACUUUCUUUCUAUAUAAUGCAGUGUUCGUUACCCACACAUGAUGGAAGAGAUCACAUAGAGAAAUACUAUUCACUCAUGUCUACAGUUCCAGUAUUUAGAAACAGGGUGGUCCACCCUAAAAGAAUAUUGACAACAAAUAUGACAAGGCAAGCAUAGAUGUAGUGAGUCAAUCAUUUACUUGUGAGCUUAUUAGGACAAGUAUGCAGAAUUGUAACUGCAGUAAGAGGCCGUCCAAAAUCUGAAUGAAGAAGUUUGUCUAGCACUUAUUGUUUGCAACUAAUCAACGUAGAUAAUUGGAUAUUAUAUCAAAUGAGUAAGAAGGACAAGUAAGAUUGUCAACAAACCUGGCUUGCAGUAGUAAUCUGGGUCAAUGUCACUACGACCAACAAUCCAAAAUGACUAGUUUCUGUUUCGAGGGCCGGAAUUUUGAAAACCCUAUGAACUUUAGAGGUACUAAAGAUUACCGAAAUACAUCUGAACCAUUAAAUGUAGUAGCACUGAGCACACAACAAACCCUAAUGACAGUCCUGCCUAAUGAGUAAUGAAUCAAUUAGAAAAUGGGUGAUGAGGAGUGGCUGCUGAGUGUUGAGGACGUAUCUCAGGAUAAAUCGGGUUGGCUUGGUGGGUGCUGCAUGCCUGAGCCCUGAACGGACUGGGAAGGUAGGCAUGGCGGCGGGCCCGGGCAGCGGUGACGCUGUUGGGCGAGUGGCUCCUGGCCUCCUGUUAGUCUGGCGUCUCCUCCUAGAGUCAUGCCUUCCGGGGACGGCAAGUCGUCGGCGAGGCAGGUGGCUGGGGGUGAGUAGAGAUCGGAAGCGCGCAACAGAACAGAGGGGAAUCGGGGCCUGGGACAACACAAAAUCCCAGGGUGGGCCAGCCCACCAUGGGCACCCUGUAGAGAUACACACCCGAGGGGCGAACAUGCAUUUUCGAAACUAAUUUAUGAACAUUUAGCUGACCAAUUAAACAACUCUGUUUUAAUAAUAUCAGAUUCGUAUUUGAACAUCUAAGCUUGUUUAGCUUGAUGGGUGGAGCAGUGCUAUUAUGACACGAAGCACGUAUUCUGAUCGUAUAGUGAUCAUAAAAGGGGGAAACUCUAAGCAUAUUUUUUUAGCAAAAGAGGGUUUCCCCUCUGAUUUCUAUUAAAGAAACCACCACGGAACCAACAUGAUCAAUUAAACCCUAAGCAUGAUCAAUUAAACCGUAUUAUGGUUGUGCCAUGGCAGAUUUGAAGCUGCAAACUGGAGAAAUGAUAUUUAGCAUCCAUUGUUUGCUUCGAACUAAGAACUAAAUUCUAAGAGCUGAAAAGAAAGUAGAGUAACCAAGUUAAGAUCUAUUUUCUGGUUGAGAUCAAAAAGUUGAGGAGAUAUGAAGUACCACCUCUCUUGCGGCACCGUGUAGGCAUCGGGGGUGCGAUGGCUGUCGGUGGCAUUGAAGCAUAUCUGCGACGGUAGACGGGUGCAUCGGGGGAUAAGUCCCAUUGCGGUGGAAGAGAUGGUCAUGUGAGCGGCCCCGACAAAGAGGACGACGGCGUCGAUGAAGCGAGAGGACGCGAUGCAAGGCUAUUUGUCCGUCGCCGUGGAUGAUAAAUGUCCAUCUCUAGCAGUGGACGACGUGGUCUUGGUAGGCGCUCCGGCAUGGUGGAGGACGGUGGCGACGGAUGUGGUGGAGGACGACGGCGAUGGAUGGGGUGGCGGACGGAGGCUGGUGUGGGGAUGGGGUCUUCUAGCGCGAACGGUGUAUGAAUGGGAAAAUGGAGGGAGAGGUACGGGGAACCAUGUUUUUGGGACGCGCCUGUCUCAAAUAUGGGAAAGUUACGAACUUAGCCCCCGUUUAAAAUUUGGACGUCUCGUCGGUUGGGGAUAGGACGGUAACCUCGCAUCUCGCCAAUAUUUUCCCAGAGCGAUUUCGGGCGAGGAGAGGGUGGUUGGCGCCCAUGGUUGGCGCCCAUGGUGUAUGAACGGGGCUGACAGGUAGGGCGGUUGUGUCACGUCUGAGUGAAGUUACAAACCUGCCCCUAUUGAAAAUAUUUGCCUACAUCGAUUUCGGCCGAGUCAAGUUUGUUUUGCCGCCCAUCGUGUAUAAAUGGGGAAUGGAGCGAGAAACAGAGGUCUUUCAGAUGAGCUUGAAUUAAAUGUGUUUUGCCGCCCAUGUUUGACGCCCACCGUGUCGGAAUGGGCUCAGAGGCGAUCGUGUCACGUCUAAUUGAAGUUACUAACCUACCCCUAUUUAGAGCAGUGGAAAUCGGGCCGAUGGAUUGUCCGUGUAAUGGGUAGACAGUAAUUUCCAUCUCCCAAACACUUGGCUUUGGGCAGCUACGUGGGAGUGGACAUUUUGUUGCUUCUCUCGAAUUUUGGGACAAUAAGCAUCCACGUUUACCCUGGCAACUAAAUUCGAAUCCACUUUGUAUUCCUAUAUGAAUCUUUAUAAAUCAUUCUAUGUGUUUUUAUAUAUCUUCAAAAGGACGACAAAGAUGUAUUCCACUGUCAUAUAUGAAUAUGGUUUACAAAUGUCGAUACUCAAAUUCAGAAACUAGAAUCAAGUUUAAGGUGAAUUCGAAUAUUUGGAACACUUCAUGUCCAACUCAAAUGUCACACACAACAUAAUGUGUGGUCCCAUUUAGAUAUGUACACAAGCGAUGUAUGAAGAUUCAAAUACCGAGUCAAUCAACCAAGAAUGUACAGAACUAACAGAUGCAUAAACACUUAUAGAGUAUAUGGAUCAAUAAUAUCAACUAACAUACAUAAGCCAGGCCGCUGUACUUUUUUUGGCUACAACAUCAUCCUUUUUUUAGCCAGCAUCUUGGACCUUUCCGAUAAGUGCCACUUAUGGUCCAUCUAUACUACUACUAUUGCCGAAUGCACAUUCAGCCCGAUUGGCAUAUUUGUAGAUCUGGCACAACAAUUCAAUUAAUACAGACUUGUGCUCAAAUAAAAUUACAAACCAAAAAACCAAAGAUAUAUAUAUAUAUAUAUAUAUAUAUAUUACAAGAUCUCUAAAACAAAUGGUUUGAUUGAUUACAUGAACAGACAACACAAAGGUUAUUCAACGAUGGAAAGAACAUUUCACCUAUGAUUUACCAAGUAGGAAUUUAAUUUCCUUUUUUCCUUCAGGACCUUAACAAUCUGGUCAGUCUCAGCUUGCUUAGUUUUGAAAUCCACCAAAUAUUUAAUGGUUGUGUUGUUUGCUUCCUCAACAUGUCAACUUCAUCUCUAAGUGCAGAAGCAAAAUCUCUUUCUACCACUAGUUUAGCCUCUAGAGCAUCAGCAGUUGGCAAUUCAUAAUGCACGAUUGGGCCGGUGCCACUGCUGUGGGAUGAUGCAACGUCCAUGGGGACCUCGCUCUUUGAUCUUGGGCUAACCUGUUUUUCCAUUAAAGUUCUGAUUGGAUUCAGAAAAGUUGAAGUUAGCAAAACAUCUCAACUGGGAGUUAUAACAGCAAACCAGUUAAACAAACAAGGAAUUAAAGAGUUUUAAUUGGAUGCUAAAAAGUACUCCCUCCGUCCCAUAAUGUAAGACGUUUUUUAACACUAUGCUAGUGUAAAAAAACGUCCUAUAUUAUGGGACAGAGGGAGUAGUUAUUAACAUCAUUGUAACCCGCUGUUGCAGCAGCAAAGCAGUUAAACAAACAAGUAGAUAUUUAAGUUAAGGCAAACAGGUAAUUCUUAACAGUAAGUAUCAAACACAUAGAUAGGCGCAGUCUACAAUAUGAUUAACAGGUUGUGCCAUUAUGUAAUCAGUAGCAAACUAAAUUAAGCCAAGCAACGUAAUUGAACAAUUUUGCAAUAAGUGGCUAACUAAAAUUCCGAGAAGCAGGUAACUGAACUUAUGCUAGUUCUUUGUACAGGCACACUGCAACUUCUUUUUCGCUUACAAGGUUGUACAAAGGAGUCCAUGGCAUCAAUUGCUUGGAUACGCAGUCCCAAUACUUCUUUCUUCCCACACUGCAUGGGUAAGUCGAAUGGUUAAUCUGGUAAGAUGGUGCGUCCUUGAUAUGUUAUAUGAGGACGUGUAGUCAGACUAGUUGUAGCCAAACACAUCACACUGGCUUUUACUGUAUAUUUCAUGCGAUUACUUUUGGCAUAUCGAGAUCUAAGCAAUCUACAAUAGGAUGAAAAGACUGGCAUCCUUCACACUAUUGGCGAACUCAGUUCAUAGAAACAAGCAAUUCAACCAUUCUGUGGAUAAAUCAAAAGCGCCACUGGAAUAUUUUUCACUAUCCAAUCAUACACGCAAAAAGGGGCGACGCCACCAUAGGGGCUGGUAUGGGCGACCGCCUCAGGUGGCUGGAAAGUGUGCACCUAGUUUGAGUCGUCCAGGUUGGACCAAGCUAGUUUUGUUCGUCCCAACGCACGAGCAGGCAAUGUAAAAAAUGAAGAAAAAUAUUUCAAUUUGGAUGGGCCAAUAACAUAGGUGCAAGGCAGGCCCUAUAGCAGGCUCGCGGCCCAAACAAGCGCCCCCAUAUCGAUCGACAGCAGGAAAAAUCCCAAUUCAUUCGCUCCAGCCUCCAGUCUGGUUCGCUCCUAACCUAGUCGCCGCUGGACAGACCGACACAGCACUUCCUCGCGCCCUCGUUGGAGGGCGGUCACCAGGCUUCAAGCGAACAGAAGGACAAGAAGAUGAAGAUCCAACCCUGGGUGUAACCUGCGUGGGAGGCAGCGGCGGCAGCACGGGCAUGGCAUCGAGCUUGCGCAAAUGGACAGUCGCAGCUUGCAAGAGUAGCAUGCGCAACGAGCAGGUACAUCACAUCCCUGAUUAUAUCUAAUUCAACUCUUCAAUUUCUGGCAAUAGUUAAACUUGACGGUGUUGUAAAACUGCUUGUAUGUAGGAAAUCUAUGAGAAAAUUAAACCAAUUUCUACUUAUUUUAUAACUCCCCCAAUCAAUACUGAACUGAAUGAAUCUGAUGUAUCUAAUCAAGUUUCCGGUGCAAACAUACAAGCUCAUGUUGUUCUUGAGCCUGAAGUGUCUAAUGAACAGACUGCUAAUGAAGGAUUUGAUGCAAACAUUUUACAUGCUCCUGGUGAUGAACAUAUAGUGUCUAAUGAGGGAUCUAAUGCAAGCAUUUUGCAAGCUCAUUGAAGGAUUUAGUGUCUAAUGAUGAUCUACUAUGUUGAGAGAGACAGAGAUUUGCAGGCAUUGAUGACAAGCAAAUUAUAGUGCAUUUUCAUAGCUUGAGGAAACGUCGAGGCCAUCUACCAGAAAGUCCCCGUAUCAUGACAACAUAGCAUAAAUACUUUUCUAAUCUGUUGUUUGAAACUAUUGGCAUACUUGUGCAGGAUAGAUAUAUUGAUAUGCAGUUUGCGCACUGGUUAUACGUGCAAUUACACUUCGACAUUUUCAGCCAGGGAACGAAUAAUUCAAGCAGGUACAGACCAUGUUUGUAGUCCUUGUACACCAUGUUGCAUUUUAUGUUUUUUGGUGCUUGCAUCAUUUAGUGUUAAUAAUCUGAACUACUUUGGAUCAUUAACUGGUUUUCAAAGUGCAUGUAGCUUCACAUUUCUCGAGUUGUGUUGAUUUUCGGAGUGCAAGUGCCUUCAUAUUUUUUAAGUUAAAUGUUCGCCCAUGGUAACUUGGAUCGUGGAUCAGCCACAACACACAAAUCAUACACGAAUGCCAGUAUGAAUUAAAUGAAAUGCAGGGACUUACACUAGCUCGUUGUACAGGCUCACUACAGCUCUGCUUGCGCUUGGGAUGUUCCAUGUACAAGUCCAUGUUACCACUUGCUUGGAUGUGCAGGCCUUGUGCUCCUUGCAUCCCCCUCUGCAUUUUUGACAUGGCGAAUGGUUGAUCAAAUAAGAGGAAUCGACCUUGAUGUUGUACCGGAGGACAGAUACUUGCAAGGUUAUACGGGUGUGCAGGAUGUGUACCAGAUCCCGUAGCGCCUUCAUGCUUCACUAAAAAAUGGAUUUGCUUGUUUCAGAUGAUAUCUCCCGAAGAAAUAAGAGUUAAAGUCAGAGUUGCAUAGGCGUGUAAGCUAAGAGAGCAGUGAAAGGAUAUCCAAACAUCGACGGAACAGUGCACAAGGGAGUGAUGUGUCGAUAGCUAGUUCGGGCCGGCAUUUGGGCAUGCUCGCCUAGCUAGAGUGCGGGUCACUUCAGAGCCGUUGAGGGUGAUGCGCUGGCGUUGGCUGGCUGUGCACGGAUGCAGAUCUUGAGUGGCAGCGGAGCGCUACGAUGUGGUGGACGAGACCAUUGGUGAAGCCCCAACGGCCUCGGGGGGCGGAGGUGCGAUGAUGUGCUCGGUGAAGUAGCCCCGGUAAGCUGGGAGACGGCGUCGGUGAAGCGCACCUGAUGCGGUGGAACUCGGUGUCUGUGAGGCACGUCGGUUGCGGCGGCCGACAUUGUCGAUGGACCACCUGGUGCGGUGGCCGAGGGCGUAGAUGAGGUAGCUCCGGUGCGGUGGUGAAGCGCGACCGUCGUCUUCGUCGUCUUUGGAAUGGAACAAAUUUCGACCCACAAAUUAAAGUGCUACAAACUACACACCAAGGGCCCACAUGUCAUGAAACAAAUUUGGACCCAUAUACAAAUUAAAAAAUAAAAGACGAGGAUCGAACAUGCGACCGGGCCUUCAAGCCGCACGUCAAUAGGCAACAUACGUAGAAUAGCAAUGUUUGUUGUACACCCUUUGUUCACAUAAUGUUUUUAUAUUACCACAGCCUAAUUAAUGGAUAACAUGUAAUAUUAUUUUUAGUACUAUUCGCCUUCACUUACUGGUGGGUUCCAUGUGUGCUCUCUCUCUCUCCUCCCCUUCUGCGUUUAGACGCACGGGCAAACAGGAAGAACUCGCGGGCGAUGUUGCCGUUGACCAUAUCUGGACGCGUUCACAAGUCACGGCACCAGUUUCACGUACUAGCAGCACUAGUCAGUGUGUACGUGCAAUGCAUGUUAAUUUGGAAGUAUAUUAAGUGCAUGCGGAUAUUAACUACUACGAUAUUAUUUGCGUGUUGUCAUGUGAUUAGCACUAUUUUUGGCAUGAAAUUAACUGCACGCUAAACGUGUUGAGCGCUCGACAUUGAAUCAGUCUAGGUCCUUGGAUGACAAGGAAUACAUGUGGCUUGAUGACGUUUUAUAUUUAAUUUGAUACGGCUCUAGCAGAACAUUCAAUCGAUCAAAGCAUACAUUUUGUUCAGUCUGACUCCGACUUUAAAUUAUACGACGAUCGAUAUAAAAUAAACGGAAAUGAUAAAUGUUCGAAUUUUAAGCAUGGCAAUCCGAACAUUUUUCAUGGAAAAUUUAGAUUGCGCGGCGGCGGCGGGGGCGUCUCGCGGUGGGAAGUGGCUCCUCUGUCGUGCUCUGUGUGUAGUCGGGCCACUGACCGACGGUGACGACGCUGUCUUGCGCCGUUGUUGGCAUACUCCUGGACGUUGGCCUAGCUUCAAGGAAGGCCAAAAUGUUCUAGACUUUGGAGCGAGUCAACUGGCGGGAGGAGGCGACUGGCGUUGGUGCAAGGAAGCGGUCGAUGGCGGCCAUCCAUGCCGCUGAGGGGGCACUAGCACCCGCGCGGGGACAGGCGCUAUCAACGGGCACCAGCACGGGCGCGCACGUCAGUGCACGCGCAUGCGCAUGCGCUGGCAGGUGCACGGGCACCGGCACGGGCGUGCGCGUCAGUGCAUGCGCAGGCGCAUGCGCUGGCAGGUGCACGGGCGCGUGAAAGUCGGCGGGGACCUGGUGGAACCCCGUGGCAUCAAGCUCGACGACAAUGUGCGUCUCCCAGCCCAUCAAUGCCACAGGGAUGGGUACUGGCGCAGUCGGGGCAACGGGAGCCGGAACGGGAGCGGGGACAGGCGCGGCGUCUUCCCGCAAGGCCAGUUCAAGCUCGUCCCAAAGCGCCUUAUGUUCUUGAGACUCCGGAUGGGUGUCUUCCUCAUGAAACUGGAACACUAAGGGCAGACCAUCAUGAUGCGGCAUGGCGUACAUUUAGGUCAGGCUAGUUGGAGGUAGACGAUAGGAGAAUCGGAGAGGAAGAGAGAGGAUUGUAGCAAUACCGGGUAGUGCGGGGUUGAUUUUAAAUGGUGGCGCCGGCAACAUUAAAAGUGGGAGCAGUUGGGACGACGGUGGGCGGCGGAGCCUGGUCAAAGGGCUCGCCUCCCGGUGAGUCUGCACAGUGGUCUGCUCGCAUGCCUCCCUGACAGCCGGUGCAGCGGUCUGCUCGCACUCCUCCCAUCGACUCACACGCUUGCUGGGACGGCACCUGCCGAUGAGAAGCGGGGACUCGUGGCGGCACGUAAAUGCCCACGGUUUCAAUAGUGAAAGCGUUCGCCUUAACGUGACAGGUCUUUGUUCCAAAAUACCUUGGCUCUUCAUUUGUGCAACUUCUCAUAAGCAGCUUGUCUCGAAUUGAAGAAAAAACUUAUGAUGUAAUAUUUGUGCCAUAUCACGUGACCAUUCUCAGUUUCAAGAAUUUGUGCUCACUUUUGGAUUUUCUGAAAUUUAAGAUCCAGGAUACGAAACAAUAUCAUAACCUGCAUCAUGCAAUAAAUUUUCAAGCCGUACAUCUAUCAUGUUGUAUUUCUUAAGAAUGGAUUUGGUCAAACAUUUUGCUUAGUUAAACCUCCUUUCCAGUUUAUAGGGCUCAAUUCAAAAAUCUCACCAACCAAGGUAGAUGGUGAGUGGUGGAACAAUUGUUGUAGUUUGCAAAACCACUCAAUUAAUGCACUUGUUUUCCUCAAAAAUUGUGUUUACGAAUGCAUUAAUUGCAAUGCAUGCAUGAGUAAAGUACAUGCAUUGGUCAAUUUUCUCUUAAUUCUUGCAUGUAAUGAUUUAUUGCACCUUGAAAUCUGAACAUGUGAUGGGGAACAACCAAAUUGAGACUUAUAAAAUGGGAAAACUAAAAUUUUGAGAUAAGCCCUAUAAACUGGAAAGGAGGGAGUAAAAGGAUAAUCCCCGCGUACCAGUGCAUUGCCUGAUAUAUUAACUGAAGUACUAGGCACGAACAAACAGGCUCAAUUCUGUGCUCAUCCUGGUGUAGUAGUAGUAGUAGUACUAGGCAAUGCAGUUGACGGGUGACCUUGACGAGCGGCGACCGAGGGAAUUGAACCGUGAUCAGCACGGUAGGUAAUGUUGUCUAGUUACUAAAGCAUCCCUCCGUUGUUCAUCGGUAGUCAUUAUGGACCGGGGACAUGAGCGGAAUUUCCUAGGGCUGGAAUUCUGGCAGCCAGAUAUUUCGACUUGAAACGCUGAGGCUCGACUGGUUGGGAUUUCCCAAUGUGCGUACCACGCACGCCAUCAAAGGACACGAGCCCGUUUUUUUAGGAUCAACACGAGCCAAGGUCUGGCUGGUACGUCGUUGGGUCCUACCAUUCGAGAAUACGGAAGGAACCUUUUAAAUUGCCGAACGAAUCUAUGUGUAUUACAAUACCCGUAUUUUCCUUGCAAAUACUAAUCUCAACGUGGUAAUUGAUUUAUGAUGAGUUGUUGAAUUAGAGUGAGUUUGUGAUAUAGUGAACUCAACGUGGAUUUCACAUUUCAUGGUAUCCCUAGUAAGUUUUCCAAUGCAAAUUCAAAUUUAAAAGAUGAACAAUAUGGAGGUGAGAAAACUUUGUAUGUAUCAAGCAUAUGACCACAGACACACACACACACAGAGAGAGAGAGACACACGCAUGAACACAACAACAAUCCAAUAAGUAUAGUGCAUCUAUUUUUCCAACCCAUGCAUGUAUGACACGAAUUCAAAAAUACUCCUUCUAUUCCUAAAUGAUAGUCUUUUAGAGAGUUCAACAAGUGACUACAUACAGAGAAAAAUGAGUGAAUCUAGACUCUAAAAUAUGUCUAUAUACAUCCAUAUGUGCCAGUCCAUUUGAAGCCUCUAAAAAGACUAAUAUUUAGGAACGAAGGGAGUAAAAUGUAAGACAUCCAUGGUCCUCAGUUCAAUAUUUAAAAUGAACAUGAAACUGAAACAUGAAUAUUAAGUCUAGUACUAUAGUACAUGCAAAUGUUGUGUUUAGGCGGAGCUAUGAUUGUCGGGGGUCAACCCCUCGACCUUAGAUAAAAUUGUGGAGCUCUGUUUAGGGUUGUUUAGAUUAACUUUGUCCCCACCCUCCCAACCACCGAUUGGUUGUGCACGCCCCACCCCUCCUCCCUGGGAGAAUAUCAUGUGCCCCCAUACCUUAGAUGCUAUAUGCUGAUACGAGUUGCUUGGAGCUUGUAGAUCUGAGAUAUAGCAGCUCACAUGAUGUGUCUUAAAUUUUUGCAGGAAACCUUGAUGAGUUUGAGAAUUGCACACAAUUUGUACAAAAACUACUUAGAUGCCCUUUGAUCCCAUAUCCAACAACCUUGAAGCUCGUAUCACCGUAGCAUCUAAGAUGAAGGAGGACAUCAUAUUGUCCUGUAUGUAAGAAUAUCAUGUGCUACCACACCUUAGAUGUUUUGGUGAUACAAGCUCUUCGGAGGCGUUGGAUUUGUGACCCAACACCUCCUCGGUGGUUCAAAUGGUUUUUUGUAGAAAAGCCCCAAAAGAGUUGGGCCACUGCUUACAAGCACAAAGACUGCUCAAAUGCCAUUGGAUCUCAGAUCAAAUGACCUCCAAGCUCGUAUCACCAUAGCAUCCAAGCCGCGAUAGCACCUUAUGUUUUCUCGCACGGGAGAGUAUGAGGUGCUCCCGCAUCGUAUAUUCCAUGUUUUCUCGCACGGCCCACAGUAGGAGGUUUGAAUGUUUUUGCAAUAUACGGCUGAUAGAGUUUGGGAAAUGCGCAGAAAGUACAAGUACUAUGCAUGUGCCAUCUGAUCACUGAUCAUACGACCUAGAUGCUCACAUCACCGUAGCAGGUAAUUAAGCUACGGGGAGCACCUAAUAUGAGAACCGGGGAGCCGUUGGAUCGAAGAUGCUGCGGCACACCAGAGGCCUGAAUGUUUUAUUUGCAAAAAAACUUUGGGGAGUUUGGAAAUUGCGCAUAAUCACAAAGACUACUCCCUAGCCAUUGGAUCUCACUUCCAACGGUGUAAAAACUCGUAUCACCAUAGUAUCUAAGCUGCAGGGUGGAUGUGAUAUUCUAUGCCGCUAUCAUUCUUGUUCGUAAACUUGCAAAAUACGUGUAACUCGUGCCGUUACUUGUCUAACCGUGCAAAGUGUUUGUUCAAAAAAAACAUCCUACACUGAAAUAUCGGAACAACACACGGGGGUCCCACUUGUCAUUAAUCAAAUUUGGACCUAAAACUAACAAAUCUGAUAGACGAGAUUCGAACUGGUAACCUGGACUAGAAAGCGUAAGUCGAUAGCCUGAAAAAACGAACGGUUGUUGGCUUUGUCCCAUAACUUGAUUUUAUACAGUACUUGUGUUGAGUAGAGUAGAGGGAGUGCCUCGUCAACACUUGCAUGACCGUUGUCUCACUUACUGGUGGGUCCCAAGUGUGUGAUCUCAAUCUCUCUUCUCUCCAUCGUCUAACCUUUGCACGGGCACACACGAAGAGCGGCGCUAGCUUGCCGUGGUGUUAUUACAACUAAAAAAGCUUGGAAAAUAGAAGAAUCGCCUAGAACAAGAGACGUUGUGGCUGGUCAAGACGGAGCUAACUGUGCCACGUUUGCAUGAUGAAGUUGUGUGGCUAGUGGGGUGUUUUCGACCAACCGGCUGGGUCCCGAGGUCGAACCAUAGGUACUACGUCUGAUACAGUACAUUUUUACACGCACAUUUUUCCUCCGUGCCGAGACGUGGCACACCCUACCGCGCGGUUUUGGGGUCCACCCAGGUCGUGCACGCAUAUAUUCUUCCUGACGUGGGAUGCCCUACUGCACGUUUUCUGGGUCCUCCUCGGUCGUAGUGCCAAAGCAAGUAAAUGGGUCGUCAAAUCACGAAAGACCACCUUUCCCGCCGAGUACAUCAGUGAAGCACGGUGGCUAGCUAGUUGGGCUAGUUCGACCGAUUAGCUAGGCCGCCACCAUAUUUGUUUUUUCACCCCUUUUUUAUCUACUUGCCAGCAGGUAAAUUUAAAUGUCCACCGCGGCGAUGCUCUGGUGUUUGGGUGCAGCAGGAUUUUUAAUUUUUUGAUUGACGGGAGCAGGCGCGGCAGGAUUUUUAAUUUUUUGAUUGACGGGAGCAGGCGCGGCAGAAAUUAGUCACGAUGACUUCGCCUGUAAAAACCCACUGCUCCCUGAUGUGAGAAGUUGUCGACUGGUGUUUUACCGUGGUGAAAACCAAAAGAUUCCCUGCUCCUCGGCUGGAUCUCUCCGCCUUCCCGUAGAUUGCAUUGCCUCUCAGCCGUAUCGCCCCCUUUGCUUCCUCUCCCCUUUGCUUCUACCUGGUGCCAUGGUGGCGCAGCAGAUCACGGAGUCCGAGGUGAGGCGCCUGACACAGGAGCUCCAUGCCAAGGAUGCGGAGCUCAUGGCCAAGGACGUGGAGCUCCGUGAGCUCAAGGAGGAGAGGAGUGCCAUGCUCUUCCGUUAUGUGCGGGAGUUCAGAGAGCUUCAACAGCAGCAGGCGUCCACCACAAAGAUGCUCGAGGCGUCGGCGGCGUUGCUACAGAAAGCGGGAGAUACAAUAGGCCGUCAGAGGAGCCGGCUGGAGCACGAGCGGGCCGAUCGUGAUGAGGUCCAGGAUCGCCUCAGCCACUUGGUGAACCAAGUUGCCACGCACGUGUUGCGGCUGCGCGAUGCCUACCGUCGCGCCAGCACGACGAUGCCGGCCAUCGGGCUAAACCCGUUCGACCACCCGGUCGACUUCAACGAGCUGCGGCUUCCUGACCUGGUCUCCUUCUUCACCUAUAUCUCUGAGGAGCUGAGCUGUCUCCGCGCGAUGGUGGGGGCUGAGCUAGACAAGGAGGGGUUGCAGGCUGCCGUCGCCGUUGCCGGGCGAAUCCUUUCAGGGCUCCGUCACCGGAAUCCAUUCGUGCCAUUGGACGCCGUCUUUGAUGAGCUGGCUACCGUUGACCGGGAGCGGGCUCUACGGGCGGUUGCACCCUGCAUCACCAACGUCGUGCGCCUCGAGAAGCAGAGGGACUUCGGUGGUGUUUAGGUGCCCUCUGCAUGGGCAUGUCCAUGUCUCAGCGCAACAUGACCGUUGGAUCAAACUCAGACGGUGCAGAUCAGUCACUGUAGCACAAAGCGUGUGGUAGUGUUUGGUUGCAUUCUCAUCUCAACAUAGUUGUUUCCUCUUCGUGUAUUUUUGUCAACCUACUAGUAUGGACUCAUGCACCCUUCAUGGUUCAUGCACUCUGCCAAACACCCAAAAGUGGGUCGAGAAGGGAACUUUUGCUCCCAUCCCGUGCACCCUUCAUACACCCUGUCUAACACUAUAGGAUGUACUUCAUAUGGUUCAUGUUUCGUGGAGUACUGUAGCACCGUACUCUCCGUGCGCUGUGGACCUAGUUCUGUUAACAUUAAUCUCACCGUUCAUUCUCGAUCGGACAGUCGAAAAAGCGGUACUAUGUUACAUAUAGGAGUAGUUGACAUGCGCACAACAUCAUUUGUUAUCGUCAUAUCUUACUACACUAGCAACAAGAUUGUGUAGUACUGACGUAUGAACCACUGCACAUGCCUAGUAGUAGGAGCACUGUGUAUGUUCAAGUGGCUGCCGUGUUUCGCACUCCUCCGUUGUAAGAGUGGAAACGCUUGGUGUAACCAUUUUUUUCUUCAAAAUGAAAAACAGUGGACACGCUCUACCGUGUGGAUCCUCCUCCAGCCAUGCACUAAAUUACUCACUUUCGCCAAGUGUGGGACGGCCAACACCUAGGUCCACCACCCAUGCACUAAAUUACUCCAUACUAGAGUGACGAUAGACUACCCCGAUCGAACUACCGCAGUAAUGCCCGAUGAGCCGUCAAAUCACAAAAGCCCCUCCUUUCCAGCAGUAAGUUGGACGGACGAAGCAACCAUCAUUUCACUCUUCUCUCUCAGCUUCCUCUCUUGAAGAAAACCCCCACUCGCUUCGCUUCUCCCUCAUCUCGUUCCUCCUUUCACUCUUCUCUCUCAGCUUCCUCUCUUGGAUGGACGCCGGAGCACUGGCCGACGUGAUGUCUAUGGCUCUGGCCAAAACCGUCGAGGCUCAUGGUACGAAGAAGCACAAGCACCCCGCCGAGACUACCGCAGACAAGCUCAAAGCCAUCGCCCUGUCCAAGGCCCCCUCUCCGGGAUCCCUCAUUAAGCAAGUCCAGGUAAUGUCUCUUGUUGACGAUCUUUUUCUCGAUCUUGAUCGUGAUUUUUCAUCUAACACGCAGUACUAGUACUGGUAGUACAACUUUUUGGGUGAUCUUGCAUGUGAUUUUAGUGUGCCAAAUGACGGUUCUAAAUUCCUCUUUUGACCAAAACAUGCGAGAGGUUGACACUGAUUUCUUAUAGAUUACUUUCAACUACUCCCUCUGUCCCAAAUUUCUUGUCUUAGAUUUGUCUAGAUACGAAUGUAUCUAAUACUAAAAUGUGACUUGAUACAUCCGUAUCUAGAUAAAUCUAAGACAAGAAUUUUGAGACAGAGGGAGUACUUUAUGAACAUCAAUGCUACCUUUUAAGAGGGUAUAUUUGCCUCAGUAACUUGUGUUAUGGAUAUUGCAUGUAAUCCCUCUGCUCUCAUGCCUUUGAAGACAUGUUCUAGUGUCUUUGUUCACUCAUUUCUGUGCAUAUAUGUAGUCAUAUAUGGAGUAUAAUAUCGAAAAUCAUCUUAUAUUUCUGAACGGAGGUAGUAAUAAAAUAUGGUUUCUGUUUGAAUUAGAACCAGGUCCGCGGUGGAGAUGAAGUUCUCAAAGUCAUGUCGUGUGAACGGGAAGACCUGAUGAUGAGUUCUACUGCUGAACUAUCCAGCUGCUGUGUCCUUGUCGCCACGUGUCCUGAACUAGUGUUUUCCUAUAGCACUGUGGCCAGGCGUGUUCUCGAGGCUGUACUCGACCACAACAAUUUCCUGGUUGUGCCUUCGAUUAUGAAGGGUGUGGUUCUUGUAAAGCUUCCCAACAAAUCUGAUGCAGCCUGUCUUCAUCAUCAUGUUUAUGAGUGGAAAGACCACUCUGUUAGGUUCUCCAAGGUUGACAAGAUGGUGAUGAUGCAUGUAGACAUCUCACACGAAGUCCAUGGCCUAGUCAGUUAUGCGGGGUUCAUUCCGUAGGUCGGUGGCAAGAAAUAGUCUAUAGAAUUUAGUUAGUGCAACUUUGCUUGCCUGUAGUAAGUACUAUUGUUCAGUACUUGAUUUGUGUUUGUGAACCCUGUAUUGUUUAUUAGUACUGCCACUUUUGGUGUGUGGUCAGUCCUGAGAACGGUCUAUGUUAAUGUCUGUCCACUCAAUUCAGUCUGUACAUUUUGAAGUAUCCAAAUCAUAUUUUUAGUGAGGACGGUUUAUCAAUUAUGGUUACACUCCAAUAUCUAUAUGCAUUGCAGGGUUUAUCGCACCCACAAGGAUUUCCAGUCCCAUGGAUGUUCGGUCCAUACAAAUUGUCACGACCUUUGGACUGUCCUGCUUUUGGGAGUAAGCAGGGCCCCUGCAUGCCACGCGUAGUUGGACGAUCAAUCUUCUGUUUAGUACUUCAACAUAGUGAUUUCCUGGUAAGGAUUCACUCGUGUCACAUCAAGUAAAUCUUAUUGAUUUACUGUCUAAAUCUUAUUGAUUUAUUGUCAUGUCUUCUUUCUUUUCCUGCAAGUUUACGAUGCAAGUUUUGCCAUGUGACAUUCAUCACAGAAUAAACCGUUUGGUUUGCUCUACGAUGGCUAUUUUUGCAGGUUUCACUUCUUAUGUCGUGUCAGUAACGAAGGCAUUGUCCAUCACUUAUAUUACUGGAAAAAAUUGGAUCAAUAUGUUGUCUGAGUACAAGCUAAAUCCUAUGAUGAACUGCAGUUUGGUUUAACAAAAACGCCACAGUUAGUCCUUCUCGCGUUUAAAAGAAAUGAAGAAAAAAACUGGAUCACGGUCACGGAUCCUAGUCAAGUUAGAAAGCUGAUCAUAGCAGACCAGACACGAUUGCCGCUGUCUCGCACAGAUCGAGCACCGGCAGUUGCUCUAGCACUGACAGCGGCAACAGCUCAGUAUGAUCCAGCUGAGGAUUGAGCACCGACCGCGUCAGCGGAUCAGUCUGAUCUACCGGAGGAUCGGGCAUCGACACCGGCACCAUCUAUGGCAGCAGCAGCGGCUUCGGCACCUGCACCAACACUUGCACUUGCAUUUGGUCCGGCCCGUGCAGUUGCACCGGCAAAAGACUAGGCUACAGUUUGCACUUCAUAUACCAAAGUCCUUACAGAAACUGACAUGUCCACCUUCUUGGUAAGCAUUGGCCGCCCAAGUGCUUCGUUCUUUUUUUCUUUCCAUGGUGUUUCACAUGAUUCACUGUGUUGAUCUAACUGUUUGGGUAUGUCUUCUUGUUUGCAAACAGUGAAUUCCUAGAGCAACGAGGGAGUCGUUCAACAAUCCGGGCGACCGCAGCCAAGUUUCUCUUACCAUGCGCAGCCUUGGUGUGAAUGAACCUGCUCAAUAUACCGUAAGUACAAAGGAUGGUCGCAUGAUGAUUGAUGCUAAAGGAUGGUCAAGGUUCAAAUCUAAAUCAUAUCUUGCGGUAGGGGAUGAUGUCAAAAUCGAACUUUCUCGGCAAGGAGAGCUGGUCCAAAUCAACUUCGAAAUUCUUCAGUAGCAGCACGCAACUACCGAACUGAUCUAUCCUCUGAGAGAUUUUGAUGUAAUAAUCUGGCAUGGUGAAACAAGUGUCCUGUGUGUAUAAGUAGUACGAUAGUAUUAUUUAUCACAUGGUAUAUCGUUGAUAGAAUUGCAACUCUGAUUGUUGGUUAGGAACUGUCGUUCGAUUCAUUGCAACAGCUAACGUGCUUUAUUCAAUUUUGUGUAUUCGCCUUGCGACAACAUCUAAAACCAGCGCAGUACCGAUCGCUUGCAAUAUGAAAAGUGCUGAGGUAGAACACAUGGGCCCCCAAACAUGCAGGGUCGGCCUGCAUCCCAAAGUCCAGAACCGUGAGCCUAUCUGAGUAUUAUAUUCUCAGCUGAACCCCCAUAAAAAAAGCUGAACCCCCAUAAUGCCCGUGCGUUGCAGAGGGAGUAUAUUUCUCGGCAAGGUGAGCCUGUGAUAUAAAAGAUUUGUAUAUUUCUUUACAAAUGGAGUAUCUCUCUGUCAAAAAAUAUAUUUAUGUGUAACUAGUUACUCCUGUCUUUCUACUUCCUUUCGCUGAUACGUGGGGCAACCAGAAACGGGGUCCACGUGCCAUAUGCACAAAUUAGAGCGCACAACUUCACGGUAGACACACCCCGGUCAUAGCGCCGCAGUAAUGCCCAAUGGGCCAUCAAAUCACAACCCCCCUAUCCAGCUUUAGCAGUAAGCUGGACGGACGAAGCGGCAAUAUUUCACUGGGCCUGAAUCCCCUUCUCCCUCAUCUGCUUGUUCAGAGAAAACCCCCGCUCGGCGAUUGCAUAGGGUUUUCUCAUGGAGAACUAGGUAGGAAUUUUUCAUCCAUCCCCGAUAAAUCCAAGUCCCUUGGCCGCAGGUAAUCCUAGGAUGGCAGCCGCCACCGUUGAUGCAUUUUUCUUCGUACUGAAUCUAGUGUGUUUCAGUUGCAGUGCCCAAAGUGCGAGUACCCUACAGAUUUCUGCGCCUUCGGCGAGACGCCACACUUGUUCCUUCUCAUCCUACCACAACAUUUUGAAACGCGCACAGUAUGUUCCUAGAAUCCUCUUCUCUAUCCGGGAGGGUGGGUUUUUUUUGAACAUGUUGUGUUCUCAUAUUAUUUUUCCUGCAGUGUAUUAUUUGCUCUGCCAGAACACAUGUACUCAAGAUGCUCGGCCUUGCCAUAACUGAAUACACUAGUUUAAUGUCACAGUGAAGACAAGCCAUGGGUAUUACUUCUGAGUUGGGUUCAUGAACCAAGAAGAUCGCUGCUUUUUUUAUGGCCGAACUUGGAUAAACUUUCUCAAGUGUUACAGACUGAAAGUUGGCGCAAGAAUGUUGAUGGAAAUAGCAGAACCUGGUCUCAUCUUCACUAUGAUCUUCCACCCCAACGUCGUUCCAAUUGUUCAUCCAUGUUAGUUUUGUAUCUGGUUCUUGCUUGUUGCCUCGAUUACUUCUUAAUCCACCUAUUCUGUCUAACUAAUCACAAUUUAACUUUAGAAGUAGCAACGAAUCUCUCACGAAGAUGCUACUUCUAACUAAUAUUUUCUUAUAAUUGGUGGCACGUGUAGGUUUUUUCAGAGUUAAGCAGUCUGCUCGUUUGUUACUCUGUAAUAACUCGGCUGUUACUAAUGGCACUGAAGUUGACUGGAUCGACAUCCACAAGUUCCUACACUUUAUUGAUCGUCUUGAGGUCCUUGUGGGGUGUUUCAAUGGUGGAAGGCCACGUGGGAUAUGUGUGCCACUGCUGCACUCGUUGAACAGGUCCAACUGUGUCGAGAAACUUAUGGUACGAGUUGUUUUCUGUUAUAUAUGUUGUUCAUAAACUAUUGCUUAUACACAGUUUUACAGUUGCGAUCUUCUUGAAACAGGAACUGCCCAGUUCUAUUGUUCCUAUACAGAUGCCUGACCAUGGUCGGGUCAGACUUGCGCUUGGUCACAACAUGAUGUUUAUGUCGACCUACUCAAUUCCCCUUGGAGGUGAAAAGAUACUUAUUCGUGGGUGGUCUAAAAUAAUGAAGGCCCGUCCAUCUUGAAGAAUAGGACAGAAGAUUAUGUUCAUGCUUUUCCAUUGCUCUAAAGCGAAUAUCUUGUUUAUUGACCACGUUGCGAGAUGAAGCCGCUUUCAGAAGGUUGUGGAUGCGCGGGGUGGCACGUGGGCCUUGUCCUAGGGCUUGGCGGCCUCACCCUUGGUUAACUGUAGGCAAAGUAGCACUAUUCGAGGCGUGCUUUGUACGGUUGAACUUGUAUAUGUACUCAUACUGCUUUUAGCUUUGGUUGUUAAGUGCCCCUGGUGGUUUCAGUUAAGGUUGUCAAGUACUCCUACUGCUUUUACAGUCUGUCGUGUUUCUUCAGUCCUGUCUUCCUCCAGCCGCCAAAACCAAACUAGCGCCGGCGGGGCCGCCUGCUUCCGCCUCCCACAGCUGGCUGCACCUCAGCGCACACAUCGCCGCCCCACCGUCUCCUAAAUCGUUAAUGCCGACGUCCUCCGCGCGCUUUGGUGCGCUCACCGCGGCGCCGCCCUCUUGUGUUGUCAACAUGGUCAACAAACAACAGGAAUCGGCAGAAGUACAUGGAGAGGAUGACAGUAGGGGCCCACCACGUCAGCGUAUGGACAAAAUAAAAUGCUUCCUCCUAGUGUUUUCCUGACAUCUGGGACCCACGACAUUGUGAGCGUAUAUAGUCAAUAGACAAGAGAACAACACAAGAUCAGCUGACACCUAGGACGUAGCUACUCAAGCAGUAUUGUUUUGUUUGGUAUUGUUGAGACGGAGCAGGGUUUGAACUGGGCUGUGGCCUGUCUAGCCCAGGCUUAUAUUUUAUGUUCACCAUGUGACCAGCCCAGCUAUUUUUUCUUUGUGAAAAUGAGCCCAGUUUAUUUUUUCUGAAGAAUACCCAAUCCAGGCCUACUUAUUUUUCUAUGCCCUGAUGGGCUGCAACUCUUUCAAGAUGCCUGCAAAUCUUGAAAGUAAUAUGAAAUGGGUUGUAAAUAUAAAAACAGAUGACAAAUUGGCAAUUACUUUAUAAUUUCUAAAUUUUUUUCACAUUUUUAGAUUCCUAUUUCACUGGGCAUUAACCUAAUUUAAAUAUAUCUUCAAAGUACUUUAAGUCUGGCUCGACAUUUCGGUAUUAAAAAUAGUUUGGAACCCACAGAAAUAUGCGAAAUUGGCCCUGGCCAACCAAAAAAACGACUGCAAUAAAUUGCAUAAGAAGUUGCCAUGAGCUAUAUAUAAAUUAUUAAAAAAAGAGGGAGUGGUCUGACUUGUGGGCCUGUUUAGUUGACGCAUAUGCAAGAUUUUUUUAGUUAUUAUAUAUCACGUCAACAAACGAUUCUAGCAGAUGUAACAGUUGAAUGUCAAUCCAACGGCCGUCGUGUUUCUUCAAUCUCUGAUCUUCUUGCUCCAGCCGCCAAAGCAGUGCUGGCGGGACCGCCUCCCGCCUCCUGGGGCCGGUUGUGCUGCCGCGCAGGCCUCAGCGCCCGCUACUACUCCCACCGCUGGCCAGGGCAUCCCUCUACUCACCCACACCCCCUAUUAUUCUGCGGCGCCGGCAACCUCACACCGCAGCCGAACCGGUGAACCCUCGUACUCCUCUUCGCGCGGGCUUCCACUGCCGCGUCUUCCCCGGCUCCAUGUCGUCCCCUUCCUAGGCCUCGCCAUCGUCCACCGCCGUGGUGCUCUCGGCGCGGCGUGGUCAAUGUGGUCAACGUCCGACUUCCAUUGGAAGAGUACUGUACGUGGAGAGGCUGACAGUUGGGUCCGCGGCAGCCGCAAGGAAGUGCCUCCUUAUUACACAAAAAAUAAUUAUUCCUCCACCUGAUAGCAGGGACCCACCGGACGAGCCACCAGUAUUUCGCGUAAAAAAUGUUUCCCCCUGACUGCUGGGACCCACAAGACGAGCCACCGUAUUUCGUGAAAAAAACAUUCCCCCCGCUGUCAGCUCAGACCCACCGGAAGUGCCUCCUUAUUACGCACAAAAAAAUGAAUACCCCCUGCUAGCUGGGACCAACCUUGGUGGGAGGCUGACUCGUGGGCCUACUAAGUUGACUGGGAUGGAGGCCUUUGUCAACUUUAGUCAAUAUAUGAACGAUUCUAGCUCCAGUGACCGUAUGAUGUCCAUCCAACGGCCGUAGUGCUUCUUCAACCUCUGGUCUUCUUGCUCCAGCCGCCCAAAGCAGCACCGGUCGUGUCGCCUGCUCCUGCCGCCCGUGGCCGGCUGUGAUGCCGCAGAGGCCUCACCACCCCUACUACUACCACCGCUGGCCAGGCCAUCCCACUACGCACCCACACCCCCUGUUAUUCUGUGGUGACGGCAGCCUCACACAAUAGCCGAACGAGUGAACCCUGAUACUCCUCUAUGCGUGGGCAUCCACUGUCGCGUCUUCCCCGGCUCCGCGCCAUCCCCUUCCUAGGCCUUGUCGUCGUCCACCACCCUGGUGCUCUCGGCGCGGCGUGGUCAACAUGGUCAAGGAAUAGCUUCCAUCGGAUGUGGACUGUACGUGGAGAGGCUGACAGCUGGGUCCACAACCACAGCAAGGAAGUGCCUCCUUGUUACGCGCAAAAUAAUUAUUCCUCCACCUGACAGCGGGGACCCACCGGACGGGCCACCGUAUUUCAUGAAAAAAACGUUCCCCCCUAUCUGCUAGGACCCACCAGCUACAUCUUCGCACUCAAGGAAGUGCAUCCGGAAAAAAAAUGAUUCGCCCCCCUGACUGCUAGGACCCACCAGCUACAUCUUCGCACGCAAGGAAGUGCUUCCGGGCAAAAAAAAUGAUUCGCCCCGUGACUGCUGGGACCCACCAACUACAUCUUCGCACGCAAGGAAGUGCGUCCGGGCAAAAAAACAAAACGAUUCGCCCCCCUGACUGCUGGGACCCACCAGCUACAUCUUCGCAGGCAAGGAAGUGCCUGACAGUCGGGACCCACCUGGUCGAAGCGUACGUAGCGUUGUCAUUCUGGUCGCGAACGUGUACGUACAUACUGGUCGAUGUAGAGGCGCGCACGUGUUGUAGUAGAGGCACGCAUGUGUCGUAGUAGAGGCGCGCACGUAGCAUGUACACGUAUGUACAUCGGCGAGGGUGCAAGAAAGAAAAUACGGCCACAUACGUACAUACGGGCAGGGUCUCGAACGCCUACUCGCGCAUACGUACAUGGCUGGGUCGGAACGGAGAAACAGCGUCGUCGUCGUGUUCAUGGGGAGCCAACCGGCUGGGUUGGAAUGGAAUGCGUGCUCGUGUUCAUCGGGAGGGCUUGGACGGAACAGGCAAUGGAAACGAGGCCUGGUGUACUGCACAACGGAGGAAACAGACCUCCUACGUCUGUUGAUCGGGAGGGGUGUGGCGUACCGCAAAACGGAGGAAACGGACCUCCUACGGUCGAAACGGGGGUCCUAUUGAUCGGGAGGGGUGUGGCGUACCGCAAAACAGACAAAACGGACUUGUGUUGGAGCGCUACGGUCGAAACGGGGGUCCUGUUCAUCGGGAGGGGUGUAGCGUACCGCAAAACGGGACACCACGGGAUACUGUGCAUCUCCACCGUCGACCUCCUCCAGCCUCCACGGGCUACCGUCGACCUCCUCCUGCCUCCACGGGCUCCUGUUCAUCCAGCCUCCACCGCGCGCUACUCCAUGAGCUACUGUUCAACCACCCCUCCACCGUUUGCUGUUCAUCCAGCCCUCCACCAUCUACUGUUCAUCCAGCCCUCCACACCACGGGGUCUUGUUCAACCACCCCUCCACGACCACCCCUCCACCAUCUAUUGUUCAUCCAGCCCUCCACACCAUGGGGUCCUGUUCANNNNNNNNNNNNNNNNNNNNNNNNNNNNNNNNNNNNNNNNNNNNNNNNNNNNNNNNNNNNNNNNNNNNNNNNNNNNNNNNNNNNNNNNNNNNNNNNNNNNNNNNNNNNNNNNNNNNNNNNNNNNNNNNNNNNNNNNNNNNNNNNNNNNNNNNNNNNNNNNNNNNNNNNNNNNNNNNNNNNNNNNNNNNNNNNNNNNNNNNNNNNNNNNNNNNNNNNNNNNNNNNNNNNNNNNNNNNNNNNNNNNNNNNNNNNNNNNNNNNNNNNNNNNNNNNNNNNNNNNNNNNNNNNNCGCUCACUGCUCAUCCAAUCGAUUGGCUUCAGUUAGCAGCAGUAGCGAAGGAAUCGCUCCAUCGGGUUCAGUUAACAGCCAUCAAUCGAUCGCUCGGGUUCAGUAAUGCGUAGUCUGCAGUGCAAUCGCUCGGGUUCAGUUAGAGCCCAACGCCUCGCUCGGGUUUAGUUAGAGCCAACGCCUCGCACACACGCGCGUACGUGUAUGAGAGAAAUGCGCAUCGCUCGGCCCCCAACUUCCCACCGUAACCGAAAACUCCCCGAAAUUUUCCUCCCCCUCGCUUCUACCAUGGUUUUUUCUGUCAUGGACGGCCCAAAGAAUGUCAUGCAGCUGCGUCUCCGGCCUGCCCAGGACGAAAAGCCCAUUUUCUGUCAUGAUUUUUUGUCAUAGAAGUAGGAGCCCACCACAUCUAUGAUGAUACCGGGUUUUGUCACAAUUAUCGUCAUAGAAGUGUCAUAUGUAUGACAGAAAAAAAAUUCGUUCGGCCUAAUAUGUCACGGAUGUGUCUUUUUUUUGUAGUGUGUUAUGCGGUUUGACCGAUAAAGAUUUUCGUAGAAUAUGUAGGAACCAAUAUGACCAUCCAGGUUCUGCUAUUGGUUAUUGACCGGAGAAGUGUCUCGGUCAUGUCUACAUAGUUCUCGAACCCGUAGAGUCCGCGCGCUUAAUGUUCGAUGAUGAUUUGUAUUAUGAGUUAUGUGAUUUGGUGUACCGAAGGUAGUUUAGAGUCUCGGAUGAGAUCAUGGACAUGACGAGGAGUCUCGAAAUGGUCGAGUCAUAAAGAUCAAUAUAUUGGAAGGCUAUAUUCGGACAUCGGAAAGGUUCCAAGUGAUUCGGGUAUUUUUCGGAGUACUGGAGAGUUACGGGAAUUCGUGUUGGGCCUUAAUGGGCCAUACGGGAAAGGAGAGAAAGGCCUCAAGGGUGGCCGCGCCCCUUCCCCAUGGACUGGUCCGAAUUGGACUAGGGAAGGGGGCCAGCCCCUUCCUUCCUUCUCCUUCUCCCUUCCACUUUUCCUAUUCCAUGUGGGAGGUGGAACUCCACACUUUGGGCACGCCCUAUGAGGGCCGGCCUCCUCCUCCCUCCAUCCUUUAUAUACGUGGCCAGGAGGCACCCCAUAGACACACAAGUUGAUCAUUGAUCUCUUAGCCGUGUGCGGUGCCCCCCUCCACCAUAAUCCACCUCAGUCAUAUCGUCGUAGUGCUUAGGCAAAGCCUUGUGCCGGUAGCUUCAUCAUCACUGUCAUCACGCCAUCGUGCUAACGAAGCUCUCCCUCGACACUCUGCUGGAUCGUGAGUUCGUGGGACGUCACCAAGCUGAACGUGUGCAGAUCAUGGAGGUGUCUGAUAACCCAUAAGUGUAGGGGAUCGCAACAGCUUUCGAGGGUAAAGUAUUCAACCCAAAUUUAUUGAUUCGACACAAAGGGAGCCAAAGAAUAUUAUUGACUAUUAGCAGUUGAGUUGUCAAUUCAACCACACCUGGAUAACUUAGUAUCUGCAGCAAAGUAUUUAGUAGCAAAGUAGUAUGAUAAUAAAGGUAACAGUGGCAAAAGUAAAGAUGAUAGUUUUGUAGGAACUGUAACAAUAGCAACUGAAAAGUAAAUAAGCGAAACACAAGAUGUGAAAAGCUCAUAGGCAUUGGAUCAGUGAUGGAUAAUUAUUGGAUGCGAUUCCUCAUGUAAUAGUUAUAACAUAGGGUGACACAGAACUAGCUCUAGUUCAUCAAUAUAAUGUAGGCAUGUAUUCCGAAUAUAGUCAUACGUGCUUAUGGAAAAGAACUUGCAAGACAUAUUUUGUCCUACCCUCCCGUGGCAGCGGGGUCCUAGCGGAAACUAAGGGAUAUUAAGGCCUCCUUUUAAUAGAGAUCCGGAACAAAGCAUUAGCACAUAGUGAAUACAUGAACUCCUCAAACUACGGUCAUCACCGAGAAGUAUCCCGAUUAUUGUCACAUCGGGGUUGUCGGAUCAUAACACAUAACAGGUGACUAUAGACUUAUAAGAUAGGAUCAAGAACACACAUAUAUUCAUGAAAACAUAAUAGGUUCAGAUCUGAAAUCAUCGCACUCGGGCCCUAGUGACAAGCAUUAAGCAUAGCAAAGUCAUAGCAACAUCAAUCUCAGAACACAGUGGAUACUAGGGAUCAAACCCUAACAAAACUAACUUGAUUACAUGAUAAAUCUCAUCCAACCUAUCACCGUCCAGCAAGCCUAUGAUAGAAUUACUCACGCACAGCGGUGAGCAUCAUGAAAUUGGUGAUGGAAGAUGGUUGAUGAUGACAACAGCGACGAAUCCCCCUCUCCAGAGCCCCGAACGGACUCCAGAUCAGCCCUCCCGAGAGAGAUUAGGGCUUGGCGGUGGCUCCAUAUCAUAAAAUGCAAUGAAACUUUCUCUCUGAUUUUUUUCUCCGCGAAACGGAAUAUAUGGAGUUGGAGUUGAGGUCGGUGGAGCCUCAGGGGGCCCACGAGAUAGGGGGCACGCCUAGGGGGGUGGGCGCGCCCCCACCCUCGUGGACAGGGUGUGGGCCCCCUGGUCUUGAUUCUUUCGCGAGUAUUUUUUAUAUUUUCCAAAACUUGUCUCCGUGGAUUUUCAGGUCAUUCCGAGAACUUUUGUUUUCUACACAUAAAACAACAUCAUGGCAGUUCUACCGAAAACAGUGUCAGUCCGGGUUAGUUUCAUUCAAAUCAUGCAAGUUAGAGUCCAAAACAAGGGCAAAAGUGUUUGGAAAAGUAGAUACGUUGGAGACGUAUCAACUCCCCCAAGCUUAAACCUUUGCUUGUCCUCAAGCAAUUCAGUUGAUAAACUGAAAGUGAUAAAGAAAUACUUUUACAAACCCUGUUUGCUCUUGUUGUUGUAAACAUGCAAAGCCAGCAUUCAGGUUUCAGCAAAUAUUAUGAACUAACCAUACUCACAAUAACACCUAGGUGUCACAAUUACUCAUAUCAAUGGCAUAAUCAGCUAACGAGCCAUAAUAAUAAAACUCGGAUGACAACACUUCCUCAAAACAAUCAUAACAUGAUAUAACAAAAUGGUAUCUCGCUAGCCCUUUCUGAGACCGCAAAACAUAAAUGCAGAGCACCUUUAAAGAUCAAGGACUGACUAAACAUUGUAAUUCAUGGUAAAAGAGAUCCAAUCAAGUCAUGCCCAAUAUAAACUAAUAAUAAUGAAUGCAAAUGAUAGUGUGCUCUCUAGCGGGUGCUUUUUAAUAAGAGGGAUGAUGACUCAACAUAAAAGUAAAUAGAUAGGCCCUUCACAGAGGGGAGCAGGGAUUUGUAGAGGUGCCAGAGCUCAAUUUUAAAAUAAAGAUUGAAUAACAUUUUGAGCGGCAUACUUUCACUGUCAACGCAACAACUAUGAGAUGGCUAUAUCUUCCAUACUACAUGCAUUAUAGGCAGUUCCCAAACAGAAUGGUAAAAGUUUAUACUCCCCACCACCAACAAGCCUCAAUCCAUGGCUUGCUCGAAACAACGAGUGCCUCCAACUAAUAACAGCCCUGGGGGAGUUUUGUUUAAUUAUAUUGAUUUGCCUUGAUCUUUUUGGAUCAUGGGACUGGGCAUCCCGGUUACCGGUCCUUUCUCGUGAAUGAGGAGCGGAGUCCACUCCUCUUGAGAAUAACCCACCUAGCAUGGAAGAUAUAGGCAGCCCUAGUUGAAACAUGAGCUGCUCGAGCAUACAAAACAGAAUUUCAUUUGAGGGUUUGGAGUUUGGCACAUACAAAUUUACUUGGAACAGCAGGUAAAUACCGCAUAUAGGAAGGUAUGGUGGACUCAUUGGAAAAACUUUGGGGUUUAAGGAGUUUGGAUGCACAAGCAGUAUUCCCGCUUAGUACAGGUGAAGGCUAGCAAAAGACUGGGAAGCGACCAACUGAGAGAGCGACAACAGUCAUGAAUAUGCAUUAAAAUUAAUUCACACCGAGUACAAGCAUGAGUAGGAUAUAAUCCACCAUGAACAUAAAUAUCGUGAAGGCUAUGUUGAUUUGUUCAACUACAUGCGUGAACAUGUGCCAAGUCAAGUCACUUAGUUUAUUCAAAGGAGGAUACCAUCCCAUCAUACCACAUCACAAUCAUUCUAAUAGCAUGUUGGCACGCAAGGUAAACCAUUAUAACUCAUAGCUAAUCAAGCAUGGCACAAGCAACUAUAAUCUCUAAAUGUCAUUGCAAAUAUGUUUACUUCAUAAUAAGCUGAAUCAGGAACGAUGAACUCAUCAUAUUUACAAAAACAAGAGAGGUCGAGUUCAUACCAGUUUCUCCCAUCUCAAUUAGUCCAUCAUAUAUUGUCAUUAUUGCCUUUCACUUGCACGACCGAACGAUGUGUAUAAUAAUAAUAGUGCAUGUGCAUUGGACUAAGCUGGAAUCUGCAAGCAUUCAACUCAAGAGAGAAGACAAAGUAAUAUGGGCUCUAAGUUAAAUAAACAAUCAUGCAUAUGAGAGCCAUUAAACAUUUUCAAUAUGGUCUUCUACUCUCGACCCCAAAGGAAAGAAAAGAAAAUAAAACUAUUUACAUGGGAAAGCUCCCAACAAGUAAGAAGAAAAACGAGAAAUCUUUUUGGGUUUUCAUUUUAAUUCUACUACAAGCAUGGAAAUUAAACUAACUAAAUUUUUUGGUUUUUCUUAAGGUUUAUCAAACACACAAGAAGAAAACUAAAAAAGAAAAUUAAACUAGCAUGGGUAAUACAAUGAAAGAGUAUGAGCACCGACAACUAGAAUUGUGUGUGAACAUGAAUAUAAAGUCUGUGAGAAAUACGUACUCCCCCAAGCUUAGGCUUUUGGCCUAAGUUGGUCUAAUGCCACGGCCGUCUCCUCCGGAUCCCAGUGGUAAGAUGAUGCUCGAUAAGGGUCCAGUGCAGGUUCCGGCUCAGGCUCAGGUUCUGGAGUGGAUGCUUGGCCUCGAUGAGCGUACACUGCUUCCGGUGUGACAAGAAAAUUAUAUGCAAUCAAAUCGAAUAACAGAGGCGCAGGCAAAAUAAUAGUCUCAUUGUGUUUCUUAUUAAAUCUUUGGUUAUAUAAGAGCAUCUUAUCUUCGUUGUCAACAAUGAACUCAUGUGCUACCAUGUUCUUGUAAUCUAAAAUGUAAGGAGGCAAUUUUGUCUCCUCUUUCUCAUGGUGCCUAAUAGGUAUCUCAAAAUGUCUAGCAAGACGUGCAGCAUAGAUACCUCCAAAGAUGGGGCCUUUUGUACGAUUCAGGCUUAGCUGUUCAGCGAUAACGGCACCCAUACUAAAACUAUUAUCUCCGAACAAGGCAUGGUGAAGAAUAAUAAUAUCAGGAACAUUGAAGUUUCCACUAUUUCCACGACCAAUCAAGCAUCUACUAGCAAAUAUGGCAAAGUAGUGUAAAACAGGAAAGUGUAUGCUAGAGAUUCUCGCAUCGGAACCCUUCUUUGGAUCCCCUACAGUGAUAGUGUUAACAAAGCCAUCCACAUCCCUACGAUGUGGUUCCUCUAAUUUUCCCUCAAAGGGUAUCCCACAUACCGCGCAAAAAUUACGUAAAGACAUUUCCCUGAAUUCAUCAUAUAAAUGAAAUGAUACUGAAGGCGGUGACCUUAGGAUAAUAAUAAAAGUUUUGCACGAAAGUAUUGGUGAGUAAGAGAUACUGAUCGAUUCGGUCGUGGAGGAAAUCGGUGAGGCCUGCAUUCUCGGUCAAAGAAUAAAAAUCUUCAUAAAUUCCAGCUUCUCUCAAGAAAUUAUCGCAUGGUCAUUCACACGGCCGUACUUCCGCUAUGCGAGGAAGAUUAUACUUGGCCUUUUCCUUCUCUUUAGCUUGUUUUUCCUGGGGGGGGGGCCUUGGCUAGAAGAGCCCCUCAAAAAUCUCCUUAACAUUUUUCUGAAAAAUUCUGAAAUUUUAGUAACUUCAAAAAUAAAAGUGAAUAAAACUAAACAAGAUUGAUAGCCACUACUCCUACAAUUGCCUAGAGCCUAUAUCAUGCAUUAGAAUUACUUGGGACCUCAUAAAUUUAACAUGCNNNNNNNNNNAAAGGGUAUCCCACAUACCGCGCAAAAAUUACGUAAAGACAUUUCCCUGAAUUCAUCAUAUAAAUGAAAUGAUACUGAAGGCGGUGACCUUAGGAUAAUAAUAAAAGUUUUGCACGAAAGUAUUGGUGAGUAAGAGAUACUGAUCGAUUCGGUCGUGGAGGAAAUCGGUGAGGCCUGCAUUCUCGGUCAAAGAAUAAAAAUCUUCAUAAAUUCCAGCUUCUCUCAAGAAAUUAUCGCAUGGUCAUUCACACGGCCGUACUUCCGCUAUGCGAGGAAGAUUAUACUUGGCCUUUUCCUUCUCUUUAGCUUGUUUUUCCUGGGGGGGGGGGCCUUGGCUAGAAGAGCCCCUCAAAAAUCUCCUUAACAUUUUUCUGAAAAAUUCUGAAAUUUUAGUAACUUCAAAAAUAAAAGUGAAUAAAACUAAACAAGAUUGAUAGCCACUACUCCUACAAUUGCCUAGAGCCUAUAUCAUGCAUUAGAAUUACUUGGGACCUCAUAAAUUUAACAUGCAAGCUCAAGAACAUGGUCACCUUUGCAGUAAAAUAUUGCAAUGAAUAAAGCACUAGAGCAAAAACUAAUUGGACCAAUAGAGGAGUCACAUACCAAGCAACAAUCUCCCAAAGCAGUUUUGUGAAUGGAGCUUUGAGCAAGGAGAUCGAAAUCGCAGCAAAAUGAGCUAGAACUCGUGCUUGAGCUGGAUGGGGAUUUUUUUGGUAAGAAGAUGGAGUGUGUGGGUGCUAGCAUAAGUGGAGGGGGCCCAUCAUGGGCCCACGAGGCAGGGGGCGCGCCCAGGGGGUGUGGGCGGGCCCUCCACCCUCGUGGCCUAGUGCUUGCCCCUCCUGCAGUGAUUUUAGUGCCUAAAAUCCUUAAAUAUUCCACAAAAAAUCAUACUAAAUUUGCAGGUCAUUUGGAGCACUUCUAUUUUCGGGAUAUUUUUUAUUGUACGGAUAAUUCAGAAAAUAGACAGAUAAUACUAUUUUUGCUUUAUUUAUUCUAAAUAACAGAAAGUAAAAAGAGGAUAUAGAAGGUUGUGCCUUCUAGUUUCAUCCAUCUCAUGAUCAUCAAAAUGAAUCCACUAACAAGGUUGAUCAAGUCUUGUUAACAAACUCAUUCCGAAUAACACGGAACCGGAGAAAUUUCGAAUAACACUAAGUUACCUCAAUGGGGAUAUGAACAUCCCCAACAAUAAGAAUAUCAUAGUUUUUCUUGACAGUAGGGAGAGGAAAUUAAAAACCUCCAAUAAUGAUAGUUGGAACUUUUCCAAUAGAAUUGAUGCUAUGAACUUGGGAUUGUUUCCUCGGAAAGUGUACCGUAUGAUCAUUACCAUUAACAUGAAAAGUGACAUUGCCUUUGUUGCAAUCAAUAAGAGCCCGUGCAGUAUUCAAAAAGGGUCUAUUAAGGAUAAUCGACAUACUAUCGUCCUCGGGAAUAUCAAGAAUAACAAAGUCCGUUAAGAUAGUGACAUUUGCAACCACAACAGGCACAUCCUCACAAAUACCGACAGGUAUAGCAGCUGAUUUAUCAGCCAUUUGCAAAGAUAUUUCAGUAGGUGUCAACUUAUUCAAUUCAAGUCUACGAUAUAAAGAGAGAGGCAUAACACUAACACCGGCUCCAAGAUCACAUAAAGCAGUUUUAACAUAGUUUCUUUUAAUGGAGCAUGGUAUGGUUGGUACCCCGGGAUCUCCAAGUUUCUUUGGUAUUCCACCUUUAAAAGUGUAAUUAGAAAGCAUGGUGGAAAUUUCAGCUUUCGGUAUCUUUCUUUUGUUUGUAAUGAUAACCUUCAUAUAUUUAGCAUAAGGGUUUACUUUAAGCAUAUCAGUUAAGCACAUACGUAAGAAGAUAGGUCUAAUCAUUUCAGCAAAGCGCUCGAAAUCCUCAUCAUUCUUUGUCUUGGAUGGUUUAGGAGGAAAGAGCAUGGGUUUCUGAACCCAUGAUUCUCUUUCUCUACCGUGCUUCCUAGCAACAAAAUCUCUCUUAUCAUAACGUUGAUUCUUUGAUUGUGGGUUAUCAAGAUCAACAACAGGUUCAAUCUCUACUUCAUUAUUUUUGCUAGGUUGAGCAUCAACAUGAUCAUUAUCAUUAACAUUAUCACUAGGUUCAUGUUCAUCACCUGAUUGUGUUUCAGCAUCAGAAACAGAAAUAUAAUUGGGAUUCUCAGGUGUGUCUACAACAGGUUCACUAGAAGCAUGCAAAGUCCUAUAGUUCUUCUUUUUCUUCUUUUUAGAAGAACUAAGUGCCUCUAAAUUAUUUCUCUGAGAAUCUUGCUCGAUUCUCUUAGGGUCGCCUUCAGGAUACAAAGGUUCCUGAGUCAUUCUACCAGUUCUAGUAGCCACUCUAACUGCAAGGUCAGGUUUAUUAUUUAAUUCAUCAAGCAAAUCGCUUUGAGCUUUAAGUACUUGCUCAGCUUGAGUGAUAACCAUAGAAGCAUAUUUGCUAAUGAGUUUAAGUUCACCUUUAACUCUAGCCAUAUAAUCACUCAAGCGUCCUAUCUCGAAAGCAUUAUUCUUUAAUUCUCUACCAACAUAAGCAUUAAAACUUUCUUGUCUAGCCAUAAAAUCAUCAAAUUCAUCUAAGCAUGGGCUAUGAAAUUUAGUAGAGGGAAUUUCAACUUUAUCAUAUCUGUAGAGAGAAUUAACCUUUACUACCUGUGUCGGGUUAUCAAGACAAUGUGGUUCUUCGACAGGUGGUAUAUUAAGACCAUGUAUUUCUUCUAUAGGAGGUAAAUUCUUAACAUCUUCAGCUUUUAUACCUUUUUCUUUUAUUGAUUUCUUUGCCUCUUGCAUAUCUUCAGGACUGAGAAAUAGAACACCUCUCUUCUUCGGAGUGGGUUUAGGAAUAGGCUCAGGAGUUGGCUCAAUUGGUUCAGGAAUUGCCUCAGGAAUUGGCUCAGGAAGAGUCCAAUUAUUUUCAUUAGUCAACAUAUUAUUCAAUAGUAAUUCAGCUUCGUCGACUGUUCUUUUCCUGAAAACACAACCAGCACAACUAUCCAAGUAGUCCUUGGAAGCAUCAGUUAGUCCAUUAUAAAAGAUAUCAAGUAUUUCAUUUUAAGAGGAUGAUCAGACAAAGCAUUAAGUAAUCGGAGAAGCCUCCCCCAAGCUUGUGGGAGACUCUCUUCUUUGAUUUGCACAAAAUUAUAUAUUUCCCGCAAGGCAGCUUGUUUCUUAUGAGCAGGGAAAUAUUUAGUAGAGAAGUAAUAAAUCAUAUCCUGGGGACUACGCACACAGCCAGGAUCAAGAGAACUAAACCAAGUCUUAGCAUCACCCUUUAAUGAGAACGGAAAUAUCUUAAGGAUAUAAUAAUAGCGAGACUUCUCAUCAUUAGUAAACAGGGUGGCUAUAUCAUUCAACUUGGUAAGAUGUGCCACAACAGUUUCAGAUUCAAGGCCAUAAAAAGGAUCAGAUUCAACCAAAGUAAUAAUCUCAGGAUCAACAGAGAAUUCAUAAUCCUUUUCAGUAACACAGAUAGGUAAAGUAGCAAAAGCAGGGUCAGGUUUCAUUCUAGCAUUAAGAGAUUGCUGCUUCCAUUUAGCUAAUAACUUUUUAAGAUCAUAUCUAUCUUUACAAGCAAAGAUAGCUCUAGCAGCUUCCUCUUCCAUAACAUAACCCUCAGGAACAACAGGUAAUUCAUAAUCAGGGGGAGAACUUUCAUCAUCACUAUCAUCAAUAAUAGCAUCUUCAAUAAUUUCAUUCUCUCUAACCCUAACAAGUUAUUCAUCAAGAAAUUCACCUAAUGGCAAAGUGGUAUCACGCACAGAAGUAGUUUCAUCAUAAGUAUCAUGCAUAGCAGAAGUGGCAUCAUCAAUAACAUGCGACAUAUCAGAAUUCAUAGCCGUAGCAGGUUUAGGUGUCGCAAACUUACUCAAAACAGAAGGAGAUUCUAGUGCAGAGCUAGAUGGCAGUUCCUUACCUCCCCUCGUAGUUGAGGGAAAAAUCUUGGUUCUUUCGUCUUUCAAGUUCCUCAUAGUGAUCAACAGAUAUAAAUCCCAAGUGACUCAAAGAAUAGAGCUAUGCUCCCCGGCAACGGCGCCAGAAAUUAGUCUUGAUAACCCACAAGUGUAGGGGAUCGCAACAGCUUUCGAGGGUAAGUAUUCAACCCAAAUUUAUUGAUUCGACACAAGGGGAGUCAAAGAAUAUUAUUGAGUAUUAGCAGUUGAGUUGUCAAUUCAACCACACCUGGAUUACUUAGUAUCUGCAGCAAAGUAUUUAGUAGCAAAGUAGUAUGAUAAUAGAGGUAACAAUGGCAAAAGUAAAGAUAAUAGUUUUGUAGGAAUUGUAACAAUAGCAACUGAAAAGUAAAUAAGCAAAACACAAGAUGUGAAAAGCUCGUAGGCAUUGGAUCAGUGAUGGAUAAUUAUAUCGGAUGCGAUUCCUCAUGUAAUAAUUAUAACAUAGGAUGACAUAGAACUAGCUCCAGUUCAUCAAUGUAAUGUAGGCAUGUAUUCCGAAUAUAGUCAUACGUGCUUAUGGAAAAGAACUUGCAUGACAUCUUUUGUCCUACCCUCCCGUGGCAGCGGGGUCCUAGCAGAAACUAAGGUAUAUUAAGGCCUCAUUUUAAUAGAGAACCGGAACAAAGCAUUAGCACAUAGUGAAUACAUGAACUGCUCAAACUACGGUCUUCACUGAGAAAGUAUCCCGAUUAUUGUCACUUCGGGGUUGUCGGAGCAUAACACAUAAUAGGUGACUAUAGACUUGUAAGAUAGGAUCAAGAACACACAUAUAUUCAUGAAAACAUAAUAGGUUCAGAUAUGAAAUCAUGGCACUCGGGCCCUAGUGACAAGCAUUAAGCAUGGCAAAGUCAUAUCAACAUCAAUCUCAAAACAUAGUGGAUACUAGGGAUCAAACCCUAACAAAACUAACUUGAUUACAUGAUAAAUCUCAUCCAACCCAUCACCGUCCAGCAAGCCUGCGAUAGAAUUACUCACGCACGGCGGUGAGCAUCAUGAAAUUGGUGAUGGAAGAUGGUUGAUGAUGACGACGACGACGAAUCCCCCUCUCCGGAGCCCCGAACGGACUCCAGACCAGCCCUCCCGAGAGAGAUUAGGACUUGGCGGCGGCUCCGUAUCGUAAAACGCGAUGAAACUUUCUCUCUGAUUUUUUCCUCCGUGAAACAGAAUACAUGGAGUCGGAGGUGAGGUCGGUGGAGCCUCAAGGGGCCCACGAGACAGGGGGGUGGGCGCGCCCCCACCCUCGUGGAUAGGGUGUGGGCCCCCUGGUCUUGAUUCUUUCGCGAGUAUUUUUUAUAUUUUCCAAAACUUGUCUCCGUGGAUUUUCAGGUCAUUCCGAGAACUUUUGUUUUCUACACAUAAAACAACAUCAUGGCAGUUCUGUUGAAAACAGCGUCAGUCCGGGUUAGUUUCAUUGAAAUCAUGCAAGUUAGAGUCCAAAACAAGGGUAAAAGUGUUUGGAAAAGUAGAUACGUUGAAGACGUAUCAGUGUCGUACGUUCGGUACUAGGAUCGGUCAAUCGUGAAGACGUACGACUACAUCAAACGCGUUGUCAUAACGCUUCCGCUUACGAUCUACGAGGGUACGUGGAUAACACUCUUCCCUCUCGUUGUCAUGCAUCACCAUGAUCUUGCGUGUGUGUAGGAAAAUUUUGAAAUUACUACGUUCCCCAACAGGAGAAACCCCCUUGACUCCAAAAAUAUAUAUUAUAUACUAUAAGUUACUAUUUACAUGAUUUUUGCCUUCAAUUUUAUUUCCUUUUUUGCCCUAAAGUUAGAGGGUUUUUUCCUUCGCCAAUUUUUUUACGAGUACAAUAGAAACAUUUUCAAUUUUCAUGACCCUUUUUAAUUACUAUAUUUUACAUAUAGGGUGUAUAUACACCCAGGAACCAAACGUUCCUGUCCGCCUGCGCUCCUAUCACCCCAGGUCUCCACCCUACUUGUGUGGCUUUGCCGCUUUAAAAGGUCUCCCAGUGCAACUUUUGAGUUCCCAAGCGAUUCGAGCUAUCCAGCUGACACCGGUUUAAACUGUUUUUGACAUGUCAAAAAGAGAUUAUUUGAAGUUUUCAGUAUUUAUUUGGAAUUUAUUGUUCAUGAUGUACGGUGGUAUGGGAGUAGACGAGCUCUAGUUCCAAAAUGCUGUGUCCGCUAACAAAAAUGCCAAAUGGAGGCCAAGCUCCACAAAGAUUAUAAUAAUAAAAAGAUCAAAGUUAUACUUUUACAUUUCAAUUCUGUUUAAAAAAAUUACACAUAUAUCCAGAGAUAAUAUGUAUACGUGUGUAAACUUUAUGAUGAAAUAUGUUAAAAUGUGAGUUAGACAAAUAAAUAAGGCCUUUUGGAGGAAUUUCGCAUGAAUUCUAUAGGAUACGAUUCUUAUAGGAUUUUUUUUCUUUAGAGCCCUUUGGUUCAUAGGAAUUGAUUCCUAUUCCUACAUUGGAUUGAUUCCUAUCCUCCACAUUUCGAAGGAAAAUAAACAUGAGCCUAGUCUCAAUGAAAGCAUUCCUAUGAUGUGAACCAAAUGAAAUCUCUUUUCCUAAUACUACUCAUAAAAUUUCAGAUACAUUUCAUCUCAUUUCAUACAAGUUUCCUAUUCGUAUGAUAAUCCUAUCCUAUGAACCAAAAGAGGCCUAAAUAUGUGGCUUUUCAGCACAUGUACUACUGUUCAUUCUCGGAGUCCAUAAGGUAUUCCAUUAUGAAAUUUUACACACAUAUGCAUUACUCCAACCAUCCAUAUAUAUUGGGUCUAAUACGUUUUUCGAGGGUAACUUUGACUACAUGUUAGAGCAGUAAUAUAUAACAUGCAAAUUACACAAAGCACAUCGUCAAAUUCAUACCUAAAAAGAGCUUCUAAUGGUAUAAUUUUCACAUUAUAUAUCUCCUUCUUUUUGCAGGAAUAUUCUAUAUAGUAUUAAUAUUAUCAAUAGUCAAAGGAAAUCCUGAAAAAUGUAUUAGGCCCUAUGGAUGAAGGAAGUACAUCCUUAUAUACGCGUGUCUUUAUGUAUAAAAAUUUGCUACUGAAAAUUUUGAAUUUUGAAUAUUUCAAAAUAAAGGCCUAGAGGGAGCUCACUUCGCGGUGCAGCCAUUAGUCGAGCGGGUCAUCCUCAUCCAUCCAGCCAGCAGCCCAAGCUACACGCUUCCGUGCAAGAGAGCCUUGCUCCUGUCAUUUGUCAAGCGACAAGACUGGACACUGACGAAUCAGUCCGCAAUCGAGCAGUGUUGCGUCUUUGAGAAAUUGAUUCACUCGUACGUGUACACGCCACAAUCUCGCAGGCAGGCACAGCACAGAGCAAUGGUCUCUCCUCCAGCGCCAUAGCCUUCUCUCACAAGCAACAGUAGAAUCUGAAGUCAAAUGCAUGCCCUCCGCUGCCAUCUGUCCGACCCGACCUGUCUUCUAGGCCAACGGUGGAAAUAAAUCCGCGUCCAUUCAAAUUUAGGUUCGUGCCGGUCGGGCGCCCAACGCGAGGCCGCAUCUUGUCCCUGUGCAUGCAAACGUGAUAACCAAGAAUGUUGGUCGUGGCCGCGACUCACACUAGUUCACGCCGACCGGCAACACAGCCGGCGGCGUACAAUCUCAUGCCGACAACAAAGCUAGCAGCCGGCACAGGAGCCAACCUUCAAAAAGACAUGUUUCACGCCGACAACAAAGCCAGUGACCAGCACAGGAGCCGGCCCUCAAAUGAACAAGUUUUUUACGCCGGCAACAAAGCCAGCGACCGGCACAACAGCCAGCCUUCAAAAUGAACGGACAUCGGCCACUGCCUGAAGCCUCACCUAGUUCAGGCCGUCACGGGCGAACAUCUCCUUAUGCCGAUUCGCGGACCAAGCCUUCCUCUCCGGCGACAUGUUGGCCCUGCCCACGCUCAUGAACCGGAGUGCCACCUCUUUAGUUUUGGUGUCCGCCAUGGUGGCCUCAAUCUCGAGCUUUUUGAGUUGAGCGGCCUCCUCGGUGUCAAGCUUCCUCCUCUCUGCGGCCUCCUCUAUGGCAAGCUUCUUCGUUUGGAGCUCUAGAUAUAUCUUCAUUUGCUCCUCCUUUCCUUUGCUCCUCCUCUUGUCCCUCACUUCCUUUUGGCCCAUCAUGUUCUCCAAAGUGCCUUGCAAGGCGAUGGAAGAAGCAUCACGCCUCUCAUCGACCUUUGAGUUUGUCUUACCCCUCGGCCUCUUGAGCAAGUCUUCCUCAUCAGCCACGGCCUUCUUCCCUCCUUUCUUAUUACGAGCGGCAUACUGGUCAUUGAACUUGGCACAAUCUUUGAUGAACUCCCAACAUUGCGUGAGAGUGAAUGGCUUGUUCUUGUGUCGGGUCUAGAAUACUUUCAAAGAUUGAAAUGCCUACACAAUCAUUGAUGACUAUGCUAAUGUAAUAGCGAAGGACACAACAUUUAUGAAAAUGAAAAACAUGCCAACAUGAAUGGACACAAAAUGAAAAGGCAAGAGGUUCAUACCAAGUCACCAAGGCCAAGGCCACUCACGGGACGGGUUUCGAUGCUCUCAAGUGUGGAACAAUACUUGUUGCACUCUUGUUGAAUGACCCCGAUCUCUUUUGGAUUGAGUCGAUGUUGCGAGUGCUCUCAAAUUGAUAGGGGGCAAACUUCCUUCACUCAUGGAAGGUUUUAUGAACCCUCCCCCAAAAGAUGGCACCUCUUUUCUCAGCACUUCUUAUCGGAUCUUCUCCUAUCUCAGUUCAACUCUCGCAAAUCAAUUUGUCCUCUUUUGGGGUGUAUGACCCCGGGCGAAUACUUCGCUUCCUCUUUUGUGCCUUGGCCCUUUGGGUGAGCUCAUCGAUAAACACCAAUGGCUCUUGCAAAAUGUCGAGCUCUUCUUCCUCAUCUUCACAAUACAAAUCAUCAUCUUCAUGCCAUGAGUUGCCAUGGUCGUCUUCCUCUUCAUCAUGGCCAGCAAAAUCAGUGUCCUCACACUUGCUGCAACCGUUCUGGCUCUGGGUCUCGUCGGGAUCGAAAGUCUGGCCUUGGCCAAGGUGCUGGAAGGCCUCGCCAUAGGCUUCCUCUCCACGGCGAUGAUGGAUUCCUUCUCGUCAAUGUCGGCAAGAAGCCGCGCUUGACGCUGGGCGUCGGCCUCGACGGCAUAGGCCGCAGCCGCCUUCAUCUCCUCCGCCUUUGCCCGUCGGCCCCUUCUCUUUGCCACUUCGAAGUCGAGGAAGGGGGUCUCCUCCGGCUUGCACUAGGAUCGAGGCUUCCUAGGACCCUUGGGACCUUUCUUCUUCGCCGCGGGGUGCGCGGCCGAGGCCGCAUCGCCGGGGUUUGUCUGGUCGCCGUCCAUGGAGGAGGGAGGGGAGGGGCGCGCGGGAAGGUUUGGACGAAAUGGAAGGGAAGUGGGACGGCUAUGUCCCCGACAGGCGGGCUAGGUGAGGACAAGGUCGCGCGUCCCGCCCGUCUGCGUGCUGUUCGUUUGGCCGCAAACGCAGCCAACUUUAGGCGGAAAUGGGUCGAAAGCAGACCGAAAAUGGACAUUUGUCCGUUUGCUCCGCGCGUUGGCCGCGGUUUGUGUCCAUUCACCCCCAAACGGACGCGGGCUGGUCAACAUGCAUUGGAGUUGCCCUUAGGCAUCAUUUGGUUUGGAGAAAUUUUAUAAGAUUAGAUUCUUAUAGGAAUUUUUUUAGAGCCCUUUGGUUGAUAGAAAUGAAUUCCUAUUCCUACAUAAGAUGGGCUUCUAUUCUCCAUAUUUCAAUAAGUAAAUAAAUAAACAUGAGUCUAGAGUCAAUGGAAUUCCCUAUGAUGUGAACCAAAUGACAUCGCUUUUCUUAUUUCUACUCAUAGAAUUUAAGAUACAUGUCAUCUCAUUUUCUAUAAGUCUCUUAUUCCUAUGAUAAUCUUAUCUUAUGAACCAAAGAAGUCUUUAAGGCCUUCCACUAUGUGUUAGGUGCCAAAACUAUGAAAAGUUUGCUACCGAUACAUCGAUGCCAGAUACAGAAUAUUUAGCAUCACCCACACAACGUUGAGAAUUAAGCAUCGAUUGAAAUUCGCCCCCACAUAUAUAAAAUAGUAUAGACCAGACCAAGACACCCCACUGCCAGCGCCUCUCCUUUCUGGCUCACUGCACUCUUCCUAACCCACUGCACGUACAACGCGCUUAAUUUAUUUGGUCGAAGGAUUUGGCUUCGGAGCAUGUAGGUGCUCCGGUGCCCAGAAAUUCUUAUUUGGCAUCGGCUUAGCAACGUAGGGCAUCGGUGCCAAAUGUUCAAAAAGCAAAUUUGGCAUCACUUUUGGCCUACAUAGUGGAAGGCCUAAUAGGUAAGACAAAACCUAGGACUACUGUACACAAGCUAGCGCACCUCUCCCUCCUCUACUCCGAUGAAUGACGUCUUCAUUAAGAAAGGGGACCAUGCCAGACCUACCUCAUGAGGGACUCUCAACGGUGCUAGAGCGACGCGAGAGAGGAAGAGUCGAAUGCACUCAGUGAAGAUAUUGCAAAUUCAGUUAACUUACAUGCAAUUAUAUUGCGCUAAAAGAAAUAAAAUCAUAAAAUGCAUGGUUUUUAAAUGCAAAAUAUUGAUUUUCUUUUACAAUACAAGGAAAAAUAAGAUUGAAGUCUAUGAGCAUUAGAUCACCUGCGCAACCACCACGGCGACUCCAACGCGUGACCUCAAAUCGUCUGGCCAGGUCCUCUUAGGGGUAAACGGACAGAACAGGCAGCCCGAUGCGUUGGAGCAAACGGACCAAUAUCCUUUUCGUUCCGCUCUCUACCCAUUUCUAGCCUAAUUUGGGGAUGUGUUUGCGGUCGAACGGAGACGAGCAGACGGGCGCGACGCGUGCCUUUGUCCUCUCCCUUGUUCGCCCGUCGGCAACACAUGCACCCCUUUUUCUAUUCCCCUCCCCCCCCCACUCCAGCCGCACCCCGGCCGCACUCCUCUCUCGUCCCUAGCCGCCACCGCUGCAAAUUUUCUCGGCCAUGUCGCUGUCCAGCACGGCCGGGCGCUCGCCCCUACCCUUGUGGCAACCCCGUUUUCUCGACACCCGACCUGUCCACCCCCAGCCGCCUGAUUUCAGCGCAUCCGGCGACCGGAUUUGGAGCGGAUCCAACUGAAUCUGAGAUCGCCCUAUCGUUGGAGGCUGCGUUGUGCCAUGGCCUGGCCGGGUACCGGACCGCACAGCUCGACAAUGCCCCCAGGAUAUAUGCAUGCAUUGACUCCGCCUCUAGCCGUUCGAAUCGACCCCGUCGUCAGUUCGUCGACAAAUAGUCGAACGACCGUCGUCCGGGCUCGGUGCUGGCCCAAAGGCUCGUGAGCGCACAGUUGCUGCUUGUAAAGUGUGACGAUUGUCCAUAGAAGGUCGUGCACAUUGGGUCUACAAUGCCGGAACAUUCUGGAUGUGUGUUCGUCAAAUGCAAAAACUAUGGGUAUGUGCUAGUUUAGCUUCGGUUGUGUUCCCCUAUUCGGUGCAUAUUGCUCAAACUCAAAUUUUUAUUGUGUAAGAAGGAUUCGACUUUUGAUAUUGGGAAGAAGAAUACAUUGAUUUAUUGAUAGAACAAAAUUUGAUAGAUAUUCGUGUACUUGUUGUUAGAAUAAAGACUAGAGAUGAGACUAAAUGUGAACAAGCAACGUCUACUUCUUUAGACUCAAAGAAGAAAAAAGCCGAAAAGUCCAUUCUGCACCCGAGCUCAUAUGCUCCCGCAUGAACAGUAAAAUCGAAAAAAGUUCAAAAAAUUCCAAUUUUUUUUGAGACAAACAUUGACAAAAGUUCUAAGUGCCUGCAAAAAUUCGUCAUGAAAUCACAUUCCUAGAAGGCGUGGCAAAAAAAACAAAUUCAGUGCUUCAAAAUGCGUUUGAAAGUAGCUUUUUCAGAGUACUUUUUUUGUUUUUUUUUGCCACGCCUUUUAGGAAUGUGAUUUCAUGACGAAUUUUUGCAGGCACUUAGAACUUUUGUCAAUGUUUCACUCAAAAAAAUUAGAAUUUUUUAAAUUUUUUUUUAUUUUUUUGGUUUUACUGUUCAUGCGGGAGCAUAUGAGCUCGGGUGCAGAUUAGGCGCGUCCGAAAAAAGCAUGCUAUUGCCAUCCAAAAACGAAUGAAAUCCGGACAAUACGGUUUGGGGUCGUGCGUUUGCAACCCUGCCCGUGUCUUCGUUGCUCCAAACCUCGCUCCAUGAACUUCCGACUUCCGAGGCAAUUCCAGUUUUCGGGCUGACACCGCCUUUUAAACGCGCCAUUACGGCGCAGCACCAGCCACCUCCACUCCUCGUGUUGAUCCAUUCCCGUGCCUAUUGCCCUUAAAAACGACCACCCAUCUCCCUCCCGAGCCCCGACCUCAUCGACAAGCUCCACUCAACCGCUUCUUCCCACUCCACCCCUCCCAACCUCACUGGUACUGCUAGCUUCCACUCCAUUGCUUCUUUCCACUCGCCUGGUAUCCAGCGCAUCACCAUCAUAAAUCAAGAUGGCGUAUCCGUUGAUGCCGGAGGGCGCGACGGCGCUGGAGAUCCCCACCGACCGGCCGGCCUUCUACGAGUGUUUCAAGUCCUUUGGCGUCCCCGCGGCCGCGACCGCGUUCCGCCUGGUCCCUCCGCCGACGGAGACAAGCGCGUCCCGCCCAGAACGCAUCACCAUCGUCCAUCUACAUGCCUCCUCCCCCUCCCGAGAUGGUCUACUUCGCCAAGCGCUUCGCGUACGCCUACAUCACCCCGGCGACGGCCCCGUGCCGCGCCGACCCGGGCGCCUUCAUCCGCCGGGUCUUCCGCACCCUGGCGCUCGACCUCCCGCAGAGCUUCGAGCUCCUGCCGCCCGGCCACGGCGCCGACGCGACGGUGCGCUUCCGCACGCCCGACGACCGGGAGGCGGCCAUGCGCCGGCAGCCGUUCGAGCUCGACGGCGCCACCGUGAAGCUGGUGCGCGAGGGGGAGACCAGCAACUGCUCCCGCGCCAGGAACGACUACGUCGCCCACGUCGCGCUGCACGACUACCCCGUCGAGCAGCGCACCCAGGAGGAGAUCGGCGCCAACUGCGGCAGGUUCGGGUUCGUCCGCGAGAUCGACCCGGCCUGCUUCGCGGCGCCCGAUCUCGCCACCGUCCGCGUCGUCCUCCAGCUCGAGGACCCCCGAGAGAUCCCCCGCCACGUCCGGAUCAGGUACCAUGGUGGCUCCACCAGCGUCGUCCCCGUCGAGAUCGUCAGGCUUUGGGACCACGCGCACUCCUCCGACGCCCAUGGACAGUAUGUUCCUCUCUUCCAGGCCCCGACUGCGGCGGCUUGACAGGCACGAUCAUCAGUUGGUUUGGUUGUUUGCUGCUUGAUGAAUUUGGCAUUCCCAAUCCCAGCAGCAAGCAGGUAGUAGUAGUACGUAGUAUUUACGUAGGUCAAGUUCUAAAUUAGUAGAGCCGUAGCCGGCUUUGGUCGCAGUAAUGUCAGUCACUUCUCCUCUCCGUAGCUAUAUUAUGCCUGUGCGUCUGUUUAAGCUUGGUGAGGAGAGCAACUGGUUCACGCCUUGAUUCUGUACCCUUCAAGUUUGAUGUUUAAUUAAGAUUUUACCUUUUCUUUCUUUUUUUU